UGCCGGUGACCUCUGUCCAUCCAGAGGUGCCAGACAAUCUGCUGGAAGCGCUUCGCAGCGCUUCCAUCGACGAGGAGCACCGCACUAUCAUGAGUGCGGUGAUCCAGAAGGUUCAGUCUGCCAAGAGUGGAUUGACUGAAGCCUGUGCCAGUCUUCUAACAGGCUUUGAGGUAAGUGUUUUAAAAUGUAGUAGAAAUAUUACCGCAUAGACAGUAGCCCCUGAUGCUUUGUUCGGUGUUCACAAAGAAAAGCCGAACAGAGGAUCAAAUAAUAUCGCAGGAGUCUGAUAUAAGUAUGUCAAUAUGCAUAUACAGGCUUCGCUGCUGGCGUCCACCGCACUGACUGCGGAGGUCGCCGUACUGAAGCAGGACCUCGAGGGGUCCAGGAAAGAGCUCGGCCUUGUCAAGAGGCAGAUUGAGGAGAACAAGGGUAAGUAAUACCCUGUCUAUAGAUAUGUAUGUAUAAAAGAAGAAGCGAUUGCAAAAUGACAGGAUCAUCGUAUAUUCGCCAGGGGCCACGACCAAGGUGGCAACCUUGAAGCAAGCGCUAACCAAGGCCGAAGAUAACGCGGCCAAGGAGCGCACUCAGCGAGAGAAGCGCGAGGCUCGGGUGGGCGAGGUGCAUCAAGAGCUCCAGGCUCUCGUGGCGAAGCACGAGGCGUUGGAGCUUGACUCAAAGACGCGGGAGUCUGAGCUUGCCACGGCCCUCGAGAGCGCAAAAAGUGCCAAGGCCGAAGCCCAAAAGGCCCUCCAGGAUAUCGACGCAAUGAAGAAGAUAGCGGCGGGUAAGGCUUUCUAUAUGCAAAGCAAGCAUGUAAGAGUAAAUUACCGAUUACUUACCGAAUCCAGAGCUCUCCAGGAGCAUUCGCAGAUUUGCCCCGCAGCAUGUCCGAUGCCGCACAAUUUUACCAGUCCGAGGAUGGAAGCUCAACAGAGAAGCUGUUCUGGUCUCAGUAUGCUGAGGCCGAACACUCGGUGCCAAUGAGCGACCAGCUGAAGCAGAUGGUUGAGCUACAUAAGGCGGCCGAUCGGGCCAUGAAGAGCUUUAUAGUCCGGCUGUGGCCUGGCGACGCCCUUCCGAAUAGCUUCUUCGGCCUGGUGAGGCGGCUUGUGGAUGCCUGUCCGCGGCUGGAGGUCGUUAAGUGAUCAGUCUGCAUUGAAGGUGCACGCUGGGCUUUCGCUCGUGUGAAAUUGCAGUGGGUCAAGCUAGACACCGUGAAGCUGGUCAAGGAGGGGCCGCCGGAGGGCAAGGAGCACCGCCACCCCGAGAUGUACUACGAGGGUGUUCUGCCGGGUGCCCGUCUCAUAGCGGACGAGUGUUCCAAAGAAGUAAUAUUUGAGUGAGACUUGCUCGUUUUAUCCUGUAUUUAUGAAAACUUGUUUCAUAUGCGCUAUGCAACGCUUGUUUGAAUUUAAAAUAUUACCUUCUGUUUGGCCAUUUAUCAAUCUGAGAGAUGGCUAGUCCUCGACUUCUGCCCCCAUAUCACGAGUGCUGGGGUGUUCGGGAUAAAUCUAAGCACUCUUUUUCCCAUAUUUGGGUCCUUCGAGGGAGGUGCUCAGCAUAAUGAACAAGGCAACCGGACUAAUAAUGAUUUAUCACUCUCACUUAGCCAUAGAAUUCUAUAAUUUUAAAUUUUAGCGAAGCCCCUGCUAUUCGAAAGGCCGAAUUCGGGGUGCGAUACACGCCUUUAAGCCGGACAGGGCCGGCCCCUUGCCCUAAGCGGCAUAAGUCUUUAGGGACUCGAAAACCUCACCGAACAGUGACCAGUCUCUCGCCUUAUCAUGACAGUCAGUUUUAGCUUUCUCUACUGAGGUGCUGAACCCAGCAGAACCGGGGCACAAUCGCAGUAGUUCUCCUAGCGCUACCUUAGCCGAUAGAGCGGAACGUAAGGUACCAAAACAUAGGAGCCAGGCAAACCCAACAUUUGACCAAAGACAUGAUUCGGAGCUGAUGCAUAUAAUGCUAUAAGUUCGGGGUGCCGCACUUGUGAAAGUGUUCGGACUUUUCACACUGUAUUAUGGGGUACGUAAGCCCCUGGUGUGUUGGCCGUACCAAAGUGUACGGUUGCAAGGCGUCAUUAAUGAACACAUGGAUAUAUAUAUAACAGGAAUGCAAUAAUAGUCGUAAUGUCAUGCAUUGUUUAGUCAAAAGAUCGCGUUAAAGCAGAGUGAUACAGGUAGUGCGAUAAGCAAAGAGUAGGACUAUGUCCCUUCCAAGGGCAAGCUGAGGAAUGAUAUGAAAUCGAAUAUUUCGCUUAUUACUGUAAUCCACCUGGGAAUUCCGUGGUAUGACGUAGCUGGUUGCCUCCUUGGUUGCUGCAUCAUGUGUUCGGCAAUAGUGCUACCGGACAGUGUUUCUAGAGAUUAAGGUCCUGAAAAAAGAGAAAAAUUACAAAACAGGAAGCCCCUAGUGCGGUUUAAACCGCGUCUUGGGGCGUGCCGCAGUUUUGCCCCCCGCCCCUCCCCACCUGUGCCCAUGGUAUUUUUAGUGCAUAACUGUGGACGCGUGGCACGAGUUUUGCCGUUGGGCUGGGAUUUGGGUGGGCGCCGUAUUGCUACACGAGCUCAGAUCGUGCCAGGCGGUCCGUUUGCCGAUUGCUCUGAGUGCGCUUGAAGGUGUCCGGGCUUUGAAGUGCUGAACUGGUUGAUUGCCUUGAGAGGCUGCUUUGCGCUUCUACUGCGAGGGCCAUGGUGUGCUCCUCUGUUCGGAGAGAGCGAUCUGUGUUUCCAUUGACUGUAAUAACUCCGCGAGGUCCUGGCAUCUUGAGCUUGAGGUAUGCAUAAUGUGGCACCGCAUUGAAUCUAGCAAAUGCGGUUCGCCAGAGCAUCGCAUGAUAACCACUGCGGAACGGGACUAUGUCGAAGAUUAACUCUUCGCUUCGGAAGUUAUCCGGGGAUCCGAAGACCACUUCCAGUGUAAUUGAGUCUGUGCAAUGGGCCUCUACACCUGGAAUGAUGCCUUUAAAGGUCGUUUUUGUGGGUUUGAUCCUUGAGGGUUCUAUACCCAUUUUUGCACACUGUGUCCUGAUAAAGCAGGUUCAGGCUGCUACCGCCAUCCAUAAGGACUCGAGUGAGGUGAAAUCCGUCAAUGAUUGGGUCUAGGACCAGUGCGGCGAAUCCGCCAUGAUGGAUACUAGUGGGGUGGUCCCUGCGAUCGAAGGUGAUCGGACAGGAGGACCAAGGGUUGAACUUUGGGGCGACCGGCUCCAACGCAUAUACGUCCCUGAGCGCAUGCUUCCGCUCCCUCUUGGGGAUGUGGGUUGCGUAUAUCAUGUUCACCGUCCGCACUUGUGGGGAAAACCUCUUAUGUCCUCCGGUGUGUGGCUGACGUGAUUCCCCCUCAUCAUCGCUAUGCGGCCCCUUGUCUUUGUUUUUGGCAAGCAACUUGCCGGCCUGCUUGAACACCCAACAAUCCCUGUUGGUGUGAUUGGCUGGCUUGUCUGGGGUGUCGUGUAUUUGACACGAGCGAUCGAGUAUACGGUCCAAGCUGAACGGACCCGGCGUACUUUGUUUGAAUGGCUUUUUCCGCUGACUGGGCUUAGAGCCUUUGAAUCCGGCAUUGACUGUCGUAUCCUCGGUAUUUUCGCUAUUAAUGCGGCGCUUAUGUUUGUUGUGACGUGACCUGCUACUGCCGUCCUUGGUAUCUGAGGUACCAUGGUUCUUUGAUAUGUUAUUACUACGAGCCAGCCAGCUGUCUUCUCCCGCACAAAAGCGGGUCAUGAGCGUCGUGAGAGCUUCCAUAGAUUUUGGCUUUUCCUGACCAAGGUGCAGGGCUAGCCACUCGUCUCGGAUGUUGUGUUUGAAAGCCGCUAAGGCCUCUGCAUCCGGACAGUCAACGAUUUGAUUUUUCUUUGUAAGGAACUGAGUCCAGAAUUGCCUGGCCGACUCUUCUGGCUGCUGAAUUAUGUGGCUCAAGUCAUCGGCGUCUGGUGGUCACACAUAAGUGCCCUGAAAGUUGUCGAGGAAUGCGGCUUCCAGAUCUUCCCAACAGCUAAUGGAGUCCGCUGGCAAGUUGUUAAGCCAAUGCCGCGCUGGUCCUUUGAGCUUUAGUGGGAGGUAUUUGAUGGCGUGUAAGUCAUCACUGCGGGCCAUGUGGAUGUGGAGGAGGAAAUCCUCGAUCCAUACUGCGGGAUCUGUUGUGCUGUCGUAUGAUUCAAUAUUUACGGGUUUGAAACCUUCUAGGAAUUGAUGAUCCAUUACUUCGUCUGUGAAGCAUAAGCGUUGUGCGGCGCCUCUGUAUUGGGCUAUAUCGCGACGCAGCUCGAAUGGGUCUUGCCCCUGUGUUCGGCCUGGCCGGAUUUGCUUUUACUGUAUCCGGCAUGACGUUUAUCGUCUCACAGAGUGGUGCACCUUCGUGAUCCGUAGAUCGAUCUUCCAUGCUUUGCUUUGUCCUCCAAUAUGUCCCGCAGGUCUGGCGUAUCUCCCCAGGCCUUUUUAUGUGAAUGGCAUCGGGGUGGAGGCUGAGUUUCUGGCUGGAAUGCUUCUCUAUCGCGGCCACGAGGUGGCCGAUCAGCCGUAUCAUACGCUUCUUCCUCCAGUCGGGGUAGUAACCUACACUUUGGGUAAUUCUUGGAGGGGCGCUCGAGUUUAUAUUCCUCGGCCGCGAGGACUUUAGUCCAUCUGUCAGCUAGCAGAUCUUGAUCAGCUUGAAGCUAAUGCUACUUUUUCUUGAGGCUAUUUGCCGUGGCCAUAAGACGGCGCUUGAAGCGCUCUUGUUCGACGGGAUCCUCUGGUACGACGAAUUCAUCGUCGCCGAGGCUUGCCUCGUCUUCGGAGGGGGGGCAUGUAAUUGUCAUCUUCCUCCUCUCCAUCUGCCGCUCUCUCAGGAGGGCUGGCUUCUCCAUCCUCCUGCUCUAAAUCUUGCUGGAGGGGAUUGUUGUUGUCUUCGGCACUAUCCGGAGUGUUAUUAUCUCCUGUGUCGGUAUCACCACUUUUGCUUUGGCGGGACUUAGAGCAGCGCCGCUUACGUUGGCGCUUGGGUUGCUUCUUGGAGGGGUCAUCCUCUGUUAUCUCGUCGCCAUUGCCUUCUUUGGGUGUAUCCACCAUGUAUAUGUCAUAUGACGAGGUGGCUUUCCAGUGCCCUAUAGGCGCUGGUUCAUGUUCGUCUCCUACAUCGUCGUCCAUACCGUCGAUGUCUUCGGAGUCGAAGUCAAGCAUGUCGGUUAAAUCAUCGACAGUGGCUACAAAGUGGGUGGUGGGUGGGCGUCGAAUUUCUUCGUCGUCCGCAUCCCAAUCCUGUUGGCCAUAGUCCGGCCAGGGCUCUCCUGACAAAGAGAGAGACUUUAGUGAAUUCAGAAUGUCGCCGAAGGGCGAGUGCUGAAAGAUAUCUGCGGCGGUGAAUUCCAUGAUCGGCGCCCAAUCAGAUUCGAUUGGCAGGGGCUCGUGCGGUUUGGAGUUCGGAAAAGAGUCCGGCACCUUGGAGUCACGGGCUUCGCAAAGGAUUAGGCUGGUGUUCGGCUGGAUCGCCGUCGAGACUGCAGCCCCUGAGGCGGUGUCUAACCACCCGUCCUCGAUUGGCGUAGUUGGCUCUCAGCUAAGGGUCGGAGCUGAUGCGGGCGCGCCUUCUGGGGUACUGUUCGGUGGCAGAGCUAGGUCAUACCCAUCGUGACAGUGCAGCGCGCCCGGCUGCGGCUCGAAUCCAUUGAAGAUCAAGUCUCCGCGGAUGUCGGCCGUGUAGUUCAAACUUCCAAAUUUGACCUGAUGGCCAGGGGCGUAGCUUUCAAUCUUCUCCUGAUGGCCAAGUGAAUUAGCCCGCAGUGCAAAGCCGCCGAAUACGAAGAUCUGUUCGGGGAGAAAAGUCUCACCCUGGACUGCAUCGUUGUUGAUGAUCGGAGGAGCCAUCGAGCCUAACGGCGACGACAUAGAGGAACUCUCAAUGAAAGCACCAAUGUCGGUGUCAAAACCGGCGGAUCUCGGGUAGGGGGUCCCGAACUGUGCGUCUAGGCCGGAUGGUAACAGGAGGCAGGGGACACAAUGUUUUACCCAGGUUCGGGCCCUCUUGAUGGAGGUAAAACCCUACAUCCUGCUUGAUUAAUAUUGAUGAUAUGGGUAGUACAAGAGUAGAUCUACCACGGAUCAGAGAGGCUAAACCCUAGAAGCUAGCCUAUGGUAUGAUUUUAUGUUGUGGUUGUUGUCCUACGGACUAAAACCCUUCGGUUUAUAUAGACACCGGAGAGGGUUAGGGUUACACAAGGUCGGUUACAAAGGAGCAGAUAUCCAUAUCCGUAUUGCCUAGCUUGCCUUCCACGCCAAGUAGAGUCCUAUCCGGACACGAGACGAAGUCUUCAAUCUUGUAUCUUCAUAGUCUAACAGUCCGGCCAAUGGAGAUAGUCCGGCUGUCCGGAGACCCCCUAAUCCAGGACUCCCUCAAUCUCCCCAAGGAUAAGUGGUUUAAAUAUCAUCCUCCCAUAGAAGUAAAAGUAGCUGCACCUAUUAAAGUUGAAGAAAAGACUGUCACUUAUAAUGAUCCUAUUGUUCCUACUUCUUAUGUUGAGAAACCACCUUUCCCUGUUAGGACAAAGGAUCAUGCUAAACCUUCAACUGUGGUUCAUAAAAGCAAUAUUAAAACUUAUACACCUCCUCAGCAAAUUAAAGUUGAACCUGAUAUUGCUAUUGUUAAAGAUCUCUUGUCUGAUAAUAUUGAUGGGCAUGUUAUUCAUUUCCUUGAUGAGACUGCUAGAAUUGCUAAACCUUGUGCAAAAGAUAAAAACAGACCUGUGGUAGGCAUGCCUGUUAUUUCUGUUAAAAUAGGAGAUCAUUGUUAUCAUGGCUUAUGUGAUAUGGGUGCUAGUGCUAGUGCAAUACCUUACGACUUAUACAAAGAAAUUAUGCAUGAUAUUGCACCUGCUGAGAUAGAAGAUAUUGAUGUCACAAUUAAACUUGCCAAUUGAGAUACUAUUUCACCAAUGGGAAUUGUUAGAGAUGUUGAAGUAUUGUGAGGGAAAACUAAAUAUCCUGCUGAUUUUCUUGUUCUUGGUUCCCCACAAGAUAGUUUUUGUCCCAUUAUAUUUGGUAGACCCUUCUUAAACACGGUUAAUGCUAAGAUAGAUUGCAAAAAGGAUGUUGUUACUGUCGGUUUAGAUGAUAUGUCUCAUGCAUUUAAUUUCUCUAAAUUUAGUAGACAACACCAUGAAGAAGAAUUACCUAGUAAGGAUGAAAUUAUUGGUCAUGCUUCUAUUGCCAUACCUCCUAGUGAUCCUUUAGAGCAAUAUUUGCUAGACCAUGAAAAUGAUAUGUUUAUGAAUGAAAGAAGGGAAAUAGAUGAAGUAUUCUUUAAACAUGAACCUAUUCUGAAACACAAUUUGCCUGUUGAAAUCCUAGGGGAUCUUCCUCCACCCAAGGGUGAUCCCGUGUUUGAGCUUAAACCAUUGCCUAAUACUCUUAAAUAUGCUUAUCUUGAUGAGAAAAAGAUAUAUCCUGUUAUUAUUAGUGCUAACCUUUCAGAUCAUGAGGAAGAGAGAUUAUUGAAAACUCUGAAGAAGAACCGUGCUGCUAUUGGGUAUACUCUUGAUGAUCUUAAGGGCAUUAGUCUCACUCUAUGUCAACAUAAAAUAAAUUUGGAAGAAGAUGCUAAACCAGUUCGUGAUCAUCAACGACGACUGAAUCCUAAAAUGAAAGAAGUGGUAAGAAAGGAAAUACUAAAGCUCCUUGAGGCAGGUAUAAUCUAUCCCGUUGCUGAUACUCAGUGGGUAAGUCCUGUCCAUUGUGUCCCUAAGAAGGGAGGUAUUACUAUCGUUCCUAAUAAUAAAGAUGAAUUGAUUCCUCAAAGAAUUAUUACAGGUUAUAGGAUGGUAAUUGAUUUCUGCAAAUUAAAUAAGGCCACUAAAAAGGAUCAUUACCCCUUACCUUUUAUCGAUCAAAUGCUAGGGAGAUUAUCCAAACAUACACAUUUUUUCUUUCUAGAUGGCUAUUCUGGUUUCUCUCAAAUACCUGUGUCAGCCAAGGAUCAAUCAAAGACUACUUUUACUUGCCCUUUUGGUACUUUUGCUUAUAGACGUAUGCCUUUUGGUAUAUGUAAUGCACCUGCUACCUUUCAAAGAUGCAUGAUGGCUAUAUUCUCUAACUUUUGUGAAAAGAGUUGUGAGGUUUUCAUGGACGAUUUCUCCGUCUAUGGAUCUUCUUUUGAUGAUUGCUUGAGCAACCUUGAUCGAGUUUUGCAGAGAUGUGAAGAAACUAAUCUUGUCUUGAAUUGGGAAAAGUGCCACUUUAUGGUUAAUGAAGGUAUUGUCUUGGGUCAUAAAGUUUCUGAAAGAGGUAUUGAAGUUGAUAAAGCCAAGGUUGAUGCUACUGAAAAGAUGCCAUGCCCCAAGGACAUCAAAGGUAUAAGAAGUUUCCUUGGUCACGCCGGAUUUUAUAGGAGGUUCAUUAAGGACUUCUCAAAGAUUUCUCGGCCUCUGACUAAUUUAUUACAAAAAGAUAUACCAUUUGUCUUUGAUGAUGAUUGUGUAGAAGCAUUUGAAAUACUUAAGAAAGCAUUGAUCUCUGCACCUAUUGUUCAGCCACCUGAUUGGAAUCUACCUUUUGAAAUUAUGUGUGAUGCUAGUGAUUGUGUUGUAGGUGAUGUUCUAGGGCAAAGAGUUGAUAAGAAAUUAAACGUUAUUCAAUAUGCUAGUAAAACCCUACACAAUGCUCAAAGAAAUUAUGCUACUACUGAAAAAGAAUUCUUAGCAGUUGUAUUUGCUUGUGAUAAGUUCAGACCUUAUAUUGCUGAUUCUAAAGUAACUAUUCACACUGAUCAUUCUGCUAUUAAAUAUCUUAUGGAAAAGAAAGAUGCUAAACCUAGACUUAUUAGAUGGGUUCUCUUGCUACAAGAAUUUGAUUUACAUAUUGUUUAUAGAAAGGGAGCUGAGAACCCCGUUGCAGACAACUUGUCUAGGUUAGAAAAUGUGCUUGAUGACCCACUACCUAUUGAUGAUAGCUUUCCUGAUGAGCAAUUAAAUGUCAUAAAUGCUUCUCAUAGUGCUCCAUGGUAUGCUGAUUAUGCUAAUUACAUUGUUGCCAAAUUCAUACCACCUAGUUUCACAUACCAACAAAAGAAAAAGUUCUUCUAUGAUUUGAGACAUUACUUUUGGGAUGUCCCAUAUCUUUAUAAAGAAGGAGUAGAUGGUGUUAUUAGACGUUGUUUACCUGAGCAUGAACAGGAACAGAUCCUACACAAGUGUCACUCUGAAGCUUAUGGAGGACACCAUGCUAGAGAUAGAACUGCACAUAAGGUAUUGCAAUCUGGUUUUUAUUGGCCUACUCUCUUCAAAGAUGCCCGUAAGUUUGUCUUAUCUUGUGAUGAAUGUCAAAGAAUUGGUAAUAUUAGUAGACGUCAAGAAAUGCCUAUGAACUAUUCACUCGUUAUUGAACCAUUUGAUGUUUGGGGCUUUGACUAUAUGGGACAUUUUCUUGCCUCUAAUAGUUAUACACAUAUUUUAGUUGCUGUUAAUUACGUUACUAAGUGGGUAGAAGCUAUUCCAAUUAGUAGUGUUGAUCAUAACACUUCUAUUAAAAUGCUUAAAGAAGUUAUUUUUCCAAGAUUUGGAGUCCCUAGAUAUUUAAUGACUGAUGGUGGUUCACAUUUUAUUCAUGGUGCUUUAUGUAAAAUGCUUGCUAAGUAUGAUGUUAAUCAUAGAAUUGCAUCUCCUUAUCACCCUUAGUCUAGUGGUCAAGUAGAAUUGAGUAAUAGAGAGCUCAAAUUAAUUUUGCAAAAGACUGUCAAUAGGUCUAGAAAGAAUUGGUCCAAGAAACUUGAUGAUGCAUUAUGGGCCUAUAGAACUGCAUAUAAAAAUCCUAUGGGUAUGUCUCCCUAUAAAAUGGUUUAUGGAAAAGCAUGUCACUUACCUCUCGAACUAGAACACAAGGCAUAUUGGGCUAUUAAAGAGCUCAAUUAUGAUUUUAAACUUGCCGGUGAGAAGAGGUUAUUUGAUAUUAGCUCACUCGAUGAAUGGAGAACCCAAGCCUACGAAAAUGCCAAGUUGUUUAAAGAAAAAGUUAAAAGAUGGCAUGAUAAAAGGAUACAAAAGCGUGAGUUUAAUGUAGGUGAUUAUGUAUUGCUAUACAACUCUCAUUUAAGAUUUUUUGCAGGAAAACUUCUCUCUAAAUGGGAAGGUCCUUACGUUAUCGAGGAGGUCUAUCAUUCCGGUGCCAUAAAAAUCAACAACUUCGAAGGCACAAAUCCGAAGGUGGUGAACGGUCAAAGAAUCAAACAUUAUAUCUCAGGUAAUCCCAUAAAUGUUGAAACCAAUGUUAUUGAAACCGUAACCCCGGAGGAAUACAUAAGGGACACUUUCCGGAACGUUUUAGACUCCGAAAAGGAAUAGGUAUGUGGUACGGUAAGUAAACCGACUCCAAAAUAGUUUUUAAGGCAAUAUUUCUUUGUUUUGGAAUAUUUAGGAAAUAGAAAAAUAAGAAGCAGUCCGGGAAGGACACGAGGCCUCCACGAGGGUGGAGGGCGCGCCCUACCCUAUUGGGCGCGCCCCCCUACCUCAUGGGCACCUCGUGCGCUCUCCGGACUCUAUUUUCUUGCACGACACGUAUUUUCGUCGGUAAAAAUUCAUUAUAUAAUCUCCCGAAGGUUUUGACUCCUGUAUCACGCAAAUAUUCUCUGUUUUUUUUUUCGAGUUGUCCUGCUGCAGAUUAGAGCAACAUGUCGUCCCAGGAUUCGGAAGGAGAAAGCUAUGUGGCUGACUACCUUGUAGAUCCUAAGGUCUAUGGGGAUGUGGAGCAUUGUGGUUGGACUACGGAAGAAGAAGAGUACUAUGAACCCAAGGGAAGGGAGGAGACGAGCUCAGAAGAAGAUGAAAUCCCAUUACCUCAACCUGGGGACAUCCAUGUGGAGUUCAAAAAAUCAAGCCUCCCGGAUAGAGUAAAUAAACCUAAGAUCGAGUUUAUCCCUUUUCGCCUCUUGCAGGAAAACAAGCAGGAACUAUGCAAAAAGAUACUGAGCCUGGAGCGGGAGAUCGAUGACCUAAGGGACCAAAACUCUGUCCUCAAGCGUAAAUUAAGGAAGAAGCCUAUGCCAUCAACAAAACCAUCACCUUCUCCACCAACAAAGAAGAAUUGAGUAUCUGGUAUGGGCACUCCCCUUGGCAACUGCCAAGCUUGGGGGAGUGCCCCGUUAUCGUAUCACCAUCACUUUUAUCUUUACUGUUUUUCUUAGUUUGAUCCUUUUGGUAAUAUCUUGAUCUAGUAGAAUAAAGUUUAUGGCAUGAUCUAGUUUUGAGUUUUGCUUUAUGAUCCCUCUAUGUAAUCGAGUCCGUGAGCUAUAUAAUAAAGAUUAGUGUUGAGUCAAGGGCUUGAUUAUUUUGCCAUGAUCCUAAGUGAAUAAAAGAGAAGAGAAAUAAAUAAAAAAGGAAACAAAGAGAUCAUAUGGAUCUUAUGGAGAGUAAUGAGCUCACAUAGAAAAAGUAUGAUGAAUAAAAGUUGUUGAGAGUUGACAAACAUAGUUUUGGUCAUUGUUGCAAUUAAUAGGAAGUAAUAAAGAAAGAGAGGUCUUCACAUAUAAAUAUACUAUCUUGGACAUCUUUUAUGAUUGUGAGCGCUCAUUAAAAUAUGACAUGCUAAAGAGUUGACGUUGAACAAGGAAGACAAUGUAAUGGGUUAUGUUUUCUUACAUAUGAGAUAAAUUAUAUUUCGUGGAUCAUCCAACAUGGUUGAGCUUGCCUUUCCCCCUCAUGCUAGACAAAUUCAUCGCACCAAGUAGAGAUACUACUUGUGCUUCCAAAUACCCUUAAACCAGUUUUGCCAUGAGAGUCCACCAUACCUACCUAUGGAUUGAGUAAGAUCCUCCAAGUAAGUUGUCACCGGUGCAAGCUAUAAAAAUUGCUCUCUAAAUAUGUAUGACUUAUUAGUGUGGGAGUAAAUAAGCUUUAUACGAUCGUGUGAUAUGGAAGAAAUAAAAGCGACAGACUGCAUAAUAAAGGUCCAUAUCACAAGUGGCAAUAUAAAGUGACGUUCUUUCGCAUUAAGAUUUCGUGCAUCCAACCAUAAAAGCACAUGACAACCUCUGCUUCCCUCUGCGAAGGGCCUAUCUUUUACUUUUACCUCCUACCUUGCAUAAGAGUCAUGGUGAUCUUCACCCUUCCUUUUUACAUUUUAUCCUUUGGCAAGCACAGUAUGUUGGAAAGAUCCCGGUAUAUAUGGCUAAUUGGAUGUGAGUUUUCAUGAACUAUUAUUGUUGACAUUACGCUUGAGGUAAAACGUUGGGAGGCAAAAGUAUAAGCCCCUAUCUUUCUCUGUGUCCGAUUAAAACUCCAUACCCAUAAGUAUUGCGUGAGUGUCAGCAAUUGUGAAAGACUAUAUGAUAGUUGAGUAUGUGGACUUGCUGAAAAGCUCUUAUAUAUUGACUCUUUCCUAUGUUAUGCUAAAUUGCAAUUGCUCCAAUGACUGAGAUUAUAGUUUGUUAGUUUUCAAUGAAGUUUACGAUUCAUACUUGAAAUUGUGAUUGAAUUAUUACUCUAGCAUAAGAAAUCAUAUGACAAGAAUUAUGUAAGUUGCUGUUCUAAGAAUGAUCAUGAUGCCCUCAUGUCCAUAUUUUACUUUUAUCGACACCUCUAUCUCUAAACAUGUGGACAUAUUUUUCGAUUUCGGCUUUCGCUUGAGGACACGCGAGGUCUAAGCUUGGGGGAGUUGAUAUGUCCAUUUUGCAUCAUGCUUUUAUAUCGAUAUUUAUUGCAUUAUGGGUUGUUAUUACACAUUAUGUCACAAUACUUAUGCCUAUUCUAUCUUAUUUUACAAGGUUUACAUAAAGAGGGAGAAUGCCGGCAGCUGGGAUUCUGGCUGGAAAAGGAGCAAAUAUUAGAGACCUAUUCUGCACAGCUCCAAAAGUCCUGAAACUUCACGGAAGACGUUUCCAGAAUAUAUAAAAAAUACUGAGCGCAAGAAGUUCACCAGGGCGGCCACACCCUGCCCACGAGGGUGGGGGCACGCCCUACCCCCCUGGGCGCGCCCCCUACCUCGUGUGGCCCUCUGAUGGCCAUCUUCUGCUAUAUGGAGUCUUUCGAUGAGCAAAUAAUCAUAAGCCAUCUCCUCGGAUGAAACUCCAAUCUAGGGCUCCGGCAGAGCUGUCCUGCCGGGGAAACUUCCCUUCGGGAGGGGGAAGUCAUCGCCAUCAUCAUCACCAACACUCCUCUCAUUAGGAGAGGGCAAUCUCCAUCAACAUCUUCACCAGCACCAUCUCCUCUCAAAACCCUAGUUCAUCUCUUGUAUCCAAUUCUUGUCUCCAAGUCCGGGAUUGGUACAUGGGAGAAGUCUUGCUAUUAGGAGUCAUGUGAAUUUGGUAUUCGUUCGAUAUUUUGAUGAGAUGUAUGUUGUCUCCCCUCUAGUGGUGUUAUGUGAACAUCGACUACAUAACACUUCACCAUUAUUUGGGCCUAGAGGAAGGCAUUGGGAAGUAAUAAGUAGAUGAUGGGUUGCUAGAGUGACAGAAGCUUAAACCCUAGUUUAUGUGUUGCUUCGUAAGGGGCUGAUUUGGAUCCAUAUGUUUCAUGCUAUGGUUAGGUUUACCUUAAUACUUUUGUUGUAGUUGCGGAUGCUUGCAAUAGAGGUUAAUCAUAAGUGGGAUGCUUGUCCAAGUAAGGACAGUACCCAAGCACCGGUCCACCCACAUACCAAAUUAUCAAAGUACCGAACGUGAAUCAUAUGAACGUGAUGAAAACUAGCUUGACGAUAUUCCCAUGUGUCCUCGGGAGCGCUUUUCUCUAUAUAAGAGUUUUCCAGGCUUGUCCUUUGCUACAAAAAGGAUUGGGCCACCUUGCUGCACUUUAUUUACUUUUGUUACUUGUUGCUCGUUACAAAUUAUCCUAUCACAAAACUAUCUGUUACCACUUAUUUUAGUACUUGCAGAGAAUACCUUGCUGGAAACCUCUUAUCAUUUCCUUCUGCUCCUCGUUGGGUUCGACACUAUUACUUAUCGAAAGGACUAGAUAGAUCCCCUAUACUUGUGGGUCAUCAAUCAUCCUGCACCGGUUCACCCUCCUCCUCUCCACCCAGCGGCUGGAAAUCAAUGGUGGUCCAGUCGAUUCCAGUUAGGGCCUUGAAUACAGCUUCGUCGCUUAUAAGGGUGGAGGGGUCAACAUCAGGAGCGUAGGUAUGCUUACGGAUUGGUGGGAUAAGAUUAUCCACAUCAUGAGUUGGUGCAACAAGUCAUUUGUUGUCAACAUCAUAAACUGGCUGAUAGUGAGAGAGAUCUGUUUCUUCGGCCAGUUUGCUCGCUAAUGGGCGCAUUUCCUUUGUCAAAGCUCGAAGAUCAUCAUUAUCAAACUCUAACCCGUCUUCCUUUAUGCUCGGAUAGCUGCGUCCUAUAUUGGCUGAGUCAAGAUCGGGUAUCCAGGCAUUAGCCCGGAUUAGCGCAGUCAGAGCACCCGCCCUUGCAGCUGAUCUUUUUAACUCGUCCAACUGGGCAGGAAGCAUUGACAACUUUUCUAAUGUUUCCUUGAUCAGGUUUGGGGGUGGUUUGUUAUGAGCGGCAGUGCAAAUGAUCUGUUGUGCGCCGGUAUAUAACUGCUCUAUAAGAGUAUAGGCAGCCUUCAACUUCUUCUGCAUAUCAGAGCCCAGGUGGGUAAUGCGAGAUCCUGCAUCAUUGAACAUAUUGAUAAACCGACAGUUUAUGGGAUAAUACAUGUUGAAGCUUAUCAUAAGGGUACUUACCAAACACAGCAGUGGUCAUGGCAUUGAUUUGCUGCUUCAAGCCAGUCAAUUCUUCUGCUACCGGUUUAAGAGUUGUUUCAGCGUCCUCCGCCCGCUUUAGCAGAGUUGCUUUUUCAGCGUCCCAUCCUGCCCGUUCGCCUUUAAAGCCUUCUUUCAGUUGUUCCAUGGCUGUUAAAGCGCCAGUCAGCUCUUCUUUAGCCUUGGAAAUUUCUGCCUGUUGGGACUUGAUAUUUUCCUGAAGGUCGGCAAUUUGAGAUUCUUUUUGGCUUAGAUCGGCCUGCAAGCGACAUGUAAUGAGUUACUAAUGCAUAUUUGAAGUCCCAGGCAUAUAACAGGUUAUACACUUGGCACUUGGGGGCUAAUGCGUAUGGCUUUUAUCAACUGACAUUUUCAAGUCCCAAGCACAUAACAACUUAUACACUUGGCACUUGGGGGCUAAUGUAUAUUUGCUCAAGUCAAAAUUAUGGAUUUUUCUUCAUCAAUCGGUUUACAAAGAUGGUGUCAAGAGUUUUGGAAGCUUCACGACAAAAAGGUACCGAUUCAUCCUAAAGGUAUAAACCGAUCCCUGGGGGCUACACAAGCAAAAAUUGCAAGAUUCAUACUUUAAAGUCCCAGUUCAUCCUGAAACGAUAAACCGGCCCUUGGGGACUACGCAGGCAAAAGUUGAAGCAUUACAAAGUCCCGGUUCACGAUGAUAUCAUAAACCGGCCCUGGGGGGCUGCUGGAGUUGAUAUUAGAAAUUGGACACAAGAUAAACAAUUAUGAAGAGUUAAUAGUGUUUACCUCAUAUCGCUCCAUCACAAGGCCCACUAAACCGGCUUCAUAGUCGCGGCUUGUAUACAGGCGAUUUAAGAAGCUAGAAUGAAUCUCUUGGGCGUUGAGGUGGGCAUAGCUGGAUAAAUCCGUUUUCCACUUGCCCAUAUCCAUAGCAGAAAACUCUUCCUUGGCACUAUGCGUUGAUAAAGCGAUAGGAUUGCCAGGGGUGGUGUGGCCGACGCCGGUGACAAUGACAUCAUCCGAUUGGUCAUUAGCUGCUUUGGCUGGGCUUAGCGGCUUGGCUGCAGCUUUAGCCAGGCUUGGCGGGUCAGUAGCAUGGCCGGUGGGAUCCUCUUCCAUCGGUUCAGCAAAGGUUUCAUGAUGUUCUGGUGGCGGAUCAUCAUGUAUAGCGUCAACAUUAGGCUCAAAUUGUUCUGGGAUCUGUUCUGGAUUAUCAUCAACCGGAUUAUCAUCAGUCGGUUUAUCAUCAGCUGGUUUAUUCAAUUUGGCCUUUUUGCUAGGCCUGGCCUUGGCUCUGAAAGGAAAAGAUAUAUAGGUUAGUAUAACAAACAAGUAUAAAGCGUCAAAGAGUUAAGUUUAAAGUGUUCACCCAGGAACAGUCUUGAGAGGAGGGAGUUGUGUGGCCAUUGACACGCCAGAUGAUGAAUGAGGUGUUCCAUGAUAGUUUGAAUCAGACGGAUUAAGAGGUUGCCUGAAAUAACCCGCCUUGGGAUAAGGAGUAUCAGAAAUGUAGCGACCCGACCCGAAUGAAUCAAGUGCUCUGUGCUCAGGUGUCAUCCCUGGAUCAGUAAUGCUGACACCACACAGUACAUCGAAGGAUUUAUAGCAGAGUGGCAAUCACACACUUAUUACAUCGUUGUCUCAAAGAGAACUUUACAAUAAAUAUGGCUUAAGGCCAUCUAAUAAUGAUAACAGCGGAAUACUCGGAAGAUAAAUGGGUCCAUCAACUCCAACGGCAUCACUGAGUAUAGGGCCACGAGCUAAAAACACCUUACUCGUCGUCUGAAAAGUCUGCAACAUGAGAAGUUGCAGCCUGAAAACGGGUCAGCACAUGGAAUAUGCUGGCAAUGUAACACAUAGAGAGUAAUGGAAUGAAACAGCUAUACUAUAUGCAUAUAAGGCUGGUGGAAAGCUCUAUGGUUACAGUUUUGCGUAAAGCCAGUUUUUCCCUACUGCAAAGGAAUAAAUUUGUUUAACUAUCAUGGUAGUUGUUAAACAUCGAGAAUGGUUGACAGCAUUCCGAUCCCAAUUAAGUGAACAGUUAAAACCCAACAACAUUAAUUAGAAGUAACAUGUUGAGAUUCACAUGAUAUUCAAGUACUAGAUACUCAAGUUGUCCAUAACCGGGGACACGGCUAAUCAUGAUUAGUUUGUACACUCUGCAGAGGUUUGCGCACUUUUCCCCACAUGACUCGAUCGCCUCCGUUUGUUUUCUAGCACUACAUGGUGUUUGAGAAACGGAUGACCGAGACAUAGUCUUUCAGAAGCACUAGCACCUUACAUGUGGGGUAGACCGUACCACCUACAACCCCUACAUCUGCUAGUCCACCCCGUAAGAGUUCGCACAACUUAGUCAACUAUGCCAGAGCCCAUAGUAGCAUGUGGCUGCACACGGAAGUUUCUAGCAUGAAUGAUCUUAUGAUCCCUUUGAGCCUGGGUGGCGGUCCAAAAUAAAACAGGCAAGUCCUGAUAGACAUCAGGUGCCUCAAUCCACCCAGAUGUGUGUUUAAGUUGCCACCUUAGAUAAACCAUUAAAAUUAUCAACUCACAUCUGUCAUGGAUAUCACUCACCCAAUCCACGUCUACUAGCAUAGCAUGGCAUAAUAAGCAAACGUAGAAGUAACUCCCAAAGGUUUCAUAAUAAUACAGGUGAUAGGUACUACCUCAUCUACUUCCCAUCCCACAGUUUAAUUAGAUCCUAAUCAUGCAAUGUGUGAGGAUUGAUCUAAUGCAAUAAAACAAGGGUUGUAGAAAAGGUAUGAUCAAAGUGUUACUUGCCUUGCUGAUGAUCCGCGAGACCUAGGGUUUCGAAGUAACAAGCGGCGCAAUCCGGGUGAUCUAUCGUAGACAAACAACAAGCAUACAAAAGUACUCAUCUAAUGCACAGGUAAAACUCGAACAAGAGAAUGAAACAGAAAAUUCAACUUAAGAACUCUGGUUGCAAAGAAAGAAAGAACCGAACAAGGAAACGGAAAACAAAAGGCGGAAGAAAACAACUCGGUUCUAGCAAGUUGAAACUAGGUCAAAUUUUACCAGGGCAAAAACAUGUUUAGGUUGAUUAGACGGAACGGCGGUUUCGAAAUGAAACUCCAGGCGCUUGAAUCACCUGAUUCCGAUAAACGAGCGAGAAGAAAGACUAGAACGAAGAUCGGAUCUGAGAUCACGAUCGCGGAAUAAAUCCGACGAAAAGAAAGAGACGAACGGUUAAACGAACGGGCGUCGUUAACCGGGGAAUAAUCGGUGAUCAUGUUCGUUGAGACGAACAGUCCGAAAGAAGAACGAAAACCAAUCUCGGGUUUUCGGAAAAGAAACCGAAAAAGAAACGGAAAACCAAUCUAGGGUUUCGGAAGAAAACCGAAACAAAACCGGAAGAAAAAGAAAAGAAUCAGAGAGAAAACGGAAUGGUUCUUUUAGGAAAAACCGGACCGGGGAAGAAAAAAGAGGCGCAGCGCGGGGCUACCUCCGGCAAGGCGAAACUCCGACGGCGGCGAGGCAAGAGCGGCGGCGGCGGCUAUAGGCGCGGGGCGGCGGGUGAGGGGUGCGGGGUGGGGCUGCGCGCUGCUGCUUGCUGUGGCUUAGGAGGAGAGGGGCUUGGGGUUUUGAUUUGAUGUUUUGGAGGGGGGGGUGUUGGUAUUUAUAUAGGUGAGGGGAGGGGGUUUCUUGGGGUGGGGGACAAGAAAUAGAGUAGGAAAAGGAAAACGAAACAAAGGAAAGAGGGCUAGAACCGGCCUUGAGUCCCUCAGGGACUCAGCCUGAGCGAGGGGAGGCGGCGGCUGGCGCCUGGCGCGUGGCGCGCAGCGCUGCAGGGGGCGGCGGCGGGCUGGGCCUUUGGCCCGGCUGGCCUGCGGGAGUUCCCUUUUUUUUAAAUCGGUUACGCGCGCAGAAAAACAAAAGAAAAACUAUCUAAACGAACUCCGAAAAUUACUAAAGUAAAUUUUCCCCGACUCCUAAAAAUGAGCCGAACAAAAUGAACUUUACUCCGGGCCUAAAAUGCAAUUUUCGAAAACGCGCAUUUUUCCCUAUCCAAAUAAAAAGCAAACAAAACUCCGGCAAAACCAAAAUUUGAUUUAUUCAUUAGAUCUUCAUUUUUCCUAACUUUGGGAAAGUCAUAUUAUUCCCUCUCUCAUAUUGUGAUAUUGGGAAAAAUAAUUGAAGAUGAAAUAAAAUAAAUCAAAUGAUCCUCUUUUCAAAAUUUGAGAAAACUCAAAUAUGAAAAUAACGAAAUCUCCAACUCUCUCCGAGGGUCCUUGAGUUGCGUGAAAUUUCUAGGAUCGGGCAAAAUGCAAGAAAAUAUGACAUGCAUGAUGAUCUAAUGUAUAACAUUCCAAAUUGAAAAUUUGGGAUGUUACAAACCUACCCCCCUUAAAAUGAAUCUCGCCCUCGAGAUUCGGGUUGGCUAGAAAAUAGGCGAGGGUGGUCCUUGAGCAAAUCUUCUUCUCUCUCCCAGGUGGCUUCAUCCUCUGAGUGGUGGUUCCGCUGAACUUUGCAAAACUUGAUAACCUUGCUGCGAGUAACUCUGCUGGCAUAAUCGAGAAUCUUGACUGGCUUCUCCUCAUAUGUCAAGUCAUCCUCCAACUGAAUCGCUUCGAGUGGCAUGGUAUCUCUUAGCGGUACCUCUGCCAUCUCGGCAUGACAUUUCUUAAGCUGAGAAACAUGGAAUACAUCAUGAACUCCUGACAGUCCCUCUGGUAAUUCCAACUUAUAAGCGACUUCUCCCAUACGUUGCAAGAUCUUGUACGAUCCAACGAAACACGGUGCUAACUUUCCCUUAACUCCAAAGCGCUUAACUCCUCGAAGUGGGGAUACUCGGAGAUAAACUCUGUCUCCGGUUUUGUAAACUGUCUCCUUGCAUUUAGAAUCUGCGUAGCUCUUCUGCCUAGACUGGGCUACCUUGAGCCUAUCGCGAAUCAACUUAACUUUCCAUUCAGACUCCUUAAUCAAAUCUGGUCCAAAGAAUUGACGGUCUCCAACUUCGUCCCAUGACAACGGUGUCCUGCACCUCCUUCCGUAUAAAGCUUCGAAAGGUGCCAUCUUCAAACUGGUUUGGUAACUGUUGUUAUAAGAAAACUCCGCAUACGGCAAGUUAUCGUCCCAACUAGAUCCAUAAUCUAGUGCACAAGCUCUCAGCAUAUCUUCCAAAAUCUGAUUGACUCUCUCGGUCUGUCCAUCCGUCGGUGGAUGAAAAGCCGUGCUGAACUCUAGUCUGGUUCCUAAAGUUUCAUGCAACUGAUUCCAAAACUUUGAAGUAAAUUUAGUUCCUCUAUCUGAUACGAUACUCCUCGGAACUCCAUGCAAACAAAUGAUCCUAGUCAUAUAUAUCUUCGCCAACUUAGCACUGGUGUAAGUGGUCUUAACUGGGAUAAAAUGUGCUACCUUUGUCAAAUGAUCAACUACUACCCAUAUCGAAUCGUAGCCUGCCUUUGUCCUGGGUAGUCCCGUGAUAAAAUCCAUGCCUAUCUUAUCCCACUUCCAUUUGGGUAUCGGCAAUGGUUGUAACAAUCCUGCUGGCUUCUGAUGCUCUACCUUUACUCUCUGACAUACGUCACAAACUACUACAUAUGCUGCAAUAUCCUUCUUCAUUCCGGUCCACCAGAAUGUUUCCUUCAAAUACAAAUACAUCUUGGUAUCCCUGGGUGAAUCAAAUACGGUGAAUCAUGUGCCUCUUGCAAAAUCAACUUCCUGAUCUCCGGGUCAUUUGGCACAUAAACACGGUCCUCAAACCAUAGGGUAUCGUGCUCAUCCUCAUGAAAUACCUUUGCUUUUCCUUCGCUCAAUUUCUCUUUUAUAACAGCAAUCUCCUUGUCAGAUUUCUGAGCUUCUUUGAUCUUAUCCAUCAAUGUUGACUGAAUCUCCAAUGUUGCUACAUAGCCUCUCGGAACUAUUUCCAAAAAUAGCUCACGAAGAUUUUCUGCUAACUCCUUUGGUAUUUUCCCCGUCAUUAGAGUUUUGACAUGGCUCUUACGGCUCAAUGCGUCAGCUACUACAUUAGCUUUUUCGGGAUGGUAAUGCAACCUCAUGUCAUAAUCCUUGAUGAGCUCCAACCAUCAUCCUUUGUCUGAGGUUCAACUCCUUCUGCGUGAAAAUGUACUUCAAACUCUUGUGAUCCGUGUACACCUCACAAUGAUUUCCAAUGAGGAAAUGUCUCCAUCUUUUCAAUGCAUGCACUACGGCUACUAACUCCAAAUCAUGCGUGGCAUAAUUCAACUCAUGAGGCUUCAGUUGCCGUGAAGCAUACGAAACAACUCUCCCUUCCUGCAUAAGCACUGCUCCAAGUCCUCGACGUGAAGCGUCGCAAUACACCUCAUAAUCCUUGGUCUGAUCUGGCAAAAUCAAUACUGGUGAGGUGACCAAACGUUUCUUCAACUCUUGGAAACUAGCCUCACACUCCUCAGUCCAUUUGAACUUAGUAUCCUUCUUCAACAACUCCGUCAUAGGCUUCACAAUCUUUGAGAAAUUCUCAAUAAACCUCCAGUAGUAUCCUGCGAGUCCAAGAAAACUCGGGAUCUCUCCAACUGUUGUUGGUGCUUCCCAUUCGGUUACGGUCUCAACCUUUGUGGGGUCAACUGCUAUAACUUCUCCGGAUAUAACGUGUCCGAGGAAUCCAACUUCCUUCAACCAAAACUCACAUUUGCUGAAUUUGGCAUAUAACUGGUGUUCCCUUAGUUUCUUCAAAACCAAACGCAAAUGUUCCUUAUGCUCCUCUUCAUUCUUUGAAUAAACCAGGAUGUCAUCAAUGAACACUACGACGAACUUAUCCAAAAACUCCAUAAACACUUUGUUCAUCAGGUUCAUAAAAUAGGCAGGUGCGUUAGUCAAUCCAAAUGACAUAACGGUAUACUCAUACAGUCCAUAUCUUGUGGUGAAUGCUGUCUUAGGUACGUCCUGCUCUCGAAUCUUCAAUUGAUGGUACCCUGAUCGCAAAUCGAUCUUGAAAAACACUUUAGCUCCUUGCAACCGAUCAAACAGAUCGUUGAUCAUUGGCAGUGGGUACUUGUUCUUGAUGGUUACUUCGUUCAAUCCCCGAUAAUCUACAACCAUCCUUAAGGAUCCAUCCUUCUUUUCCACUAGAAGUAUGGGUGAUCCCCAAGGUGAAGAACUUGGGCGAAUGUAACCUUUAUCCAAUAACUCCUUAAUCUGAUUCUUAAUUUCCACCAAAUCCUUUGCUGGCAUCCGAUACGGUCGCUUCGAUAUUGGCCCAGUGCCUGGCAAUAGCUCAAUCAAAAACUCAAUGUCUCUAUCCGGUGGCAUUCCUCGCAAUUCCUCAGGAAAUACAUCAGGAAAAUCCUUCACCACUGGUACUUCCUCUUGCACAACUCCUGUUAGGCAGUUUACUUGUGUCCUGUUUGGCACAUGCCGGGAUACAUACUUGAUCCUUCUUCCUUCUGGUGUGGUAAGCAAAAUUGUCCUACUGGCGCAAUCGAUGUUUCCUCCAUACAUCGACAACCAAUCCAUACCAAGAAUCACAUCCAAUCCUUGAGAUUCCAAUACUAUUAGGUCUGAGGGAAACACAUAGUUACCAAUCCUUAAUGGUAACCGAUCACACCAUCGUCUAGCCAUAAACUCCGCUCCUGGUGAGCUUACUAACAUGGGUGUCCUAAGGGCUUGGGUUGGCAAGUUAUAUUUAUCCACAAAUCCCCUUGAUAUGUAUGAAUGCGAUGCACCGGUAUCAAAAAGAACGAGUGCAGUAAAUGACUUAACCAGAAACUUACCGAUUACUGCAUCAGGCUGAUCUUCAACCUCCUCCACAUUAAUGUGGUUCACCUGUCCCCUAUUGAAAGGGUUCGGUUUCUUCCCAGAGCUGCCAUUGCCACUUCCAUUCUGGCCUUCGGGACAUUCAUUGGCAUAAUGUCCGGUCUUAGAACACUUGAAACAGGUGACUUGACUCAGAUCUCUCUUGGUUGGGGUCGAUGGGGUGGUCCGGUUCUGGCCGUUGCUUCCUCCAUUCCCAUUACCAUUCUUGUGGCCAUUAUGGUUGUGCGAACUACCUCCUCCAUGGGUAUGCUGAAACUGAAAUCCCGGUUUUGGGGUAAAACGGGGCUUCUGCUGGGCUCCAGAAUUAUACUUCCCCUGUCCAUACUUCCUCUUACGGUUCUCAAUCUGCUGUUGCUUUCCUUCAAUCAUGAUGGCACGAUCUACCAACUCCUGGUAGUUGUUGAAACUCGCUACCAUCAACUUCAUGCUUAGUUCAUGAUUCAGUCCUUCCAGAAACUUCUCCUGCUUAGCUGCAUCCGUAGCAACGUCAUCUGGGGCAUAACGUGCUAACUUGCUGAAAUCGUCAAUGUACUGGCCAACUGUCCUUCCUCCUUGGCGUAAGUUGCGAAACUCACGCUUCUUCAUGGCCAUAGCUCCUGCUAAAACAUGGGCAGUGCGGAAAGCUUGCUGAAAGUGAUCCCAUGUGACAGUGUCAACUGGGUAAGUCGCUGUGAAAUUCUCCCACCAUGCUGCCGCGGGUCCGUCAAGCUGGUGAGCGGCAAACUUCACUUUCUCACCAUCCGUGCAUCCUGCAGUGGUCAACUCCCUUCCUAUCUUGCGGAGCCAAUCGUCUGCUACUAUCGGCUCGGUGCUACUGGAAAACACCGGCGGAUUCAACCUAAGGAAAUGGGCUAAGUGGUCAACAGGUGGUGGUGGUGGUGGGUUGUUGUUGUUUCCCUGAUUCUGAUUCUGAACUAGCAACUGCAUCAAGGUGUUCUGCUGCUGGAUCAACUGGGUGAGCUCCGGCGGAAAGGCAAAUCCGAGGUCACGUCUCGGAGGCAUCUGAGGGUUUAGAAAAGACGAGAAUUAAGAAUAGAGUGAGGUCUAAAGGGAAAACACUACCCCAAUGCACAUGAGCAAAUGCACACAAAAUCACUUCAUUCAGUCAAACAAGGGCUUACAAUCGGUCUAACUAUCGCAAAAGUGCUCGAACUAUAAUGUUUACCUGGGGGAAUACUACUAUUAUCUGGUGGUCAUCUAGAAAUUUGAACCGGUGGAAGACUCCAUGAUAUCUGCUCCAGCUUCGUCUUCAAAGUCGGGUUCACUUCGAUCCGAAUCGGUGUCGUCGAUGAUGACGUAGUUGUCCGGACAUGCGACGUACAUGUCUUCCUUCCUGGAUGCUAACUUCUUCUUGAGUUAUUCAAUCUCCUGCUUAAGAUCGCCAGUGUGUCUUGCUAGAGCUAUGAUCUCGUCCAUGUAGUCCUUGCGUGUAGACUUCAGUUCUCCUUCUAGCUCGAUGAUCCUUGCCUUUGCAUUCUUCAACUCUAUCAUAUCAUUGCACAUCUGGUUCUUGUGGCGUCGAAUGUGCUGGUUUAACUCCUGGAUGAAAGAUGCAAUGGAUCUAUCCUUCUUAGUGCUGACUAACUCCCAUUGUUCAUCUCGACGUCCGCAAAUCUGGUAGAUAGUGUCCUUGAGGUCUUCUUGGUAAACUUCUCCAAUGUGUCCUAUGGUGAUAUGAGCUGCCAUGCUCUUUCCCAGACUCCAGGUUGGUGCAUUGAAAACACUAUCUAUAGGCUUCGUGAUUGGCGCGAAUGUUCUUCCCGGAACAUGAGCUUGAAUCUUCCAGCGCUCCUCUUCAGGCAGAGUGGCGUUGAAGGUUCCCGUGAAACUUUGUAAUCCAAUGUUUAGGUACUUGGUGACUUCCUUCAGGUGAAAUCCAAAUGGUGUGCCUUCAUCCGGUUGAGCGUACUUAAUCUUCGCGUUCAUCAUCCUAAAAGAGUAGAAAAGAUGAGGAGUUUAGAAAAUGAGAAGAGAAGGGUGAUCUAUGGCUUUAACUUAGUGGUCGUGUCCUACAGUCAGCGUGUGCUCUGAUACCAUCUCUGUAGCGACCCGACCCGAAUGGAUCAAGUGCUCUGUGCUCAGGUGUCACCCCUGGAUCAGUAAUGCUGACACCACACAGUACAUCGAAGGAUUUAUAGCAAAGUGGCAAUCACACACUUAUUACAUCGUUGUCUCAAAGAGAACUUUACAAUAAAUAUGGCUUAAGGCCAUUCAAUAAUGAUAACAGCGGAAGACUCGGAAGAUAAAUGGGUCCAUCAACUCCAACGGCAUCACUGAGUAUAGGGUCACGACCUAAAAACACCUUACUCGUCGUCUGAAAAGUCUGCAACAUGAGAAGUUGCAGCCCGAAAACGGGUCAGCACAUGGAAUAUGCUGGCAAUGUAACACAUAAAGAGUAAUGGAAUGAAACAGUUAUACUAUAUGCAUAUAAGGCUGGUGGAAAGCUCUAUGGUUACAGUUUUGCGUAAAGCCAGUUUUUCCCUACUGCAAAGGAAUAAAUUUGUUUAACUAUCAUGGUAGUUGUUAAACAUCGAGAAUGGUUGACAGCAUUCCGAUCCCAAUUAAGUGAACAGUUAAAACCCAAAUACAUUAAUUAGAAGUAACAUGUUGAGAUUCACAUGAUAUUCAAGUACUAGAUACUCAAGUUGUCCAUAACCGGGGACACGGCUAAUCAUGAUUAGUUUGUACACUCUGCAGAGGUUUGCGCACUUUUCCCCACAUGACUCGAUCGCCUCCGUUUGUUUUCUCGCACUACAUGGUGUUUCAGAAACGGAUGACCGAGACAUAGUCUUUCAGAAGCACUAGCACCUUACAUGUGGGGUAGACCGUACCACCUACAACCCCUACAUCUGCUAGUCCACCCCGUAAGAGUUCGCACAACUUAGUCAACUAUGCCAGAGCCCAUAGUAGCAUGUGGCUGCACACGGAAGUUUCUAGCAUGAAUGAUCUUAUGAUCCCUUUGAGCCUGGGUGGCGGUCCAAAAUAAAACAGGCAAGUCCUGAUAGACAUCAGGUGCCUCAAUCCACCCAGAUGUGUGUUUAAGUUGCCACCUUAGAUAAACCAUUAAAAUUAUCAACUCACAUCUGUCAUGGAUAUCACUCACCCAAUCCACGUCUACUAGCAUAGCAUGGCAUAAUAAGCAAACGUAGAAGUAACUCCCAAAGGUUUCAUAAUAAUACAGGUGAUAGGUACUACCUCAUCUACUUCCCAUCCCACAGUUUAAUUAGAUCCUAAUCAUGCAAUGUGUGAGGAUUGAUCUAAUGCAAUAAAACAAGGGUUGUAGAAAAGGUAUGAUCAAAGUGUUACUUGCCUUGCUGAUGAUCCGCGAGACCUAGGGUUUCGAAGUAACAAGCGGCGCAAUCCGGGUGAUCUAUCGCAGACAAACAACAAGCAUACAAAAGUACUCAUCUAAUGCACAGGUAAAACUCGAACAAGAGAAUGAAACAGAAAAUUCAACUUAAGAACUCCGGUUGCAAAGAAAGAAAGAACCGAACAAGGAAACGGAAAACAAAAGGCGGAAGAAAACAACUCGGUUCUAGCAAGUUGAAACUAGGUCAAAUUUUACCAGGGCAAAAACAUGUUUAGGUUGAUUAGACGGAACGGCGGUUUCGAAAUGAAACUCCAGGCGCUUGAAUCACCUGAUUCCGAUAAACGAGCGAGAAGAAAGACUAGAACGAAGAUCGGAUCUGAGAUCGCGAUCGCGGAAUAAAUCCGACGAAAAGAAAGAGACGAACGGUUAAACGAACGGGCGUCGUUAACCGGGGAAUAAUCGGUGAUCAUGUUCGUUGAGACGAACAGUCCGAAAGAAGAACGAAAACCAAUCUCGGGUUUUCGGAAAAGAAACCGAAAAAGAAACGGAAAACCGAUCUAGGGUUUCAGAAGAAAACCGAAACAAAACCGGAAGAAAAAGAAAAGAAUCAGAGAGAAAACGGAAUGGUUCUUUUAGGAAAAACCGGACCGGGGAAGAAAAAAGAGGCGCAGCGCGGGGCUACCUCCGGCGAGGCGAAACUCCGACGGUGGCGAGGCAAGAGCGGCGGCGGCGGCUAUAGGAGCGGGGCGGUGGGUGAGGGGUGCGGGGUGGGGCUGCGCGCUGCUGCUUGCUGUGGCUUAGGAGGAGAGGGGCUUGGGGUUUUGAUUUGAUGUUUUGGAGGGGGGGGUGUUGGUAUUUAUAUAGGAGAGGGGAGGGGGUUUCUUGGGGUGGGGGACAAGAAAUAGAGUAGGAAAAGGAAAACGAAACAAAGGAAAGAGGGCUAGAACCGGCCUUGAGUCCCUCAGGGACUCAGCCUGGGCGAGGGGAGGCGGCGCCUGGCGCCUGGCGGCUGGCGGCUGGCGCCUGGCGCGCAGCGCUGCAGGGGGCGGCGGCGGGCUGGGCCUUUGGCCCGGCUGGCCUGCGGGAGUUCCCUUUUUUUUAAAUCGGUUACGCGCGCAGAAAAACAAAAGAAAAACUAUCUAAACGAACUCCGAAAAUUACUAAAGUAAAUUUUCCCCGACUCCUAAAAAUGAGCCGAACAAAAUGAACUUUACUCCGGGCCUAAAAUGCAAUUUUCGAAAACGCGCAUUUUUCCCUAUCCAAAUAAAAAGCAAACAAAACUCCGGCAAAACCAAAAUUUGAUUUAUUCAUUAGAUCUUCAUUUUUCCUAACUUUGGGAAAGUCAUAUUAUUCCCUCUCUCAUAUUGUGAUAUUGGGAAAAAUAAUUGAAGAUGAAAUAAAAUAAAUCAAAUGAUCCUCUUUUCAAAAUUUGAGAAAACUCAAAUAUGAAAAUAACGAAAUCUCCAACUCUCUCCGAGGGUCCUUGAGUUGCGUGAAAUUUCUAGGAUCGGGCAAAAUGCAAGAAAAUAUGACAUGCAUGAUGAUCUAAUGUAUAACAUUCCAAAUUGAAAAUUUGGGAUGUUACAAACCUACCCCCCCUUAAAAUGAAUCUCGCCCUCGAGAUUCGGGUUGGCUAGAAAAUAGGCAAGGGUGGUCCUUGAGCAAAUCUUCUUCUCUCUCCCAGGUGGCUUCAUCCUCUGAGUGGUGGUUCCACUGAACUUUGCAAAACUUGAUAACCUUGCUGCGAGUAACUCUGCUGGCAUAAUCGAGAAUCUUGACUGGCUUCUCCUCAUAUGUCAAGUCAUCCUCCAACUGAAUCGCUUCGAGUGGCACGGUAUCUCUUAGCGGUACCUCUGCCAUCUCGGCAUGACAUUUCUUAAGCUGAGAAACAUGGAAUACAUCAUGAACUCCUGACAGUCCCUCUGGUAAUUCCAACUUAUAAGCGACUUCUCCCAUACGUUGCAAGAUCUUGUACGGUCCAACGAAACGCGGUGCUAACUUUCCCUUAACUCCAAAGCGCUUAACUCCUCGAAGUGGGGAUACUCGGAGAUAAACUCUGUCUCCGGUUUCGUAAACUGUCUCCUUGCGUUUAGAAUCUGCGUAGCUCUUCUGCCUGGACUGGGCUACCUUGAGCCUAUCGCGAAUCAACUUAACUUUCCGUUCAGACUCCUUAAUCAAAUCUGGUCCAAAGAAUUGACGGUCUCCAACUUCGUCCCAUGACAACGGUGUCCUGCACCUCCUUCCAUAUAAAGCUUCGAAAUGUGCCAUCUUCAAACUGGUUUGGUAACUGUUGUUAUAAGAAAACUCCGCAUAUGGCAAGUUAUCGUCCCAAUUAGUUCCAUAAUCUAGUGCACAAGCUCUCAGCAUAUCUUCCAAAAUCUGAUUGACUCUCUCGGUCUGUCCAUCCAUCUGCGGAUGAAAAGCUGUGCUGAACUCUAGUCUAGUUCCUAAAGUUUCAUGCAAAUGAUUCCAAAACUUUGAAGUAAAUUGAGUUCCUCUAUCUGAUACGAUACUCCUUGGAACUCCAUGCAAACAAAUGAUCCUAGUCAUGUAUAUCUUCGCCAACUUAGCACUGGUGUAAGUGGUCUUAACUGGGAUAAAAUGUGCUACCUUUGUCAAACGAUCAACUACUACCCAUAUCGAAUCGUAGCCUGCCUUUGUCCUGGGUAGUCCCGUGAUAAAAUCCAUGCCUAUCUUAUCCCACUUCCAUUCGGGUAUCGGCAAUGGUUGUAACAAUCCUGCUGGCUUCUGAUGCUCUACCUUCACUCUCUGACAUACGUCACAAACUGCUACAUAUGCUGCAAUAUCCUUCUUCAUUCCGGUCCACCAGAAUGUUUCCUUCAAAUCCAAAUACAUCUUGGUAUUCCCUGGGUGAAUUGAAUACGAUGAAUCAUGUGCCUCUUGCAAAAUCAACUUCCUGAUCUCCGGGUCAUUUGGCACAUAAACACGGUCCUCAAACCAUAGGGUAUCGUGCUCAUCCUCACGAAAUCCCUUUGCUUUUCCUUCGCUCAAUUUCUCUUUUAUAGCAGCAAUCUGCUUGUCAGAUUUUUGAGCUUCUCUGAUCUUAUCCAUCAAUGUUGACUAAAUCUCCAAUGUUGCUACAUAGCCUCUCGGAACUAUUUCCAAACAUAGCUCACGAAGAUUUUCUGCUAACUCCUUUGGUAUUUUCCCCGUCAUUAGAGUUUUGACAUGGCUCUUACGGCUCAAUGCGUCAGCUACUACAUUAGCUUUUCCGGGAUGGUAAUGCAACCUCAUGUCAUAAUACUUGAUGAGCUCCAACCAUCAUCCUUUGUCUGAGGUUCAACUCCUUCUGGGUGAAAAUGUACUUCAAACUCUUGUGAUCCAUGUACACCUCACAAUGAUUUCCAAUGAGGAAAUGUCUCCAUGUUUUCAAUGCAUGCACUACGGCUGCUAACUCCAAAUCAUGCGUGGCAUAAUUCAACUCAUGAGGCUUCAGUUGCCGUGAAGCAUAUGAAACAACUCUCCCUUCCUGCAUAAGCACUGCUCCCAGUCCUCGACGUGAAGCGUCGCAAUACACCUCAUAAUCCUUGGUCUGAUCUGGCAAAAUCAAUACUGGUGAGGUGACCAAACGUUUCUUCAACUCCGGGAAACUAGCCUCACACUCCUCAGUCCAUUUUGAACUUAGUAUCCUUCUUCAACAACUCCAUCAUAGGCUUCACAAUCUUUGAGAAAUUCUCAAUAAACCUCCGGUAGUAUCCUGCGAGUCCAAGAAAACUCGGGAUCUCUCCAACUGUUGUUGGUGCUUCCCAUUCGGUUACGGUCUCAACCUUUGUGGGGUCAACUGCUAUACCUUCUCCGGAUAUAACGUGUCCGAGGAAUCCAACUUCCUUCAACCAAAACUCACAUUUGCUGAAUUUGGCGUAUAACUGGUGUUCCCUUAGUUUCUCCAAAACCAAACGCAAAUGUUCCUUAUGCUCCUCUUCAUUCUUUGAAUAAACCAGGAUGUCAUCAAUGAACACUACGACGAACUUAUCCAAAAACUCCAUAAACACUUUGUUCAUCAGGUUCAUAAAAUAGGCAGGUGCGUUAGUCAAUCCAAAUGACAUAACGGUAUACUCAUACAGUCCAUAUCUUGUGGUGAAUGAUGUCUUAGGUAUGUCCUGCUCUCGAAUCUUCAAUUGAUGGUACCCUGAUCGCAAAUCGAUCUUGGAAAACACUUUAGCCCCUUGCAACCGAUCAAACAGAUCGUUGAUCAUUGGCAGUGGGUACUUGUUCUUGGUGGUUACUUCAUUCAAUCCCCGAUAAUCUACAACCAUCCUUAAUGAUCCAUCCUUCUUUUCCACUAGAAGUACGGGUGAUCCCCAAGGCGAAGAACUUGGGCGAAUGUAACCUUUAUCCAAUAACUCCUUAAUCUGAUUCUUAAUUUCCACCAAAUCCUUUGCUGGCAUCCGGUACGGUCGCUUCCAUAUUGGCCCAGUGCCUGGCAAUAGCUCAAUCAAAAACUCAAUGUCUCUAUCCGGUGGCAUGCCUGGCAAUUCCUCAGGAAAUACAUCAGGAAAAUCCUUCACCACUGGUACUUCCUCUUGCACAACUCCUGUUAGGCAGUUUACUUGUGUCCUGUUUGGCACAUGCCGGGAUACAUACUUGAUCCUUCUUCCUUCUGGUGUGGUAAGCAAAACUGUCCUACUGGCGCAAUCGAUGUUUCCUCCAUACAUCGACAGCCAAUCCAUACCAAGAAUCACAUCCAAUCCUUGAGAUUCCAAUACUAUUAGGUCUGAGGGAAACACAUAGUUACCAAUCCUUAAUGGUAACCGAUCACACCAUCGUCUAGCCAUAAACUCCGCUCCUGGUGAGCUUACUAACAUGGGUGUCCUAAGGGCUUGGGUUGGCAGGUUAUAUUUAUCCACAAAUCCCCUUGAUAUGUAUGAAUGCGAUGCACCGGUAUCAAAAAGAACAAGUGCAGUAAAUGACUUAACCAGAAACUUACCGAUUACUGCAUCAGGCUGAUCUUCAACCUCCUCCACAUUAAUGUGGUUCACCUGUCCCCUAUUGAAAGGGUUCGGUUUCUUCCCAGAGCUUCCAUUGCCAUUUCCAUUCUGGCCUUCGGGACAUUCAUUGGCAUAAUGUCCGGUCUUAGAACAGUUGAAAUAGGUGACUUGACUAAGAUCUCUCUUGGUUGGGGUCGAUGGGGUGGUCCGGUUCUGGUCGUUGCUUCCUCCAUUCCCAUUACCAUUCUUGUGGCCAUUGUGGUUGUGCGAACUACCUACUCCAUGGGUAUGCUGAAACUAAAAUCCCGGUUUUGGGGUAAAACGGGGCUUCUGCUGGGCUCUAGAAUUAUACUUCCCCUGUCCAUACUUCCUCUUACGGUUCUCAAUCUGCUGUUGCUUUCCUUCAAUCAUGAUGGCACGAUCUACCAACUCCUGGUAGUUGUUGAAACUCGCUACCAUCAACUUCAUGCUUAGGUCAUCAUUCAGUCCUUCCAGAAACUUCUCCUGCUUAGUCACAUCCGUAGCAACGUCAUCUGGGGCAUAACACGCUAACUUGCUGAAAUCGUCAACGUACUGGCCAACUGUCCUUCCUCCUUGGCGUAAGUUGCGAAACUCACGCUUCUUCAUGGCCAUAGCUCCUGCUGAAACAUGGGCAGUGCAAAAAGCUUGCUGAAACUGAUCCCAUGUGACAGUGUCAACUGGGUAAGUGGCUGUGAAAUUCUCCCACCAUGCUGCCACGGGUCCGUCAAGCUGGUGAGCGGCAAACUUCACUUUCUCACCAUCCGUGCAUCCUGCAGUGGUCAACUCCCUUCCUAUCUUGCGGAGCCAAUCGUCUGCUACUAUCGGCUCGGUGCUACUGGAAAACACCGGCGGAUUCAGCCUAAGGAAACGGGCUAAGUGGUCAACAGGUGGUGGUGGUGGUGGGUUGUUGUUGUUUCCCUGAUUCUGAUUCUAAACUAGCAACUGCAUCAAGGUGUUCUGCUGCUGGAUCAACUGGGUGAGCUCCGGCGGAAAGGCAAAUCCGGGGUCACGUCUCGGAGGCAUCUGAGGGUUUAGAGAAGACGAGAAUUAAGAAUAGAGUGAGGUCUAAAGGGAAAACACUACCCCAAUGCACAUGAGCAAAUGCACACAAAAUCACUUCAUUCAAUCAAACAAGGGCUUACAAUCAGUCUAACUAUCGCAAAAGUGCUCGAACUAUAAUGUUUACAUGGGGGAAUACUACUAUUAUCUGGUGGUCAUCUAGAAAUUUGAACCUGUGGAAGACUCCAUGAUAUCUGCUCCAGCUUCGUCUUCAAAGUCGGGUUCACUUGGAUCCGAAUCGGUGUCGUCGAUGAUGACGUAGUUGUCCGGACAUGCGACGUACAUGUCUUCCUUCCUGGAUGCUAACUUCCUCUUGAGUUCUUCAAUCUCCUGCUUAAGAUCGCCAGUGUGUCUUGCUAGAGCUACGAUCUCGUCCAUGUAGUCCUUGCGUGUAGACUUCAGUUCUCCUUCUAGCUCGAUGAUCCUUGCCUUUGCAUUCUUCAACUCUAUCAUAUCAUUGCACAUCUGGUUCUUGUGGCGUCGAAUGUGCUAGUUUAACUCCUGGAUGAAAGAUGCAAUGGAUCUAUCCUUCUUGGUGCUGACUAACUCCCAUUGUUCAUCUCGGCGUCCGCAAAUCUGGUAGAUAGUGUCCUUGAGGUCUUCUUGGUAAACUUCUCCAAUGCGUCCUAUGGUGAUAUGAGCUGCCAUGCUCUUUCCCAGACUCCAGGUUGGUGCAUUGAAAACACUAUCUAUAGGCUUCGUGAUUGGCGCGAAUGUUCUUCCCGGAACAUGAGCUUGAAUCUUCCAGCGCUCCUCUUCAGGCAGAGUGGCAUUGAAGGUUCCCGUGAAGCUUGGUAAUCCAAUGUUUAGGUACUUGGUGACUUCCUUCAGGUGAAAUCCAAAUGGUGUGCCUUCAUCCGGUUGAGCGUACUUAAUCUUCGCGUUCGUCAUCCUAAAAGAGUAGAAAAGAUGAGGAGUUUAGAAAAUGAGAAGAGAAGGGUGAUCUAUGGCUUUAACUUAGUGGUCGUGUCCUACAGUCAGCGUGUGCUCUGAUACCAUCUCUGUAGCGACCCGACCCGAAUGGAUCAAGUGCUCUGUGCUCAGGUGUCAUCCCUGGAUCAGUAAUGCUGACACCACACAGUACAUCAAAGGAUUUAUAGCAGAGUGGCAAUCACACACUUAUUACAUCGUUGUCUCAAAGAGAACUUUACAAUAAAUAUGGCUUAAGGCCAUCUAAUAAUGAUAACAGCGGAAGACUCGGAAGAUAAAUGGGUCCAUCAACUCCAACGGCAUCACUGAGUAUAGGGCCACGACCUAAAAACACCUUACUCGUCGUCUGAAAAGUCUGCAACAUGAGAAGUUGCAGCCCGAAAACGGGUCAGCACAUGGAAUAUGCUGGCAAUGUAACACAUAGAGAGUAAUGGAAUGAAAUAGCUAUACUAUAUGCAUAUAAGGCUGGUGGAAAGCUCUAUGGUUACAGUUUUGCGUAAAGCCAGUUUUUCCCUACUGCAAAGGAAUAAAUUUGUUUAACUAUCAUGGUAGUUGUUAAACAUCGAGAAUGGUUGACAACAUUCCGAUCCCAAUUAAGUGAACAGUUAAAACCCAACAACAUUAAUUAGAAGUAACAUGUUGAGAUUCACAUGAUAUUCAAGUACUAGAUACUCAAGUUGUCCAUAACCGGGGACACGGCUAAUCAUGAUUAGUUUGUACACUCUGCAGAGGUUUGCGCACUUUUCCCCACAUGACUCGAUCGCCUCCGUUUGUUUUCUCGCACUACAUGGUGUUUGAGAAACGGAUGACCGAGACAUAGUCUUUCAGAAGCACUAGCACCUUACAUGUGGGGUAGACCGUACCACCUACAACCCCUACAUCUGCUAGUCCACCCCGUAAGAGUUCGCACAACUUAGUCAACUAUGCCAGAGCCCAUAGUAGCAUGUGGCUGCACACGGAAGUUUCUAGCAUGAAUGAUCUUAUGAUCCCUUUGAGCCUGGGUGGUGGUCCAAAAUAAAACAGGCAAGUCCUGAUAGACAUCAGGUGCCUCAAUCCACCCAGAUGUGUGUUUAAGUUGCCACCUUAGAUAAACCAUUAAAAUUAUCAAUUCACAUCUGUCAUGGAUAUCACUCACCCAAUCCACGUCUACUAGCAUAGCAUGGCAUAAUAAGCAAACGUAGAAGUAACUCCCAAAGGUUUCAUAAUAAUACAGGUGAUAGGUACUACCUCAUCUACUUCCCAUCCCACAGUUUAAUUAGAUCCUAAUCAUGCAAUGUGUGAGGAUUGAUCUAAUGCAAUAAAACAUGGGUUGUAGAAAAGGUAUGAUCAAAGUGUUACUUGCCUUGCUGAUGAUCCGCGAGACCUAGGGUUCCGAAGUAACAAGCGGCGCAAUUCGGGUGAUCUAUCGCAGACAAACAACAAGCAUACAAUAAGUACUCAUCUAAUGCACAGGUAAAACUCGAACAAGAGAACGAACCAGAAAAUUCAACUUAAGAACUCCGGUUGCAAAGAAAGAAAGAACCGAACAAGGAAACGGAAAACAAAAGGCGGAAGAAAACAACUCGGUUCUAGCAAGUUGAAACUAGGUCAAAUUUUACCGGGGCAAAAACUUGUUUAGGUUGGUUAGAUGGAACGGCGGUUUCGAAACGAAACUCUAGGCGCUUGAAUCACCUGAUUCCGAUAAACGAGCGAGAAGAAAGACUAGAACGAAGAUCGGAUCUGAGAUCGCGAUCGCGGAAUAAAUCCGACGAAAAGAAAGAGAUGAACAGUUAAACGAACGGGCGUCAUUAGCCGGGGAAUAAUCGGUGAUCACGUUCGUUGAGACGAACGGUCCGAAAGAAGAACGAAAACUGAUCUAGGGUUUUCGGAAAAGAAACCGAAAAAGAAACGGAAAACCGAUCUAGGGGUUCGGAAGAAAAUCGAAACAAAACCGGAAGAAAAAGAAAAGAAUCGGAGAGAAAACGGAACGGUUCUUUUAGGAAAAACCGGACCGGGGAAGAAAAAAGAGGCGCGGCGCGGGGCUACCUCCGGCGAGGCGGAACUCCGACAGCGGCGAGGCAAGAGCGGCGGCGGCGGCUAUAGGCGCGGGGCGGCGGGUGAGGGGCGCGGGGUGGGGCUGCGCGCUGCUGCUUGCUGCGGCUUAGGAGGAGAGGGGCUUGGGGUUUUGAUUUGAUGUUUUGGAGGGGGGAUGUUGGUAUUUAUAUAGGUGAGGGGAGGGGGUUUCUUGGGGUAGGGGACAAGAAAUAGAGUAGGAAAAGGAAAACGAAACAAAGGAAAGAGGGCUAGAACCGGCCUUGAGUCCCUCUGGGACUCGGCCUGGGCGAGGGGAGGCGGCGGCUGGCGCCUGGCGCCUGGCGCGCAGCGCUGCUGGGGGCGGCGGCGGGCUGGGCCUUUGGCCCGGCUGGCCUGCGGGAGUUCCCUUUUUUUUAAAUCGGUUACGCGCGCAGAAAAACAAAAGAAAAACUAUCUGAACGAACUCCGAAAAUUACUAAAGUAAAUUUUCCUCGACUCCUAAAAAUGAGCCGAACAAAAUGAACUUUACUCCGGGCCUAAAAUGCAAUUUUCGAAAACGCGCAUUUUUCCCUAUCCAAAUAGAAAGCAAACAAAACUCCGGCAAAACCAAAAUUUGAUUUAUUCAUUAGAUCUUCAUUUUUCCUAACUUUGGGAAAGUCGUAUUAUUCCCUCUCUCAUAUUGUGAUAUUGGGAAAAUAAUUGAAGAUGAAAUAAAAUAAAUCAAAUGAUCCUCUUUUCAAAAUUUGAGAAAACUCAAAUAUGAAAAUAACGAAAUCUCCAACUCUCUCCGAGGGUCCUUGAGUUGCGUGAAAUUUCUAGGAUCGGGCAAAAUGCAAGAAAAUAUGACAUGCAUGAUGAUCUAAUGUAUAACAUUCCAAAUUGAAAAUUUGGGAUGUUACAAACCUGCCCCCCUUAAAAUGAAUCUCGCCCUCGAGAUUCGGAUUGGCUAGAAAAUAGGCGAGGGUGGUCCUUGAGCAAAUCUUCUUCUCUCUCCCAGGUGGCUUCAUCCUCUGAGUGGUGGUUCCACUGAACUUUGCAAAACUUGAUAACCUUGCUGCGAGUAACUCUGCUGGCAUAAUCAAGAAUCUUGACUGGCUUCUCCUCAUAUGUCAAGUCAUCCUCCAACUGAAUCGCUUCGAGUGGCACGGUAUCUCUUAGCGGUACCUCUGCCAUCUCGGCAUGACAUUUCUUAAGCUGAGAAACAUGGAAUACAUCAUGAACUCCUGAUAGUCCCUCUGGUAAUUCCAGCUUAUAAGCGACUUCUCCCAUAUGUUGCAAGAUCUUGUACGGUCCAACGAAACGCGGUGCUAACUUUCCCUUAACUCCAAAGCGCUUAACUCCUCGAAGUGGGGAUACUCGGAGAUAAACUCUGUCUCCGGUUUCGUAAAGUGUCUCCUUGCGUUUAGAAUCUGCGUAGCUCUUCUGCCUGGACUGGGCUACCUUGAGCCUAUCGCGAAUCAACUUAACUUUCCGUUCAGACUCCUUAAUCAAAUUUGGUCCAAAGAAUUGACGGUCUCCAACUUCGUCCCAUGACAACGGUGUCCUGCACCUCCUUCCGUAUAAAGCUUCGAAAGGUGCCAUCUUCAAACUGGUUUGGUAACUGUUGUUAUAAGAAAACUCCGCAUAGGGCAAGUUAUCAUCCCAACUAGAUCCAUAAUCUAGUGCAAAAGCUCUCAGCAUAUCUUCCAAAAUCUAAUUGACUCUCUCGGUCUGUCCAUCCGUCUACGGAUGAAAAGCUGUGCUGAACUCUAGUCUGGUUCCUAAAGUUUCAUGCAACUGAUUCCAAAACUUUGAAGUAAAUUGAGUUCCUCUAUCUGAUACGAUACUCCUCGGAACUCCAUGCAAACAAAUGAUCCUAGUCAUGUAUAUCUUCGCCUACUUAGGACUGGUGUAAGUGGUCUUAACUGGGAUAAAAUGUGCUACCUUUGUCAAACGAUCAACUACUACCCAUAUCAAAUCAUAGCCUGCCUUUGUCCUGGGUAGUCCCGUGAUAAAAUCCAUGCCUAUCUUAUCCCACUUCCAUUCGGGUAUCGGCAAUGGUUGUAACAAUCCUGCUGGCUUCUGAUGCUCUGCCUUUACUCUCUGACAUACGUCACAAACUGCUACAUAUGCUGCAAUAUCCUUCUUCAUUCCGGUUCACCAGAAUGUUUCCUUCAAAUCCAAAUACAUCUUGGUAUUCCCUGGGUGAAUCGAAUACGGUGAAUCAUGUGCCUCUUGCAAAAUCAACUUCCUGAUCUCCGGGUCGUUUGGCACAUAAACACGGUCCUCAAACCAUAGGGUAUCGUGCUCAUCCUCACGAAAUCCCUUUGCUUUUCCUUCGCUCGGUUUCUCUUUUAUAGUAGCAAUCUCCUUGUCAGAUUUUUGAGCUUCUCUGAUCUUAUCCAUCAAUGUUGACUAAAUCUCCAAUGUUGCUACAUAGCCUCUCGGAACUAUUUCCAAACAUACUCACGAAGAUUUUCUGCUAACUCCUUUGGUAUUUUCCCCGUCAUUAGAGUUUUGACAUGGCUCUUACGGCUCAAUGCGUCAGCUACUACAUUAGCUUUUCCGGGAUGGUAAUGCAACCUCAUGUCAUAAUCCUUGAUGAGCUCCAACCAUCAUCCUUUGUCUGAGGUUCAACUCCUUCUGCGUGAAAAUGUACUUCAAACUCUUGUGAUCCGUGUACACCUCACAAUGAUUUCCAAUGAGGAAAUGUCUCCACGUUUUCAAUGCAUGCACUACGGCUGCUAACUCCAAAUCAUGCGUGGCAUAAUUCAACUCAUGAGGCUUCAGUUGCCGUGAAGCAUACGAAACAACUCUCCCUUUCUGCAUAAGCACUGCUCCAAGUCCUCGACGUGAAGCGUCGCAAUACACCUCAUAAUCCUUGGUCUGAUCUGGCAAAAUCAAUACUGGUGAGGUGACCAAACGUUUCUUCAACUCCUGGAAACUAGCCUCACACUCCUCAGUCCAUUUGAACUUAGUAUCCUUCUUCAACAACUCCGUCAUAGGCUUCGCAAUCUUUGAGAAAUUCUCAAUAAACCUCCGGUAGUAUCCUGCGAGUCCAAGAAAACUCGGGAUCUCUCCAACUGUUGUUGGUGCUUCCCAUUCGGUGACGGUCUCAACCUUUGUGGGGUCAACUGCUAUACCUUCUCCGGAUAUAACGUGUCCGAGGAAUCCAACUUCCUUCAACCAAAACUCACAUUUGCUGAAUUUGGCGUAUAACUGGUGUUCCCUUAGUUUCUCCAAAACCAAAUGCAAAUGUUCCUUAUGCUCCUCUUCAUUCUUUGAAUAAACCAGGAUGUCAUCAAUGAACACUACGACGAACUUAUCCAAAAACUCCAUAAACACUUUGUUCAUCAGGUUCAUAAAAUAGGCAGGUGCGUUAGUCAAUCCAAAUGACAUAACGGUAUACUCAUACAGUCCAUAUCUUGUGGUGAAUGCUAUCUUAGGUAUGUCCUUCUCUCGAAUCUUCAAUUGAUGGUACCCUGAUCGCAAAUCGAUCUUGGAAAACACUUUAGCUCCUUGCAACCGAUCAAACAGAUCGUUGAUCAUUGGCAGUGGGUACUUGUUCUUGAUGGUUACUUCAUUCAAUCCCCGAUAAUCUACAACCAUCCUUAAUGAUCCAUCCUUCUUUUCCACUAGAAGUACGGGUGAUCCCCAAGGCGAAGAACUUGGGCGAAUGUAACCUUUAUCCAAUAACUCCUUAAUCUGAUUCUUAAUUUCCACCAAAUCCUUUGUUGGCAUCCGGUACGGUCGCUUCGAUAUUGGCCUAGUGCCUGGCAAUAGCUCAAUCAAAAACUCAAUGUCUCUAUCCGGUGGCAUGCCUGGCAAUUCCUCAGGAAAUACAUCAGGAAAAUCCUUCACCACUGGUACUUCCUCUUGCACAACUCCUGUUAGGCAGUUUACUUGUGUCCUGUUUGGCACAUGCCGGGAUACAUACUUGAUCCUUCUUCCUUCUGGUGUGGUAAGCAAAACUGUCCUACUGGCGCAAUCGAUGUUUCCUCCAUACAUCGACAACCAAUCCAUACCAAGAAUCACAUCCAAUCCUUGAGAUUCCAAUACUAUUAGGUCUGAGGGAAACACAUAGUUACCAAUCCUUAAUGGUAACCGAUCACACCAUCGUCUAGCCAUAAACUCCGCUCCUGGUGAGCUUACUAACAUGGGUGUCCUAAGGGCUUGGGUUGGCAGGUUAUAUUUAUCCACAAAUCCCCUUGAUAUGUAUGAAUGCGAUGCACCGGUAUCAAAAAGAACGAGUGCAGUAAAUGACUUAACCAGAAACUUACGAUUACUGCAUCAGGCUGAUCUUCAACCUCCUCCACAUUAAUGUGGUUCACCUGUCCCCUAUUGAAAGGGUUCGGUUUCUUCCCAGAGCUUCCAUUGCCACUUCCAUUCUGGCCUUCGGGACAUUCAUUGGCAUAAUGUCCGGUCUUAGAACACUUGAAACAGGUGACUUGACUCAGAUCUCUCUUGGUUGGGGUCGAUGGGGUGGUCCGGUUCUGGCCGUUGCUUCCUCCAUUCCCAUUACCAUUCUUGUGGCCAUUAUGGUUGUGCGAACUACCUCCUCCAUGGGUAUGCUGAAACUAAAAUCCCGGUUUUUGGGUAAAACGGGGCUUCUAUUGGGCUCCAGAAUUAUACUUCCCCUGUCCAUACUUCCUCUUACGGUUCUCAAUCUGCUGUUGCUUUCCUUCAAUCAUGAUGGCACGAUCUACCAACUCCUGGUAGUUGUUGAAACUCGCUACCAUCAACUUCAUGCUUAGUUCAUCAUUCAGUCCUUCCAGAAACUUCUCCUGCUUAGCUGCAUCCGUAGCAACGUCAUCUGGGGCAUAACGCGCUAACUUGCUGAAAUCGUCAACGUACUGCCCAACUAUCCUUCCUCCUUGGCGUAAGUUGCGAAACUCACGCUUCUUCAUGUCCAUAGCUCCUGCUGAAACAUGGGCAGUGCGGAAAGCUUGCUGAAACUGAUCCCAUGUGACAGUGUCAACUGGGUAAGUGGCUGUGAAAUUCUCCCACCAUGCUGCCGCGGGUCCGUCAAGCUGGUGAGCGGCAAACUUCACUUUCUCACCAUCCGUGCAUCCUGCAGUGGUCAACUCCCUUCCUAUCUUGCGGAGCCAAUCGUCUGCUACUAUCGGCUCGGUGCUACUGGAAAACACCGGCGGAUUCAGCCUAAGGAAACGGGCUAAGUGGUCAACAGGUGGUGGUGGUGGUGGGUUGUUGUUGUUUCCCUGAUUCUGAUUCUAAACUAGCAACUGCAUCAAGGUGUUCUGCUGCUGGAUCAACUGGGUGAGCUCCAGCGGAAAGGCAAAUCCGGGGUCACGUCUCGGAGGCAUCUGAGGGUUUAGAAAAGACGAGAAUUAAGAAUAGAGUGAGGUCUAAAGGCAAACACUACCCCAAUGCACAUGAGCAAAUGCACACAAAAUCACUUCAUUCAAUCAAACAAGGGCUUACAAUCGGUCUAACUAUCGCAAAAGUGCUCGAACUAUAAUGUUUACAUGGGGGAAUACUACUAUUAUCUGGUGGUCAUAUAGAAAUUUGAACCGGUGGAAGACUCCAUGAUAUCUGCUCCAGCCUCGUCUUCAAAGUCGGGUUCACUUGGAUCCGAAUCGGUGUCGUCGAUGAUGACGUAGUUGUCCGGACAUGCGACGUACAUGUCUUCCUUCCUGGAUGCUAACUUCCUCUUGAGUUCUUCAAUCUCCUGCUUAAGAUCGCCAGUGUGUCUUGCUAGAGCUACGAUCUCGUCCAUGUAGUCCUUGCGUGUAGACUUCAGUUCUCCUUCUAGCUCGAUGAUCCUUGCCUUUGCAUUCUUCAACUCUAUCAUAUCAUUGCACAUCUGGUUCUUGUGGCAUCGAAUGUGCUGGUUUAACUCCUGGAUGAAAGAUGCAAUGGAUCUAUCCUUCUUGGUGCUGACUAACUCCCAUUGUUCAUCUCGGCGUCCGCAAAUCUGGUAGAUAGUGUCCUUGAGGUCUUCUUGGUAAACUUCUCCAAUGCGUCCUAUGGUGAUAUGAGCUGCUAUGCUCUUUCCCAGACUCCAGGUUGGUGCAUUGAAAACACUAUCUAUAAGCUUCGUGAUUGGCACGAAUGUUCUUCCCGGAACAUGAGCUUGAAUCUUCCAGCGCUCCUCUUCAGGCAGAGUGGCGUUGAAGGUUCCCGUGAAGCUUGGUAAUCCAAUGUUUAAGUACUUGGUGACUUCCUUCAGGUGAAAUCCAAAUGGUGUGCCUUCAUCCGGUUGAGCAUACUUAAUCUUCGCGUUCGUCAUCCUAAAAGAGUAGAAAAGAUGAGGAGUUUAGAAAAUGAGAAGAGAAGGGUGAUCUAUGGCUUUAACUUAGUGGUCGUGUCCUACAGUCAGCGUGUGCUCUGAUACCAUCUCUGUAGCGACCCGACCCGAAUGGAUCAAGUGCUCUGUGCUCAGGUGUCAUCCCUGGAUCAGUAAUGCUGACACCACACAGUACAUCGAAGGAUUUAUAGCAGAGUGGCAAUCACACACUUAUUACAUCAUUGUCUCAAAGAGAACUUUACAAUAAAUAUGGCUUAAGGCCAUCUAAUAAUGAUAACAGCGGAAGACUCGGAAGAUAAAUGGGUCCAUCGACUCCAACGGCAUCACUGAGUAUAGGGCCACGACCUAAAAACACCUUACUCAUCAUCUGAAAAGUCUGCAACAUGAGAAGUUGCAGCCCGAAAACGGGUCAGCACAUGGAAUAUGCUGGCAAUGUAACACAUAGAGAGUAAUGGAAUGAAAUAGCUAUACUAUAUGCAUAUAAGGCUGGUGGAAAGCUUUAUGGUUACAGUUUUGCGUAAAGCCAGUUUUUCCCUACUGCAAAGGAAUAAAUUUGUUUAACUAUCAUGGUAGUUGUUAAACAUCGAGAAUGGUUGACAGCAUUCCGAUCCCAAUUAAGUGAACAGUUAAAAACCAACAACAUUAAUUAGAAGUAACAUGUUGAGAUUCACAUGAUAUUCAAGUACUAGAUACUCAAGUUGUCCAUAACCGGGGACACGGCUAAUCAUGAUUAGUUUGUACACUCUGCAGAGGUUUGCGCACUUUUCUCCACAUGACUCGAUCGCCUCCGUUUGUUUUCUCGCACUACAUGGUGUUUGAGAAACGGAUGACCGAGACAUAGUCUUUCAGAAGCACUAGCACCUUACAUGUGGGGUAGACCGUACCACCUACAACCCCUACAUCUGCUAGUCCACCCCGUAAGAGUUCGCACAACUUAGUCAACUAUGCCAGAGCCUAUAGUAGCAUGUGGCUGCACACAGAAGUUUCUAGCAUGAAUGAUCUUAUGAUCCCUUUGAGCCUGGGUGGCGGUCCAAAAUAAAACAGGCAAGUCCUGAUAGACAUCAGGUGCCUCAAUCCACCCAGAUGUGUGUUUAAGUUGCCACCUUAGAUAAACCAUUAAAAUUAUCAACUCACAUCUGUCAUGGAUAUCACUCACCCAAUCCACGUCUACUAGCAUAGCAUGGCAUAAUAAGCAAAUGUAGAAGUAACUCCCGAAGGUUUCGUAAUAAUACAGGUGAUAGGUACUACCUCAUCUACUUCCCAUCCCACAGUUUAAUUAGAUCCUAAUCAUGCAAUGUGUGAGGAUUGAUCUAAUGCAAUAAAACAUGGGUUGUAGAAAAGGUAUGAUCAAAGUGUUACUUGCCUUGCUGAUGAUCCGCGAGACCUAGGGUUUCGAAGUAACAAGCGGCGCAAUCCGGGUGAUUUAUCGCAAACAAACAACAAGCAUACAAUAAGUACUCAUCUAAUGCACAGGAAAAACUCGAACAAGAGAACGAACCAGAGAAUUCAACUUAAGAACUCCGGUUGCAAAGAAAGAAAGAACCGAACAAGGAAACGGAAAACUAAAAGGCGGAAGAAAACAACUCGGUUCUAGCAAGUUGAAACUAGGUCAAAUUUUACCGGGGCAAAAACUUCUUUAGGUUGAUUAGACGGAACGGCGGUUUCGAAACGAAACUCCAGGCGCUUGAAUCACCUGAUUCCGAUAAACGAGUGAGAAGAAAGACUAGAACGAAGAUCGGAUCUGAGAUCGCGAUCACGGAAUAAAUCCGACGAAAAGAAAGAGACGAACGGUUAAACGAACGGGCAUCGUUAACCGGGGAAUAAUCGGUGAUCACGUUCGUUGAGAUGAACGGUCCAAAAUAAGAACGAAAAUCGAUCUAGGGUUUUCGGAAAAGAAACCGAAAAAGAAAUGGAAAACCGAUCUAGGGUUUCGGAAGAAAACUGAAACAAAAUCGGAAGAAAAAGAAAAGAAUCGGAGAGAAAACGGAAUGGUUCUUUUAGGAAAAACCGGACCGGGGAAGAAAAAAGAGGCGCGGCGCGGGGCUACCUCCGGCGAGGCGGAACUCCGACGGCGGCGAGGCAAGAGCGGCGGCGGCGGCUAUAGGUGCGGGGUGGCGGGUGAGGGGCGCGGGGUGGGGCUGCGCGCUGCUGCUUGCUGCGGCUUAGGAGGAGAGGGGCUUGGGGUUUUGAUUUGAUGUUUUGGAGGGGGGUGUUGGUAUUUAUAUAGGUGAGGGGAGGGGGUUUCUUGGGGUAGGGGACAAGAAAUAGAGUAGGAAAAGGAAAACGAAACAAAGGAAAGAGGGCUAGAACCGGCCUUGAGUCCCUUUGGGACUCAGCCUGGGUGAGGGGAGGCGGCGGCUGGCGCCUGGCGCCUGGCGCGCAGCGCUGCUGGGGGCGGCGGCUGGCUGGGCCUUUGGCCCGGCUGGCCUGCGGGAGUUCCCUUUUUUUAAAUCGGUUACGCGCGCAGAAAAACAAAAGAAAAACUAUCUAAACGAACUCCGAAAAUUACUAAAGUAAAUUUUCCCCGACUCCUAAAAAUGAGCCGAACAAAAUGAACUUUACUCCGGGCCUAAAAUGCAAUUUUCGAAAACGCGCAUUUUUCCCUAUCCAAAUAAAAAGCAAACAAAACUCCGGCAAAACCAAAAUUUGAUUUAUUCAUUAGAUCUUCAUUUUUCCUAACUUUGGGAAAGUCAUAUUAUUCCCUCUCUCAUAUUGUGAUAUUGGGAAAAAUAAUUGAAGAUGAAAUAAAAUAAAUCAAAUGAUCCUCUUUUCAAAAUUUGAGAAAACUCAAAUAUGAAAAUAACGAAAUCUCCAACUCUCUCCGAGGGUCCUUGAGUUGCGUGAAAUUUCUAGGAUCGGGCAAAAUGCAAGAAAAUAUGACAUGCAUGAUGAUCUAAUGUAUAACAUUCCAAAUUGAAAAUUUGGGAUGUUACAAACCUACCCCCCUUAAAAUGAAUCUCGCCCUCGAGAUUCGGGUUGGCUAGAAAAUAGGCGAGGGUGGUCCUUGAGCAAAUCUUCUUCUCUCUCCCAGGUGGCUUCAUCCUCUGAGUGGUGGUUCCACUGAACUUUGCAAAAUUUGAUAACCUUGCUGCGAGUAACUCUGCUGGCAUAAUCGAGAAUCUUGACUGGCUUCUCCUCAUAUGUCAAGUCAUCCUCCAACUGAAUCGCUUCGAGUGGCAUGGUAUCUCUUAGCGGUACCUCUGCCAUCUCGGCAUGACAUUUCUUAAGCUGAGAAACAUGGAAUACAUCAUGAACUCCUGACAGUCCCUCUGGUAAUUCCAACUUAUAAGCGACUUCUCCCAUACGUUGCAAGAUCUUGUACGGUCCAACGAAACGCGGUGCUAACUUUCCCUUAACUCCAAAGCGCUUAACUCCUCGAAGUGGGGAUACUCGGAGAUAAACUCUGUCUCCGGUUUCGUAAACUGUCUCCUUGCGUUUAGAAUAUGCGUAGCUCUUCUGCCUGGACUGGGCUACCUUGAGCCUAUCGCGAAUCAACUUAACUUUUCGUUCAGACUCCUUAAUCAAAUCUGGUCCAAAGAAUUGACGGUCUCCAACUUCGUCCCAUGACAACGGUGUCCUGCACCUCCUUCCGUAUAAAGCUUCGAAAGGUGCCAUCUUCAAACUGGUUUGGUAACUGUUGUUAUAAGAAAACUCCGCAUACGGCAAGUUAUCGUCCCAACUACAUCCAUAAUCUAGUGCACAAGCUCUCAGCAUAUCUUCCAAAAUCUGAUUGACUCUCUCGGUCUGUCCAUCCGUCUGCGGAUGAAAAGCUGUGCUGAACUCUAGUCUGGUUCCUAAAGUUUCAUGCAACUGAUUCCAAAACUUUGAAGUAAAUUGAGUUCCUCUAUCUGAUACGAUACUCCUCGGAACUCCAUGCAAACAAAUGAUCCUAGUCAUGUAUAUCUUCGCCAACUUAGCACUGGUGUAAGUGGUCUUAACUGGGAUAAAAUGUGCUACCUUUGUCAAACGAUCAACUACUACCCAUAUCGAAUCAUAGCCUGCCUUUGUCCUGGGUAGUCCCGUGAUAAAAUCCAUGCCUAUCUUAUCCCACUUCCAUUCGGGUAUCAGCAAUGGUUGUAACAAUCCUGCUGGCUUCUGAUGCUCUGCCUUUACUCUCUGACAUACGUCACAAACUGCUACAUAUGCUGCAAUAUCCUUCUUCAUUCCGGUCCACCAGAAUGUUUCCUUCAAAUCCAAAUACAUCUUGGUAUUCCCUGGGUGAAUCGAAUACGGUGAAUCAUGUGCCUCUUGCAAAAUCAACUUCCUGAUCUCCGGGUCAUUUGGCACAUAAACACGGUCCUCAAACCAUAGGGUAUCGUGCUCAUCCUCACGAAAUCCCUUUGCUUUUCCUUCGCUCAGUUUCUCUUUUAUAGCAGCAAUCUCCUUGUCAGAUUUCUGAGCUUCUCUGAUCUUAUACAUCAAUGUUGACUGAAUCUCCAAUGUUGCUACAUAGCCUCUCGGAACUAUUUCCAAAAAUAGCUCACGAAGAUUUUUUACUAACUCCUUUGGUAUUUUCCCCGUCAUUAGAGUUUUGACAUGGCUCUUACGGCUCAAUGCGUCAGCUACUACAUUAGCUUUUCCGGGAUGGUAAUGCAACCUCAUGUCAUAAUCCUUGAUGAGCUCCAACCAUCAUCCUUUGUCUAAGGUUCAACUCCUUCUGCGUGAAAAUGUACUUCAAACUCUUGUGAUCCGUGUACACCUCACAAUGAUUUCCAAUGAGGAAAUGUCUCCACGUUUUCAAUGCAUGCACUACGGCUGCUAACUCCAAAUUAUGCGUGGCAUAAUUCAACUCAUGAGGCUUCAGUUGCUGUGAAGCAUACGAAACAACUCUCCCUUCCUGCAUAAGCACUGCUCCAAGUCCUCGACGUGAAGCGUCGCAAUACACCUCAUAAUCCUUGGUCUGAUCUGGCAAAAUCAAUACUGGUGAGGUGACCAAACGUUUCUUCAACUCCUGGAAACUAGCCUCACACUCCUCAGUCCAUUUGAACUUAGUAUCCUUCUUCAACAACUCCGUCAUAGGCUUCGCAAUCUUUGAGAAAUUCUCAAUAAACCUCCGGUAGUAUCCUGCGAGUCCAAGAAAACUCUGGAUCUCUCCAACUGUUGUUGGUGCUUCCCAUUCAGUUACGGUCUCAACCUUUGUGGGGUCAACUACUAUACCUUCUCCGGAUAUAACGUGUCCGAGGAAUCCAACUUCCUUCAACCAAAACUCACAUUUGCUGAAUUUGGCGUAUAACUGGUGUUCCCUUAGUUUCUCCAAAACCAAACGCAAAUGUUCCUUAUGCUCCUCUUCAUUCGUUGAAUAAACCAGGAUGUCAUCAAUGAACACUGCGACGAACUUAUCCAAAAACUCCAUAAACACUUUGUUCAUCAGGUUCAUAAAAUAGGCAGGUGCGUUAGUCAAUCCAAAUGACAUAACGGUAUACUCAUAUAGUCCAUAUCUUGUGGUGAAUGUUGUCUUAGGUAUGUCCUGCUCUCGAAUCUUCAAUUGAUGGUACCCUGAAAGCAAAUCGAUCUUGGAAAACACUUUAGCUCCUUGCAACCGAUCAAACAGAUCGUUGAUCAUUGGCAGUGGGUACUUGUUCUUGAUGGUUACUUCAUUCAAUCCCCGAUAAUCUACAACCAUCCUUAAUGAUCCAUCCUUCUUUUCCACUAGAAGUACGGGUGAUCCCCAAGGCGAAGAACUUGGGCGAAUGUAACCUUUAUCCAAUAACUCCUUAAUCUGAUUCUUAAUUUCCACCAAAUCCUUUGCUGGCAUCCGGUACGGUCGCUUCGAUAUUGGCCCAGUGCCUGGCAAUAGCUCAAUCAAAAACUCAAUGUCUCUAUCUGGUGGCAUGCCUGGCAAUUCCUCAGGAAAUACAUCAGGAAAAUCCUUCACCACUGGUACUUCCUCUUGCACAACUCCUGUUAGGCAGUUUACUUGUGUCCUGUUUGGCACAUGCCGGGAUACAUACUUGAUCCUUCUUCCUUCUGGUGUGGUAAGCAAAACUGUACUACUGGCGCAAUCGAUGUUUCCUCCAUACAUCGACAGCCAAUCCAUACCAAGAAUCACAUCCAAUCCUUGAGAUUCCAAUACUAUUAGGUCUGAGGGAAACACAUAGUUACCAAUCCUUAAUGGUAACCGAUCACACCAUCGUCUAGCCACAAACUCCGCUCCUGGUGAGCUUACUAACAUGGGUGUCCUAAGGGCUUGGGUUGGCAGGUUAUAUUUAUCCACAAAUCCCCUUGAUAUGUAUGAAUGCAAUGCACCGGUAUCAAAAAGAACGAGUGCAGUAAAUGACUUAACCAGAAACUUACCGGUUACUGCAUCAGGAUGAUCUUCAACCUCCUCCACAUUAAUGUGGUUCACCUGUCCCCUAUUGAAAGGGUUCGGUUUCUUCCCACAGGUUCCAUUGCCAUUUCCAUUCUGGCCUUCGGGACAUUCAUUGGCAUAAUGUCCGGUCUUAGAACACUUGAAACAGGUGACUUGACUCAGAUCUCUCUUGGUUGGGGUCGAUGGGGUGGUCCGGUUCUGGCCGUUGCUUCCUCCAUUCCCAUUACCAUUCUUGUGGCCAUUAUGGUUGUGCGAACUACCUCCUCCAUGGGUAUGCUGAAACUGAAAUCCCGGUUUUGGGGUAAAACGAGGCUUCUGCUGGGCUCCAGAAUUAUACUUCCCCUGUCCAUACUUCCUCUUACGGUUCUCAAUCUGCUGUUGCUUUCCUUCAAUCAUGAUGGCACGAUCUACCAACUCCUGGUAGUUGUUGAAACUCGCUACCAUCAACUUCAUGCUUAGUUCAUCAUUCAGUCCUUCCAGAAACUUCUCCUGCUUAGCUGCAUCUGUAGCAACGUCAUCUGGGGCAUAACGCGCUAACUUGCUGAAAUUGUCAACGUACUGGCCAACUGUCCUUCCUCCUUGGCGUAAGUUGCGAAACUCACGCUUCUUCAUGGCCAUAGCUCCUGCUGAAACAUGGGCAGUGCGGAAAGCUUGCUGAAACUGAUCCCAUGUGACAGUGUCAACUGGGUAAGUGGCUGUGAAAUUCUCCCACCAUGCUGCCGCGGGUCCGUCAAGCUGGUGAGCGGCAAACUUCACUUUCUCACCAUCCGUGCAUCCUGCAGUGGUCAACUCCCUUCCUAUCUUGCGGAGCCAAUCGUCUGCUACUAUCGGCUCGGUGCUACUGGAAAACACCGGCGGAUUCAGCCUAAGGAAACGGGCUAAGUAGUCAACAGGUGGUGGUGGUGGUGGGUUGUUGUUGUUUCCCUGAUUCUGAUUCUAAACUAGCAACUGCAUCAAGGUGUUCUGCUGCUGGAUCAACUGGGUGAGCUCCGGCGGAAAGGCAAAUCCGGGGUCACGUCUCGGAGGCAUCUGAGGGUUUAGAAAAGACGAGAAUUAAGAAUAGAGUGAGGUCUAAAGGGAAAACACUACCCCAAUGCACAUGAGCAAAUGCACACAAAAUCACUUCAUUCAAUCAAACAAGGGCUUACAAUCGGUCUAACUAUCGCAAAAGUGCUCGAACUAUAAUGUUUACAUGGGGGAAUACUACUAUUAUCUGGUGGUCAUCUACAAAUUUGAACCGGUGGAAGACUCCAUGAUAUCUGCUCCAGCUUCGUCUUCAAAGUCGGGUUCACUUGGAUCCGAAUCGGUGUCGUCGAUGAUGACGUAGUUGUCCGGACAUGCGACGUACAUGUCUUCCUUCCUGGAUGCUAACUUCCUCUUGAGUUCUUCAAUCUCUUGCUUAAGAUCGCCAGUGUGUCUUGCUAGAGCUACGAUCUCUUCCAUGUAGUCUUUGCGUGUAGACUUCAGUUCUCCUUCUAGCUCGAUGAUCCUUGCCUUUGCAUUCUUCAACUCUAUCAUAUCAUUGCACAUCUGGUUCUUGUGGCGUCGAAUGUGCUGGUUUAACUCCUGGAUGAAAGAUGCAAUGGAUCUAUCCUUCUUGGUGCUAACUAACUCCCAUUGUUCAUCUCGGCGUCCGCAAAUCUGGUAGAUAGUGUCCUUGAGGUCUUCUUGGUAAACUUCUCCAAUGCGUCCUAUGGUGAUACGAGCUGCCAUGCUCUUUCCCACACUCCAGGUUGGUGCAUUGAAAACACUAUCUAUAGGCUUCGUGAUUGACGCGAAUGUUUUUCCCGGAACAUGAGCUUGAAUCUUCCAGCGCUCCUCUUCAGGCAGAGUGGCGUUGAAGGUUCCCAUGAAGCUUGGUAAUCCAAUGUUUAGGUACUUGGUGACUUCCUUCAGGUGAAAUCCAAAUGGUGUGCCUUCAUCCGGUUGAGCAUACUUAAUCUUCGCGUUCGUCAUCCUAAAAGAGUAGAAAAGAUGAGGAGUUUAGAAAAUGAGAAGAGAAGGGUGAUCUAUGGCUUUAACUUAGUGGUCGUGUCCUACAGUCAGCGUGUGCUCUGAUACCAUCUCUGUAGCGACCCGACCUGAAUGGAUCAAGUGCUCUGUGCUCAGGUGUCAUCCCUGGAUCAGUAAUGCUGACACCACACAGUACAUCGAAGGAUUUAUAGCAGAGUGGCAAUCACACACUUAUUACAUCGUUGUCUCAAAGAGAACUUUACAAUAAAUAUGGCUUAAGGCCAUCUAAUAAUGAUUACAGUGGAAGACUCGGAAGAUAAAUGGGUCCAUCAACUCCAACGGCAUCACUGAGUAUAGGGCCACGACCUAAAAACACCUUACUCGUCGUCUGAAAAGUCUGCAACAUGAGAAGUUGCAGCCCGAAAACGGGUCAGCACAUGGAAUAUGCUGGCAAUGUAACACAUAGAGAGUAAUGGAAUGAAACAGCUAUACUAUAUGCAUAUAAGGCUGGUGGAAAGCUCUAUGGUUACAGUUUUGCGUAAAGCCAGUUUUUCCCUACUGCAAAGGAAUAAAUUUGUUUAACUAUCAUGGUAGUUGUUAAACAUCGAGAAUGGUUGACAGCAUUCCGAUCCCAAUUAAGUGAACAGUUAAAACCCAACAACAUUAAUUAGAAGUAACAUGUUGAGAUUCACAUGAUAUUCAAGUACUAGAUACUCAAGUUGUCCAUAACCGGGGACACGGCUAAUCAUGAUUAGUUUGUACACUCUGCAGAGGUUUGCGCACUUUUCCCCACAUGACUCGAUCGCCUCCGUUUGUUUUCUCGCACUACAUGGUGUUUGAGAAACGGAUGACCGAGACAUAGUCUUUCAGAAGCACUAGCACCUUACAUGUGGGGUAGACCGUACCACCUACAACCCCUACAUCUGCUAGUCCACCCUGUAAGAGUUCGCACAACUUAGUCAACUAUGCCAGAGCCCAUAGUAGCAUGUGGCUGCACACGGAAGUUUCUAGCAUGAAUGAUCUUAUGAUCCCUUUGAGCCUGGGUGGCGGUCCAAAAUAAAACAGGCAAGUCCUGAUAGACAUCAGGUGCCUCAAUCCACCCAGAUGUGUGUUUAAGUUGCCACCUUAGAUAAACCAUUAAAAUUAUCAACUCACAUCUGUCAUGGAUAUCACUCACCCAAUCCACGUCUACUAGCAUAGCAUGGCAUAAUAAGCAAACGUAGAAGUAACUCCCAAAGGUUUCAUAAUAAUACAGGUGAUAGGUACUACCUCAUCUACUUCCCAUCCCACAGUUUAAUUAGAUCCUAAUCAUGCAAUGUGUGAGGAUUGAUCUAAUGCAAUAAAACAUGGGUUGUAGAAAAGGUAUGAUCAAAGUGUUACUUGCCUUGCUGAUGAUCCGCGAGACCUAGGGUUUCGAAGUAACAAGCGGCGCAAUCCGGGUGAUCUAUCACAGACAAACAACAAGCAUACAAUAAGUACUCAUCUAAUGCACAGGUAAAACUCGAACAAGAGAACGAACCAGAAAAUUCAACUUAAGAACUCCGGUUGCAAAGAAAGAAAGAACCGAACAAGGAAACGGAAAAUAAAAGGCGGAAGAAAACAACUCGGUUCUAGCAAGUUGAAACUAGGUCAAAUUUUACCGGGGCAAAAACUUGUUUAGGUUGAUUAGACGGAACGGCGGUUUCGAAAUGAAACUCCAGGCGCUUGAAUCACCUGAUUCCGAUAAACAAGCGAGAAGAAAGACUAGAACGAAGAUCGAAUCUGAGAUCGCGAUCGCGGAAUAAAUCCGACGAAAAGAAAGAGACGAACGGUUAAACGAACGGGCGUCGUUAAUCGAGGAAUAAUCGGUGAUCACGUUCGUUGAGACGAACGGUCCAAAAGAAGAUCGAAAACCGAUCUAGGGUUUUCGGAAAAGAAACCGAAAAAGAAACGGAAAACCCAUCUAGGGUUUCGGAAGAAAACCGAAACAAAACCAGAAGAAAAAGAAAAGAAUCGGAGAGAAAACGGAACGGUUCUUUUAGGAAAAACCUGACCGGGGAAGAAAAAAGAGGUGCGGCGCGGGGCUACCUCCGGCGAGGCGGAACUCCGAUGGCGGCGAGGCAAGAGCGGCGACGGCGGCUAUAGGCGCGGGGCGGCGGGUGAGGGGCGCGGGGUGGGGCUGCGUGCUGCUGCUUGCUGCGGCUUAGGAGGAGAGGGGCUUGGGGUUUUGAUUUGAUGUUUUGGAGGGGGGUGUUGGUAUUUAUAUAGGUGAGGGGAGGGGGUUUCUUGGGGUAGGGGACAAGAAAUAGAGUAGGAAAAGGAAAACGAAACAAAGGAAAGAGGGCUAGAACCAGCCUUGAGUCCCUCUGGGACUCGGCCUGGGCGAGGGAAGGCGGCGGCUGGGGCCUGGCGCCUGGCGCGCAGCGCUGCUGGGGGCGGCGGCUGGCUGGGCCUUUGGCCCGGCUGGCCUGCGGGAGUUCCCUUUUUUUUAAAUCGGUUACGCGCGCAGAAAAACAAAAGAAAAACUAUCUAAACGAACUCCGAAAAUUACUAAAGUAAAUUUUCCCCGACUCCUAAAAAUGAGCCGAACAAAAUGAACUUUACUCCGGGCCUAAAAUGCAAUUUUCGAAAACGCGCAUUUUUCCCUAUCCAAAUAAAAAGCAAACAAAACUCCGGCGAAACCAAAAUUUGAUUUAUUCAUUAGAUCUUCAUUUUUCCUAACUUUGGGAAAGUCAUAUUAUUCCCUCUCUCAUAUUGUGAUAUUGGGAAAAAUAAUUGAAGAUGAAAUAAAAUAAAUCAAAUGAUCCUCUUUUCAAAAUUUGAGAAAACUCAAAUAUGAAAAUAACGAAAUCUCCAACUCUCUCCGAGGGUCCUUGAGUUGCGUGAAAUUUCUAGGAUCGGGCAAAAUGCAAGAAAAUAUGACAUGCAUGAUGAUCUAAUGUAUAACAUUCCAAAUUGAAAAUUUGGGAUGUUACAAGAAAUAUAUGAGACCUCCGAUUGACGUUUCUGGGUUGGAGUGUUCGGUAAACCGGCUGAAGUAACUACAUGGCCACUGUGUCGGGUUGUGCGGCGAGCUUCAUGCUGCUAUUUCUUCAAAAGAAAGUUGGGAUCCAGAUAAGCUAGAGGGUGUGAAAAUUUUACUUUCAAGUUUGCUUGACGGUUUUUCUGUUUUGGCUGAGGAUCUGAACCGAAGGAAAGAAUAAUUACCUCUACAUCUUCAUCCCGGCUAGCUUUAGCGUCCUCCUGAUAUGGGUCAUUGUCAAUGAGGUGUAUAAAAAAUGAACCAAGAGAAUCAAGUUCUACCUAUGAGUCCAGAUUAUCAAGAUCCUCGUCGAGGUUCAGCCCGGUGGAUUCAGUUGUUUUCUUCUUAGCAGGUUUUUUGAUGACCUCUGUCUUGGGACGAGGGUUCUUGGCCGGUUUAUCCUAAGGUUUCUUCUUCCAAAAUGGGUCGUCACCCUGUUAAAAGAUUGACAAAGGUUAUAAGAAAAAGUUAAGAAUAUCAGGUACAAACAGGAGUUAGGCAAAUUCUUAUAGCUGGCGGUUUAUUCAAAACGCAGAAGGGACUUAGCCCUAUUUUGCUGCAGACAGCCACCGAUUCAUCCAGUAUCUUUUUAACAGCUUCAGUGAUUUCAACGUCCGUUAACUGAAUUUCAGUGUGUCGUCGAGGAUCUUUUGAGUCCCCUGUGUACUCGCACAUUAAACUGGGGCGACGGCUUAAAGGCAAAAUACUCCAAGAUAUCCAGCAAUGAACAAAUAGUAAAGAUCAAAUAGGACAGUUUGAGAAUUGCGUGAUGAUGUAAAUUUAAACCUUCUCACAAAUGAAUCAGUUAGGUAGUAGUACUGAGGGCACUUAUCUGCCAAGAAGCUCUCAAGAUCAGCGUUACGCACAUAUGCUUCAAAUUCCUCCUUAAUUCCUGCCUGAACCAUGAAGUCCUCUAACGACCAUUCACAAGGCCGCACUUGAGCAUCUCUUGGUAGUUCAUUGUCCGGCUCGUGUAUUGCGGGCCUUGGGCCUUGCUUCCUUGAGGAACCACCUUGGUACAUUUUCCUAAACAUAUUUCUUCCUCUGAAAAAUUUCUAAAUUUUUUAGUAACUUAAAAAUAAAAGUGAACCAAACUCAACAAAAUUGAUAGCAACUACUCCUACAAGUGCCUAGAGGCUAUAUCAUGCAUUAAAACUACUUUUGACCACAUAAAUUUGACAUGCAAGCUCAAGAACAGGGUCACCUAAGCAGCAAAAUUUUGCAAUGAAUAAGGCACUAGAACAAAAACUAAUUGGACCAUUGGAGGAGUCACAUACCGAAGAACAAUCCCUCAAAUCAGUUUUGUGAAUGGAGCUUUUGAGUAAGGAGAUCGAAAAUGGCAGCAAGAUGAGCAAGAACUCGGGUUUGAGCUGGCUAGUGAUUUUUCUGGAGCAAGACGAAGUGUGUGGGUGUAAGGAUAAGUGGAGGGGACCCACGUGGGGUCCACGAGGCAAGGGGCGCGCCCUCCACCCUCAUGGGCACGUGGCUGCUCCCCCUGUUGUGUUCUUAGUGCCUAAAAUCCUUAAAUAUUCUGGAAAAAAUCAUAUUUCAUUUUCACGGCAUUUGGAGAACUUUUAUUUUCGGGGUAUUUUUUAUUGCAAGGAUAAUUUAGAAAACAGACAGAAAAUACUAUUUUUUCUUUAUUUAAUAUAAAUAACAGAAAGUAAAAAGAGGGUACAGAGAGUUGUGUUUUCUAAAUUCAUCCAUCUCAUGCUCAUCAAAAGGAAUCGACUAACAAGGUUGACCAAGUCUUGUUAACAAACUCAUUUCGAAUAACAUGAAACCGGAGAAUUUUCGAAUAACACUAGGUUACCUCAAUGGGGAUAUGCACAUCCCCAACAAUAAGAAUAUCAUAUUUCUUCUUGACAGUAGGAAGAGGAAAUUCAAAACCUCCAAUAGUAACUGUUGAAAUUUUUCCAAUAGAAUUGAUACUUUGGACUUGAGGUUAUUUCCUCGGAAAGUGUACCAUAUGCUCAUUACCAUUAACAUGAAAAGUGACAUUGCCUUUAUUGCAAUCAAUAACAGCCCCUGCAAUAUUCAAAAAGGGUCUACCAAGGAUAAUCGACAUACUAUCGUCCUCGGGAAUAUCAAGAAUAACAAAGUCCAUUAAAAUAGUAACGUUUGCAACCACAACAGGCACAUACUCACAAAUACCGACAGCUAUUGCAGUUGAUUUAUCAGCCAUUUGCAAAGAUAUUUCAGUAGGUGUCAACUUAUUCAAAUCAAGUCUACGAUAUAAAGAGAGAGGAAUAACACUAACACCAGCUCCAAGAUCACAUAAAGCAGUUUUAACAUAGUUUCUUUUAAUAGAGCAUGGUAUAGUUGGUACUCCGGGAUCUCCUAGUUUCUUUGGUAUUCCACCCUUAAAAGUGUAAUGAGAAAGCAUGGUGGAAAUUUCAGCCUCUGGUAUCUUUCUUUUAUUUGUAACAAUAUCUUUCAUGUAUUUAGCAUAAGGGUUCAUUUUAAGCAUAUCAGUCAAACGCAUAUGCAAAAAGAUAGGUCUAAUCAUUUCAGCAAAGCGCUCAAAAUCCUCAUCAUCCUUUUUCUUGGAUGGUCUAGGAGGAAAAGGCAUGGGUUUCUGAACCCAUGGUUCUCUUUCUUUACUGUGUUUCCUAGCAAUGAAGUCUCUCUUAUCAUAACAUUGAUUCUUUGAUUGUGGGUUAUCAAGAUCAAUGGCAGGUUCAAUCUCUACAUCAUUAUCAUUGCUAGGUUGAGCAUCAACAUGAACAUCAUCAUUAACAUUAUCACUAGGUUCAUGUUCAUUAUCAGAUUGUGUUUCAGCAUCAGAAAUAGAAAUAUCAUUGGGAUUCUCAGGUGUGUCAACAACAGGUUCACUAGAAGCAUGCAAAGUCCUAUCAUUUUUCUUUUUCUUCUUCUUAGAAGACUAGGUGCAUCAAUAUUAGUUCUCUGAGAAUCUUGCUCAAUCCUCUUGGGAUGGCCCUUAAGAUACAAAGGUUCCUGAGUCAUUUCACCCCCUCUAGUCAUAACUCUAACAACAUUAUCAUUCUUCUUAUUAUUUAAUUCAUUGAGCAAAUCAUUCUGAGCCUUAAGUACUUGUUCUACUUGAGUGGUAACCAUAGAAGCAUGUUUACUAAUAAGUUUAAGUUCACCUUUAACUCUAGACAUAUAAUCACUCAAGUGUUCAAGCAUAUCAGCAUUGUGUUUUAAUUGUCUACCAACAUAAGCAUUGAAGUUUUCUUGUUUAACAAUAAAAUUAUCAAACUCAUCUAAGCAUUGGCUAGCAGACUUAUAACGAGGAAUAUCACCUUCAUCAAAUCUAUAGAGAGAAUUUACCUUUACUACCUGUGUCGGGUUAUCAAGACCAUGUAUUUCUUCAAUAGGUGGUAAAUUCUUAACAUCUUCAUCUUUAAUACCUUUUUAUUUCAUAGAUUUUUUGCCUCUUGCAUAUCUUCAGGACUGAGAAAUAGAAUACCCCUUUUCUUCGGAGUUGGCUUAGGAGUUGGUUCAGGAAGUGUCCAAUCAUUUUCAUUACUCAACAUAUUAUUCAAUAGCAAUUCAGCUUGAUCAACAGUUCUUUCCCUGAAAACACAACCAACACAACUAUCCAUGUGGUCUCUGGAAACAUCAGUUAGUCCAUUAUAAAAGAUAUCAAGUAUUUCAUUUUUCUUAAGAGGAUGAUCAGGCAAAGCAUUAAGUAAUCGAGAAGCCUCCCCCAAGCUUGUGGGAGACUCUCUUCAAUUUGCACAAAAUUAUAUAUUUCCCUUAAGGCAGCUUGUUUCUUAUGAGUAUUUAGCAGAGAAGUAAUAAAUCAUAUCAUGGGGACUACGCACACAACUAGGAUCAAGAGAAUUAAACCAUGUUUUAGCAUCACCCUUUAAUGAGAAUGGAAACAACUUAAGGAUAAAGUAAUAGCAAGUUUUCUCAUCAUUAGUGAACAGGGUGGCUAUAUCAUUUAAUUUAGUAAGAUGUGCCACAACAGUUUCAGAUUCAUAGCCAUAUAAAGGACCAGAUUCAACCAAAGUAAUUAACUUAGGAUCGACAGAGAAAUCAUAAUCCUUAUCAGUAAUAAAGAUAGGUGAAGUAGCAAAAGCAGGGUCAUAUUUCAUUCUAGCAUUCAAAGACUUUUCUUUAAGCUUAGCUAAUAAUUUCUUAAGAUCAGAUCUAUCAUUGCAAGCUAAGAAGUCUCUAGCAGUUUCUUCAUCCAUAACAUAACCCUCGGGCACAAUAGGCAAUUCAUAUCUAGGUGGAGAAUCUUCAUCAUCACUUUCAUCAAUAUUAUCAGUUUCAAUAAUUUCAUUCUCUCUAACCCUAGCAAGUUGUUCAUCAAGAAAUUCACCUAGUGGCAUAGUAGUAUCAAGCAUAGAAGUAAUUUCAUCAUAAGUAUCAUGCAAAGCAGAAGUGGCAUCAUCAAUAACAUGCGACAUAUCAGAUGAAUAGCAGGAGUAGGUGUCGCAAGUUUACUCAAAAUAGAAGGUGAAUCAAGUUCAGAGCUAGAUGGCAGUUCCUUACCUCCCCUCGUAGUUGAGGGAAAAAUCUUGGUUCUUUGAUGUUUCAAGUUCUUAAUAAUUAUAUGCAGAUAUAAAUCCCAAGUGACUCAAAGAAUAUAGCUAUGCUCCCCGGUAACAGCGCCAGAAAAUAGUCUUGAUAACCCACAAGUAUAGGGGAUCGCAACAGUUUUCGAGGGUAGAGUAUUCAACCCAAAUUUAUUGAUUCGACACAAGGGGAGCCAAAGAAUAUUCUCAAGUAUUAGCAGCUGAGUUGUCAAUUCAACCACACCUGGAAACUUAAUAUCUGCAGUAGAGUAUUUAGUAGCAAAGUAAUAUGAUAGUAGUGGUAAUGGUAGCAAAAGUAAUGGUAGGAGUUUUGGUUUUAUAGUGAUUGUAACAGUAGCAAUGGAAAAGUAAAUAAGCGAAGAUCAAUAUAUGAAAAGCUCGUGGGCAUUGGAUCGGUGAUGGAUAAUUCAAUCAUGCAACAGUUAUAACAUAGGGUGACAUAUAAAUAGAUUUAGUUCAUCAAUGUAAUGUAGGCAUGUAUUCCGAAUAUAGUCAUACGUGCUUAUGGAAAAGAACUUGCAUGACAUCUUUUGUCCCACCCUCCCGUGGCAGCGGGGUCCUAUUGGAAACUAAGGGAUAUUAAUGCCUCCUUUUAAUAGAGUACCGGACCAAAGCAUUAACACAUAGUGAAUACAUGAACUCCUCAAACUACGGUCAUCACCAGUAAGUAUCCCGGUUAUUGUCACUUCGGGGUUAAUGGAUCAUAACACAUAAUAUGUGACUAUAGACUUGCAAGAUAGUAUCAAGAACUCACAUAUAUUCAUGAAAACAUAAUAGGUUCAGAUCUGAAAUCAUAGCACUCGGGCCCUAGUGACAAGCAUUAAGCAUAGCAAAGUCAUAGCAACAUCAAUCUCAUAACAUAGUGGAUACUAGGGAUCAAACCCUAACAAAACUAACUCGAUUACAUGAUAAAUCUCAUCUAGCCCAUCACCGUCCAGCAAGCCUAUGAUGGAAUUACUCACGCACGGCGGUGAGCAUCAUGAAAUUGGUGAUGGAGGAAGGUUGAUGAUGAUGGUGGCAACGGAUUCCCCUCUUCGGAGCCCCGAACGGACUCCAGAUCAGCCCUCCCGGGAGAGAUUAGGGCUUGGCGGCGGUUGCGUAUCGUAAAAGGUGAUGAAUCCUUCUCUCUGAUUUUUUUCUCCCCGAAAGUGUAUAUAUGGAGUCAAGAUGGACGUCGGUGGAGCAUCAGGGGGCCCACGAGGCGCCCCCACCCUCGUGGACAAGGUGUGGGCCCCCUGACGUGGAUUCUUCUUCCAGUAUUUUUUAUAUAUUUCAAAAAUAAUCUUCAUUGAUUUUUAGGUCAUUCCGAGAACUUUUAUUUCUGCACAAAAAUAACACCAUGGCAAUUUUGCUGAAAACAGCGUCAGUCCGGGUUAGUUCCAUUCAAAUCAUGCAAGUUAGAGUCCAAAACAAGGGCAAAAGUGUUUGGAAAAGUAGAUACGACGGAGUCGUAUCACCCGCCCGGUCGGAGGAGCAGGAAGCGACCGGGGGAGGGGGAUUGGGUCGGCCUACUGGGAUGGGCCGAAGCCUAAGGGGAGGCCAGGGGCAUUCUCUCUCUCCUUUGAGUUUCCUUUUUAUUUUUUAUUUUUUUUUGUUUCUCUUUUUCUACCAGCUUUUGCAUUUUAUUUUGCCACAAAUGACUUUGCAAAAAUAUGCCACUAGCCAAAACAAAUUCAAAGAAGUACUGUGCACUGCCACAAAAAUGUUGGGAAUGUUUUGAAUCCCUUUGGAUUUAUUCAAAAAGAAUAGGGCAUUUUGAAAGGCUGUUUUGGCUCUAUUAAAAAGCAUUAGGCCCAUUUAGAGUUGGUGAUGAUGUUGUGUUCCUUAACAACAAAUAGUUUUGGAUUAUUUGCUAAAAGGUGAACAUUUUUCCAACAAGUUUUGAUCAACUUCAUUUUGCACUUUGAAGUUGAAUGGAAUUCCAAAGAAGGAAUUUGAAAUGAGAUAUUAUCCCAACAUGAUUAUCAUUGCAAAUCUCAGUAGCUUAGCAUCAUCAUGAUGGAUUACUGUAGCUCCAUUACAUAGGGGUGUUACAAUUCUCCUCCUCUAAAAGAAAUUCUCGUCCCGAGAAUUAGGAGGUAGAAGGGAAAAGAUCGGGGUAUUUGGCACGGGGGUUAUCCUCGCGUUCCCAAGUGGCUUCAUCCUUAGUAUGAUUUGAACAUUGCACCUUGAGGAACUUGGUAACCUUCUGGCGUGUUUGACGUUCAGCUUCUUCAAGAAUGCGGAUCGGAUGCUCUUUGUAUGUGAGAUCAUCUUGAACUUCAAUCAGUCCUGGAUCCACUUCACGUUCCGGAUUCUUGAAGCAUCGGCGAAGUUGCGACACAUGGAAGACGUCAUGGACGUGAGAGAACUGAGGUGGCAACUCCAAUUAAUAAGCCACCAGUCCAUGAUGGGAGAGAAUGCGAAAAGGACCAAUGUAGCGAGGAGCUAGCUUGCCCUUGACUCCAAACCGAUGAGUGCCUCUCAAAGGGGUGACACGCAAAUAAGCUUGUUCACCAGGUUGAUAAGUUGAACCCUAGUGUUUCCGGUCAUAGUUGCUCUUAUGGCGGGACUGGGCCACCUUGAGAUUAUCCCGUACAAUGUGAACCUGCUCUUCAGCUUGUUGAAUAAUGUCUGGACCAAUGAGCGUCCGUUCCCCAGUUUCUGACCAAUUCAGAGGGGUUUGGCACUUACGUCCAUAAAGCACUUCGAAGGGUGCCAUUUUCAAGCUGGCUUGAUAAGUUUUGUUAUAAGAGAACUCCACAUAAGGGAGAGAUUCUUCCCACUUCUUGCCGAAAGAAAUAACACAAGCUCGAAGCAUGUCUUCAAGAAUUUGAUUGACUCGCUCGACUUGGCCUUGGGAUUGGGGAUGAUAAGAAGUGCUCCAAGUAAUAUGAGUUCCCAUUGCCUCUUGGAAACUAUCCCAAAUCUUCGAAGUGAAUAUAUUGCCGUGGUCUGAACCGAUCUCCUUCGGAAUGCCAUGGAGUUACACAAUUUGGGAGAUAUACAAGUUUGCUAAUUGACUAGCAGUGAUUGUCUACUUGACUGUCAGAAAGUGAGCAACCUUCGAGAAUUGGUUGAUGACGACAAAGAUAGCAUUGUUACCUUUCUAAGACUUGGGAAGGCCAGUGACAAAGUCCAUCUGAAUCUUAUCCCAUUUCCAUUCAGGAAUAGGGAGAGGUUGUAGAAGUCCAGUCGGUUUCUGAUGUUCUGCUUUGACGCGACGGCAAACGUCACAUUCUUUGAUAUAUCGAGCAAUAUCUUGCUUCAUCUUGGAGCACCAAUACUUCUGACGAAUGUCUAAGUACAUCUCAGUACUUCCCGGAUGAAUAGAGAGAGGGGUGUCAUGCACUUCUUUCAUCACCUUCUUUGUCAUAAGAUCGAACCGGGGUACUACAAUACGAUCUCUGAAGUAUAAGGUUCCAUCUUCAUACGAUCUCUAAAGUGAGAAAUCUCCAGCUUUCUCUAAGGCAAGAUCCUUUUUCAUCAGAUCAACAUGAGCAUCUUUGGCUUGAGCAAACUUCAUUGCUUUUAGAAGAGUUGGUUCCAAUACGAGGUUAUUUAGAGAACCUUGUGGAACUAGCUGAAGGUUCAGCUUGCAUAGCUCUUCAUAAAAGCAGGGUUGAGCUUUGUAGGCCAUGUGAUUAUUGCAAUAUGACUUGCGGCUCAGAGCAUCGGCCAUGACAUUAGCCUUACCAUGGGUAUAGGAUAUACCGCAGUUGUAGUCAGCAAUAGCUUCCAUCCAUCGCUGCUGACGGAGGUUCGGGUCUGGCUGAGUAAACAGGUACUUCCGACUCUGAUGAUCAGUGAAGAUAUCGCAAUGAUUGCCGAGAAGGUACUGUCGCCAUAGCUUCAGUGCAAAGAUAACCACAGCAAGCUCGAGGUCGUGAACUGGGUACUUCUCUUCAUGAGGACGCACUUGACGGGAGGCAUAAGCAAUCACUCUGCGCUCUUGCAUUAGGACACAACCUAAUCCUUGUCGUGAAGCGUCGCAAUAGAUGACGAAGUCCUUGUGAGAAUCAGGGGGAGCAAGCACUGGGGCAGAUGUCAGCUUGACCUUGAGUGUCUGGAAACUUUCCUGACACUUUUUAGUCCAAUCAAACUUAACACCUUUGUGUAGCAGAUUGGUCAGUGGCUUGGCGAUCUUGUAUAAGUUCUGGACAAAGCGGCGACAAUAGCUGGCUAGUCUGAGAAAGCUUCUGACUUGCUUGACAGUCUUCGGAGGGGUCCAAUCAAGAAUAGCCUGAACGCGCUCUAGGUUGACGGCAAUACCAUCCUUGGAGAUGACAUGACCAAGGUAUGUGACUUCGGGUAACUAUAAUUCGCACUUGGAAUACUUGGCAUAAAGUUGAUGCUCUCGAAGCUUUUCCAGAACAAGACGAAGAUGUUCGACAUGUUCUUCUUUGUUCUUCGAAUAUACCAGAAUAUCAUCCAGAUAGACCACGACGAACUUGUGAGGUAAUCCAUGAAUAUGUAGUUCAUCAGACAGGGGAAUGUGGCCGGAGCAUUGGUCAAGCCAAAAGACAUGACGGUGUACUCGUAAGAACCAUAACGAGUGACGAAUGCGGUCUUUGGAAUAUCGUCUUUGCGAACACGGAUCUGGUGGUAACCCAACCUCAAGUCGAGUUUAGACAAUAUUGAUGAACCAGCCAGUUGAUCAUACAGAUCAUUGAUCCGUGGAAGGGGAUAUUUGUUCUGAAUUGUAGCUUGGUUGAUAGGACGAUAGUCUUGGACCAAACGAUUCGUUCCGUCCUUCUUCUUGACGAAGAGAGAAUGUGCUCCCCAGGCGGAGGAACUUGGAAGAAUGAAACCCUUGCGAAGGGAUUUGUCGAUUUCCUCCUUAAGUUCAAGGAGCUCAUGAGGUGGCAUCUUGUAGGGUCGCUUGGCGAUAGGAACGGUGCCUGGUUUCAAGUCGAUGACGAACUCGACAGCCCGAGUAGGAGGUAUUCCUGGAAGUUCUUCCGGAAAGACAUCUAGGAAGUCACGAACAACUGGAAUCUUUUCAAUUCCCUCAAGAGGUGCUACAUUCAACACAUUCAGGAGAUAGAGCCGGGCCUCGGCAUUUUGAACCAGACGAGCAUUGUAGCUUACCAUCUCAUCUGAAGGGUGUAGAAGGUGGACGGUUUUAGUGGCGCAAACAAUAGAAGCCAUAUGUGCUUUCAAACAAUCCAUUCCCAGAAUGAGGUCAAUAUUGGAAGACUUCAGAAUAAUGGGGGAGGCAAAAAAUUCCAACCCUUCGAUUUCAACUGAAGCGUUGUGGCUAACCAUGGAGGUUUGGCAUUGGCCCGCAGUGGUUUUUACCACUAGUGGAGUGUGCAUCUCUUCGUAUUAAAUGCCAUGCAUGAAUGCAAAAUCUUCUUAUAUGAAAGAAUGUGAUGCUCCUGAAUCAAACAAGACAGAUGCUGGUACUGAAUUAACUAGAAGAGUACCCAUCACAGUAGCAGGCUGGUCUUGAGCUUUGUUUAGAUCAACAUGAUUAGCCUGACCAUGACCAUAAGGUCUGGCAUUGUUGUUGCAGGGUCGAUUGAUACACGCGCAUUAGAAGGCAGAGCCAACUGAUUCUGAUUCUGAGGGCAGUUCCUAGAACGGUAACCUGGAAGGCCACACUUGAAGCACAGACCAUAAUUGGGAUUGGAAGCAGGAUCUUGGGGUGGUGCAGUCCGAAGAGGCUACCUCAUUGGUGGAGGAGGCAGACACGGAGCAGCAUAGGACUGUCUUGGUGUAGGUGCAGUUGGAUGAUACAUGCUGUGGGGAAUCCAUAUUGACGCUUCUGCGCUGACGGGCCCGAAGGUGAGCCAGCGUCACGGCUGCGCCUAAGGGAUCCCUGGUGUUCCUGAAGACAAGUCUCAACCUUAAUGGCCUUGUUCACCAAGGUGGCGAAGUAGGCAAAGUCAUGAACGAGCAGUGCUAGUUUGAUAUCAGGGUGAAGUCCAUCACGAAACUUCUCUUGCUUACAAGCAUCAGUUGCAAUGUCUUCUUCAACAUAACGUAACAAGUCCAGAAAUUCCCGUUGAUAAGAAUCUACAGUCUUGUUGCCUUGGGUGAGGUUGCGGAAAUCUCGCUUCUUCCUGUCCAUGAUUCCCUAAGGAAUGAAGCGGGCACGAAAGGCAGCUUGGAAAUCCGGCCAAGUGAUGAUUGUUCCAGUAGGCAGGGUACGCCUAUGGCUGUCCCGCCAUUGAGCAGCGGGACCCUUGAGGAAGAAGGAUGCGAAGGUGACAUAGCUUGCAGUGGCUACAUCAGCAGACUCCAUUUCAUAUGUGAUGUCGCGGAGCCAGUCAUCAGCAUCAAGGGGUUGAGUUGAGUUGCGGUAGAUAGUUGGGUUGAGGCGCAUGAAGUCCUGUAGAGUUACUGGGGUUGGCUGUUGAUUCAUGUUCAGACGAGGAAACUGAGCCAUCAUUCCUUCCAUGAACUGGUGAUUCAGCUCAAAUUAUUGCAUCAUUCCGGCCAUGAAUUCAGACGGCGGUGGAGCAUGGGCACCACGGCCACGACCAGCGGGUCUAACCAUCCUGCUAACAUGUAACAUGGGUAGUUCAACAUUGAGCAUUUGCAACGACAAGGAUCAUUCAUGAUGAAACAUGCAUAAUGAAAGAGGUACGAUGGAUACCACAUAGUAGUCAACACGACAGUGUGUGUACUAUUCAGAAUACUAUUCUAAGGAAUAACUAUGGUUUAUCCAACUUCGGGGUGAAUGUGGUCACGGGAUCCUAAUGUUAGAGUUAGUAAAUUUGUCUAACCCGAAUGGAAGAGAGAUUAGAGCCCCAAAGUAUAGACGAGGCGUAAAAGAUCCUAAUACCACCCAAAUGGCGACGUAGGCCCGUAAGACACAUAGCCAAUGUUAGUAGAAGUUUUUUUAGUGACUAGACUCAACUUCGACCAAGGAGUUGGAAAGGGGGCUACCUACAGGCAGUCGGCUCUGAUACCAACUUGUGACGCACUCGACUCAAUCGUACACUAAUCAUACACGCAAAUGUGUAUGAUCAAGAUCAAGGACUCACGGGAAGAUAUCACAACACAACUCUAGACACAAAUUCAAAUAAUACAAGCUUUAUAUUACAAGCCAGGGGCUUCGAGGGCUCGAAUACAUAAGCUCGAAUACACAAGAGUCAGCGGAAGCAACAAUAUUUGAGUACAGACAUAAGUUAGACAAGUUUGCCUUAAGAAGGCUAGCACAAAAGACAAUGAUCGAAAAGGCAAGGCCUUCUGCCUGGGAGCCUCCUAACUACUCCUGGUCGUCGGCGGCCUCCAUGAAGUAGUAGUCACCCUCGGUGUAGUAGUAAUCAUAGGUGGUGUCGUUUGGCUCCUGAGCUCCACCAUCUGGUUGCGACAUCCGGAAAGAAGAAAGGGGGGAAAGAGGGAGCAAAGCAACCAUGAGUACUCAUCCAAAGUACUCGCAAGACUUAUGUCGGUGACAAAACCGGCGGAUCUCGGGUAGGGGGUCCCGAACUGUGCGUCUAAGGCGGAUGGUAAUAGGAGGCAGGGGACACGAUGUUUUCCCAGGUUCGGGCCCUCUUGAUGGAGGUAAUACCCUACGUCCUGCUUGAUUGGUCUUGAUGAUAUGAGUAUUACAAGAGUUGAUCUACCACAAGAUCGUAGAGGCUAAACCCUAGGAGCUAGCCUAUGGUAUGAUUGUUGUUGUCCUAUGGACUAAACCCUCCGGUUUAUAUAGACACUGGAGGGGGCUAGGGUUACACAGAGUCGGUUACAAGGGAGGAGAUCUACAUAUCCGUAUUGCCAAGCUUGCCUUCCACGCCAAGGAAAGUCCCAUUCGGACACGGGACGAAGUCUUUAAUCUUGUAUCUUCAUAGUCCAACAGUCCGGCCAAAGGAUAUAGUCCGGCUGUUUGAAGACCCCCUAAUCCAGGACUCCCUCAGUAGCCCCUGAACCAGGCUUCAAUGACGAUGAGUCCGGCGCGCAGAUUCAUCUUCGGCAUUGCAAGGCGGGUUCCUCCUCCGAAUACUCCAUAGAAGAUUUUGAACACAGGGAUAGUGUCCGGCUCUACAAAACAAGUUCUACAUACCACCAUAGAGAGAAUAAUAUUUCCACAAAUCUAAUCUGCUAACAUGUUUAGCAACAUGACAUCAUGCCAUGGCCCAGUCUUUAUUCGAACCGUUUUUCUCAACCAGCACUGCACGUAUCGCGAGGUGGUUUUCCUGACACGUCUUGUCAAAGCAGAGAUCGUGUCCCCCUUAUUAUGGGAUUCUCAUCAAUACGGACGUGGGUAACCCAAUCGUGCCUGUGGGUAUGACUCCUCGAUUUUAGGCAAGUCCCAAAUAGCCACGAGGAGGACGCUUGAUAUUCACCCUCUUUAUAAAGAGGCCAAGGCAUGUCCUUUUUUUCCCUCUCGUGCUCAAUUGAUUCCUUCCCCCGCCUCGAGUUCCAACACCCAAGGCUCAGGUCAGGCGCUUCGGACCUUCAACCAUGUCCGGAUCCAACCUCCAAGGUCGGUGGAUGCCUUCCUCUAUCACAGAGGAGGACAUCAAGAAGCUGAGAGAGGCCAGGUAUCUGACCGCCGAAAUCUCGCACAGACUGCCUGUCCGAGGGCGGGUCAUCCCCACUCCCGAACCCAACGAGAGUGUUGUGUUCAUAUUUCACUUCCUCCGAGGGCUAGGCCUCGCUCUGGAUCCCUUUGUUAGGGGGCUCAUGUUCUAUUAUGGGUUGGAUUUCCAUGAUCUGGCCCCCGAUUCCCUCCUUCACAUCUCAUCGUUCAUUGUCGUGUGUGAGGCCUUCCUCCGCAUUACCCCACACUUCGGCAUGUGGCUCAAGACUUCCAAUGUGAAGCUGAAGAUGAUCGAGGGGCGACACGCAGAGUGCGGAGGCGCCGUAAUAAGCAAAAGAGUUGAUGCUCCAUGGCCAGAGGGUUCCUUCCCAGAGGUGUCCAGUUUGUGGCAGCGGGGGUGGUUUUAUAUCACAGCUCCCCGGAGUACCAUGUAGGUAGCCGCCUCUGCCUUUCGCUCAGGCCCCCCACCACAACUGACGUCAUGGAUCAACAAGGGGCUGAACUGGGGCUAGUAAAUGAUGUGCCUAUAUUGCAGAGUCGCAUCCGAGAUCUCCUUGAGAGAGAUGUCAGCCUGGUCUUGGUAAUGCAAGUCAUGCUAGUUCGCCGGGUCCCGCCUUGCAAACGUCGACCCCUCCGUAUGUGGGAGUUCAACCCAGAAGGACCAUGAAUUAUUCAGCACUUCCUCGGCAUGACGCUCGAAGAGAUGUACAAAUUGUUCUUCGGACCACAAAUAAGGUGUCCGGACACCACCGAGGAUGCGGGUCUGAGCUGCAAUCGCCCAGAUACCCAAGUAAGUAAGCCCGUGGCCGAACACACUGUCUUUUUAUUUAUCAUAACAUCAUUAUGAAAAGUCGCUCUUUGACCAGGACUUGGUAACAAAGGCGAAGAUGAUCAGGUGUUCAGCCCCCCUUCCCGAAGGUUCAGCAAAUCUAGUACUAGCCAGAAUGCUCGAGAUGGCGCCUUAUCAGGCGCCCUCAGGGGAAGAUAAAGGGGAGAAUAAAGAGGCUGGAAGCGGGCCUCGCUCAUUAUUCAUCCAAACCGGGGGAAUUAGCGCCUCCGUGAAGGAGGAUAACCAGGGAGAAGAAUCUGAAAUUCCCUCUCCCCAAGGAAGGAAGAGGACCACCUCUGAAGACCCGGAAACAAAGGUUUCCAAACGGGGGAAGAAAUCUUCGCUAGAGGGUCCAUCCUCAGAGGGUACUCUUGCCGCACAGUGUCCGCAAGGGGAUCAGCCCUCUACCGAGCUGUAAGUAAACAAAAAGUACUUAAUGGUAAAAAUAUCCUACAUUACUUCUGAAGAUAAUAACGAAAGCAUAUAUCUUGCAGUUCGGAUCGUAGCCCUUCUCGACAGAGUUCGUCUUUGGGGGAUCUUCUUCCGGAGAUGAUGGAGAGUGAAACACCUCCCCCUGCCACCCCGCCUCAUGAGGCGGGCGACCCUGAAGUGUCGUCGCGGAGGGUUUCUCCUGAUCCGCCAAGGCCAGAGGGUAAUCCUUUGGCCACCCGAAGUCCUCAGUAUUUGGAUCAUAAAGAGAGCAACAGAAAGAGUCCGGAACCAUACAGUGUGCGGUCGGACGCACUGAAGGAUCUUCUGGAGCAAGCGGCCAUCUCAGAAGAGCAUCAUACGCUAAUGGGUACGGUGAUUGAAAGGAUUUCAUGCGCCGAAAGCGGGUUGCAUGAAGGUUUUAUGAGUCUGCUAAAAGGCUUUGAGGUACGUGAAAUAGUGUAUGUUUUUGACAGUACCGCACACAUUAGGUGUGCCCUAUGCAGAUAGUAGCCCCUGAGACUCUGGUUGCCAUCAAGAAUGGCGGCAAACAGAGGAUCAUAGUCCCAAGUAAUAAUCAGACCACCGUCAUGUGCAGGUGGCUGAAGGUCCGGUGGCUAGCCGGACUGGUGAGUUUGCCGAGCUGAAGCGGCAACUUGAUGCGGCAGAUGCCGACAUCGUGCUUGUGAACAAGUGGCUCAACGAGGCACAGGGUAUGUGAUUUCUCCGGUGAUCAACACAUAGUAAGAGGAGCAUGAUGCCAGUAUCUUUAAUAUGUUGUGACUGCAGAUGGAGCUGCCACCGUGGAGACCCUUCAGGCGGAACUUGCCCGAGCCAAGGAACAAGCCAGAAAUAGCGAUGCGGCCGCUCUAAAGGCAGUCGAAGAGUUGAGGGCCGAACAAGCCGCGCAUUGCCAGAGCAAGGAAAGAAUGGCCAAGAUGGCGUUGAGUUGAAAGAUGCCGCUAACCGUUACCAGCUUCUUGAAAAAGAAAGCCGAGCGAAGGCGACAGACCUAGAGAAGGCCAUGGUAGCAGCCAAGGAAGCCCGCUCCAAAAUCAGAGCGAUGAAGGAGGAGCUGCGUCAAGCUGGAGAUAUCGUGGUUGGGAAGCCCUUUUUGUUGUGGACUAAGUUCAGAGAUCCGAAGUAUGCCCCUCUUGAUCAACUAUGGAGUUCUACAGACGCAUACGUGGAUUUGGCGGCAAGUGCUGCUGAUGCGGGCGAGUCAAGGAUCAAAAAGAUCGUGAAGUGGAAAAGCUGUUCUGGUCAUAGUUCCAUGCUCCAGUGCAUCUGCUGCUGUUGAAUGAGCGAAUGGCCGAGUGGGCCGAGCUCCAUAGGUUUUUCGGACUUGCCAUGAGGUCUUUUGUGGAUCAUCUGUGGCCGGAAGGGCCAAGGCCGAAUAGUUACUUUAGUUUAGUGCAACAAUUCCUUGGUGUUGUGCCGCACAUCGACGCUAUGAAAAGGUCAGCGUGCAUAGAGGGUGCGCGGAUGGCACUUGCCCGUGUCAAGACAUAUUAGGCAGAGAUUAAGGAUGGCAAUGGGUCGGGUUUGGAUCGGGUUGAACAAUAUUAAAUCCAUAUCCAUAUCCAUGAAGACAGUCUUUGUCCAUCCACGAAAAAAUCCAUGGGUGAUAAAUUGUGUCCAUGUCCAAACCCGAUAGAUAUCCAUACCCAUUGGAUAUCCAUUGGGUCCUCUCAAGAAAUAUAAAUUACACAUAACAUAGCGUUAACAUAAGCUCCUCCAUUCUUCACCUUGUGGCAGGCUAGGCCUCACUUAUGCUAAACAUCAACUUAUGGUAAAUCAACAUCCACUAACAUGCUAAGAUCAUUUAGUAUUUUUCUAAUAGUUGUGAAUGACAAGUCAUUUAACAAGGAGAUAAAAAUAAGGGUAGGGGCAUUGGAGUAUGUUACAGAGGGGAUUGAAUGUCAACUAAUAAAAGUUAUGACAGAGAUUGUGCAAUUUCUUUUACAUGUUUUAGAUAACAAAGUGUAAAAUAGCAGUGGGACAUGUGACUGUGGGGUAGGGAUAGCAGAUUUUGGCCCAUUAAGUCACACUAUCGGGUCGGGUUUGGAUAUAUCCACGGGUACAAUAUUAUAUCCAUGCCCUACCCACGAGCAAUCGGGUCGGGUUUGGGCGGCGUCCAUGGACACAAAAGCAUAUCCAGAUCAUGUCCAUUCGGGUCGGAUAUCCAUGGAUAUCCAUGUCCAUGGGUAAAAUUGCCAUCCUUAGCAGAGAUGGAGGCCACCACUAUUGGAACACAGGGUUCGGUCGUGGGCCGAGUAGCUGCCGAGCACUACUUUGAAGAAGUCCUUGAAGGCGCUCGUUCGAUAGAGGCUCAGUGCUCGAAGAAUAUUAUGUUCUAGUGACAUGUAUUCCCAUUGUAAAAACAAUGUUUUAUUGAAUUAUAAAGGCUAUGUUUAUACUUUUGCCUGAAAGUAUUAUGAUGCCUCAUGUGCGGUCGUUUAUGUAUAUAUGUAUAUAACCUGAAAGAUUGCAGUCAUCGGUUUCAGCCCCCACGCAUAUAAUGCGGGGGUGUUCACAAAAAACGCGUAUUCACACUUGAUCCAUGAAGGAGGUGGUAGCGCAGCGAACGAGGCAAUCGGACUAUAUUGCUUUAACACUUUCACUUAGCCAUAGGAGUUUGACAGUGGGACUACUAUAUAGCCCCUGGUACUUCCGUGCUCGUGCGAAUACGGGGCGCGUACGUACAUGACCGGGAAACGGCCCUUCGUUAAUGCGGAGGAAUCCCGAAGAUUCCGUUAAGUCAUUGAGUGGUUAACCAGUCUCGCGCUUUAUCAUGACAGUCAGUUUUCGGCUUUCUCUACUGAGGUGCUCAUCCAGAUGAACCAGGGCACAAUCGCAGUAGUUCUCCCGGUGCUGCCUUAGCCGAUAGAGAGGAACAUAAGGUAGCAAAACAUGGGAGCCGGGCAAACCCAACAUUUGACCAAAGGCAUGAUUCAGAGCUGAUGCAUAUAAGGCCAAACUCGCGAUGCCGAACACUCCCUAAGGUAUUCGGUCUUUAUAACAUAUGUCGGGCUGAGCAAUGCCCUUAAUAAUAAACCUCGAGUGUCCAGGUAUGUGCAAUAUCCUGACGUGGCCACAUGCCAAUAACGUCAGCAUCCUUCUCGGUUGUAUUGAGUAUCUGGAGGAUGUGAACAACAAGAGACAGUAAAAAAGGUUUACACAGGGUCUUAAUCUGAAAAGAAACCUUUGAGCAGGUCCUUGAUGCACGUCUGCGCCUGUGUCUCCGUUGUGCCGUGUCCUGGAUGGGUGUAGCACGAUUGUCAUCUAUAAAAGAGAAGAACUUAGGUGAAAGUUGUCGUGCCAGAAAAUUGGUUAUUAUCAAUAAACCAUUAAAAUUCAAGAUAAGUCAAGUUGAGCCGAACUAGCCCUGAUUACAAAUGGGAAGCCCCUGGUACCGUCUAUGAGGGUUUAACCAUCAAACCAAUCUCAUGUAUAUGUAGUGAUGCACCGGACUCAUCUAACCGUGUCCGUGGUCUUGACGACCUGUCAUUUAUUCUGGUCGGUGAGGCCGCCUAGUGCUCGGCUGUUAAAGCCGCCGCACAUUCUUCCGCGCGUAGAGAACGCUCAAUAUUUCCACUAACUGUGAUGGUGCCACGUGGACCGGACAUCUUAAGCUUGAGAGAAUCGUAAUGCGGUAAUGCAUUAAAACGAGCAAAAGUCGCUCUUCCGAGUAGUGCUUGAUAGCCACUUCGGAAUGGAGCGAUGUAGAAAGUUAACUUUUCGGUUCGGAAGUUGUCGGGAGAACCGAAUACAACCUCUAGUAAUAGAGAGCCCGUACAGUGGGCCUCUGGGCCUGGUAUUACUCCCUUGAAGGUAGUAUUACUGUGGCUUAUUUUUGUCGGGUCUAUCCCCAUUUUGCAGACUGUGUCCUGAUAUAUCAGAUUUAGACCACUUCCGCCGUCCAUAAGGAGUCAUGUGAGAUGGUAUCCCUUUAUUAUUGGGUCUAACACCAAGGCAGCCAAUCCUGUUUAGGCUAGAUAGUCCAUCUCUGUUGCCUUUGAAAGGCUUUUCCCGCUGACCUGGUCGAGAGCCCCUGAAUCCGAUGUUGACCGUCGUAUUAUCUGGGUUGUCUUCUUUAUUUCGACGCUUGUUUUUACUGCAUCGUGGUUUUCCAUUAACAUCUCUGACUUCGGAUGUGCUUGGGUCGCUGGUGCUACUACGGGCUAACCAGCUAUCUUCGCCCGCGCAAAAGCGGGUCAUGAGGCUUGUCAGGGCUGCCAUUGUUCUUGGUUUUUCUUGGCCGAGGUGUCUGGCGAGCCAUUCAUCUCAGACGCUAUGUUUGAAAGCUGCUAAGGCUUCGGCGUCCCGACAGUCAACGAUUUGGUUCUUCUUAGUGAGAAACCUGUUCCAAAGCUUUCGGGCUGACUCUCCGGGCUGUUGAAUUAUAUGACUUAAAUCGUCUGCAUCUAGAGGUUAGACAUAGGUCCCUUGAAAAUUAGCCCGAAAAGCGUCCUCGAGCUCCUCCCAACUUCCAAUUGAGUUUUCAGGGAGGAUUUUCAACCAGUGCCGAGCUGGUCCUUUAAGCUUGAGGGGCAAGUACUUGAUGGCAUGGAGAUCGUCUCCGCGAGCCAUAUGGAUAUGGAGGAUAAAGUCCUCAAUCCAGACCCCAGGGUCUGUGGUCCCGUCGUAUGCCUCUAUGUUCACUGGUUUGAAUCCUUCUGGGAAUUCAUGGUUCAUCACCUCAUUGGUGAAACAUACGGGGUGUGCGGCACCCCUUUAUUUGGAUGUAUCAUGGCGUUCGGAUGGUUGUAGUAUUCGGUUUUGAUUUUGUGCCGGAGCAUGCUUCCUAGAUCCAUAGAUGGAUCUGGUCAUACUGGAUUUUUGGCGCAAGUCCUCACGUAGAUCGUGUGUUGACUUAUGUGCGACCUUGUUAGCCGCUCUAUCGCGGUCACAAGGUGGUUGAUCCGGCCAGUUAGCCGUUUUAUUUUUCGGUCGUAUGGGGUCUAAGGACUCAUCGUCGAAUUCGGGUAAUAGCUUGCGCUUUGGAUAGCUCUUUGUGUGGUAACCUCCACCAUACUUUUCUUCGUUGUCGAGCACUUUGUUCCACCUGCUGUUGAGCGUAUUUUGUACGGCCUUAAGCCUUUGCUUCUGCUUCUUCAGACUCCUCGCUGUGGCAAUAAGCCUUCUAUGGAGGUUCUCUUGCUCAAAGUGCGUUUCCGGGAUGAUGUGUGCAUCUUCGUCCGGACUGUUUUCCUCCCCAGAGGGGGUUUGAUGAGGUUUAUCCUCGGCGUCGCCGUGUUCGGACGUUGAAUCCGUACUAUGUUCGCCAUUUGCAGCUUCAUCGUGCUCUGCCGCCGGGGCAAUGUGGUCGUCGUUUCCUCUGGAGUUGACUGGAGUGUUAUUUUCUCUUGCGCUGUUAUCAUUGUUUUUGCCGAGGCGGGAUUUGGAGCGGCACCUACGCCGAUGCUUUGUUUGCUUCUUGGAGGGGUCAUCCUCCGAUGUCUCCUCCCGUUCCUCGUCAUCGUUUUCUUUGGGUGUAUCCACCAUGUAUAUGUCAUGUGAUGAAGUGGCUGUCCAGUGCCCUGUGGGCACUAGUUCCUAUUCCUCUCCUGCAUCGUCGUCCAUGUCAUCGAUUUUUGCAGUCAAAAUCGAGCAUGUCGGUUAAAUCGUUGACAGAGGCUACUAAGUGGGUGGUGGGUGGGCAGCGAAUUCCUUCAUCGUCCGCAUCCCAUUCUAGCCGGACAUAGUUCGGCCAAGGAUCUCCUGACAAGGAGAGAGACCUUAAUGAAUUUAGCACGUCGCCGGAAGUUGAGUGCUGAAAGAUAUCCGCGGAGGUGAACUCCAUGAUCGGCGCCCAAUCAGAUUCGAUAGGCACGGAUGUAGGCGGCUCGGAGUCUGUGGCCGGAGACGAAUCCAGUGGUUCGGCAACACGGCUCUCGUAAGGGGUGAAGUCAGUAUCCGGCUCCAUCACCACUAAGAGUGUGGCCUCCGUGGCAGGGUCUAUCCCUCCGUCCUCGGAUGGCGCAAUUUGCUCCGGAUUGAAGGCCAGAGUAGUUGUAGGUGUGAUCUCCCGAACACUGUCCGACGACAGAGCUAAAUCAUGCUCGUCGUGAUCGUGCGGCGCACCUGACAUGGGCUUGAAUCCGUUGAAGAUCAAGUCUCCGUGGAUGUCGGCAGUGUAGUUUAGGUUUCCGAACCUGACCUGAUGGCCAGGGGCGUAGCUCUCGAUCUGCUCCAGAUGGCCAAGUGAGUUGGGCUGUAGUGCGAAGUCACCUCUGGUCCAUGGGUCGGUGAACGAAUGGGUUUUGGGAAAUAGAGAACAUGGAAUCGAUUGAACAAAGGUGGCACCGGAAUGAAUAGCCCACUUGUUUCGGGCAAGAAUGAAUGGGACUGAUCGACUCGAGUUACCGAGCGACCUCCACUCUUCGACUCAAGCUUUCGCUUCUGCGCCGAAUAUGAAGAUCUGUCCAGGGAGGAAAACCUCACCCUGGACCACAUCGUUACCGAUGAUCGAAGGAGCCAUCAAGCCCUAUGGUGACGACACAGUGGAACUCUCAAUGAAAGCACCAAUGUCGGUGUCAAAACUGGCGGAUCUCGGGUAGGGGGUCCCGAACUAUGCGUCUAAGGCGGAUGGUAACAUGAGGCAGGGGACACGAUGUUUACCCAGGUUCGGCCCCUCUCGAUGGAGGUAAUACCCUACGUCCUGCUUGAUUGAUCUUGAUGAUAUGAGUAUUACAAGAGUUGAUCUACAACGAGAUUGUGGAGGCUAAACCCUAGGAGCUAGCCUAUGGUAUGAUUGUUGUUGUCCUAUGGACUAAACCUUCCGGUUUAUAUAGACACUGGAGGGGCUAGGGUUACACAGAGUCGGUUACAAGGGAGGACAUCUACAUAUCCGUAUUGCUAAGCUUGGCUUCCACGCCAAGGAAAGUCCCAUCCGGACAUGGGACGAAGUCUUUAAUCUUGUAUCUUCAUAGUCCAACAGUCUGGCCAAAGGAUAUAGUCCGGCUGUCCGGUGACCCCCUAAUCCAGGACUCCCUCAACUUACAUCAGAUCUAAACUAAGUAUGCAUCUGUAUCAAACAAAUGGGUUGUAUCUGUGGACUAAACUGCAGAAUGCCAGAAGAGAAGGGGAAAGCCUAGCCUAUCAAAGACUAGCAUCUUCAAGCAUCUUGCAGCAUUUAGAAGAGUACAGAUCAACAUAAUGUAAAGUAGUAGUAGUGUUAUCAACCUCGGCCAGAGAUCCUUUCUCGACUCCCUACGAGAAAGCAAUCCCAGAGCCAUACUAUCUAGCUAUCACCUCAAGUAUCCAGUUCUAGUUGUAUCGAUCGGGAUACAACUCCAAGUGUCCGUUACCGUAGGACAGGCUAUCGAUAGAUGUUUUCUUCCCUGCAAGGGUGCACCAACUUACCCACCACGCUCGAUUAACUCCGGCCGGACACACUUUCCUGGGUCAUGCCCGGCCUCGGCCAAACAAUACGCCACAACACGACCUAGGCUUAAUAGAGAGGUCAGCACGCCGGACUAAACCUAUCCCCCAGGGGUCAUGGGCCAUCGCCCCGGGAACUCCUGCACAUUGCAAACGCGGCCGGUGAGCAUACCUAUCUACCUCCUUAAAAAGGUAGGUGCUUACGCAGUCCAACCCGUCGCGCCGCUUAGUCGUUGACGUUUAUUAAGCUUCGGCUGAUGCAUACGACGCAGAACGCCCAUACAAUGCCCACGUGAUGGCUAGUGCUAUCAGGCCAGAGGCCCCUAGGAUCAAAUAUCCAAAUCAUAGUGGAUUAGGAAUGCGCGGUAAUAAGCAGAGACUCGCGAAAGAUGUGACCCCGUCGCCCCAUCUCGAGGACUUGCGGCAAGGGCUAAGAAUGCCCAACCACGCCUAUUAGUUAUCUCGCGGGCACCCUCCAGGUCAACCCGACUCCACAUCACUCACAAUUAAGCUCGCACGGGUACCCCUCAAGUCCGACCCGUCUUUAGUAACCUGGUUCAGGGUAAAGUCAUAGUAAGCAUAGUAACCGUUUGUCUAACACCAAGGGGGACCCUGAGGAACCACCCUCAAUGUAUUCCACUUGAUGUCAUCAUCAAGGUGAACGUAAGAAGAACCACCCUCGAGGUUCACACUUGAGGGGUUGCACGACAGAGUCAUAUCGGAAGUGGUUAAGGAGGAAAUCACCCUCGAUGACCACGACCAAAUAGCUACACUACAUAGAUCUUAUCAGGAGUGAUGUAUGAGGUGUCACCCUCGGCACUCGAUAGUAACUCUGCAGAGUCGUAUAACUAGGGAGGGGGGGUGAUGUGCGGUGUCGGGGCCUGGACGUCGACCACGUUGAUCGAGUCAUCGAACAUAAAGCGGGGCAACAAGGACAAGGUGGGGGUCACUGAUGGAUCACUAACCAACCUAUAUUAAGCAGUUUAGGAUAAGCAGGUAGGUAACAAUAAGCAGGUUACAAAAACAGGAUAUGCAUCAGAAUAGUAUCAUACAGAAAGCAGUAGUAGUUCUAAUGCAAGCAUGAGAGGGAAAGAAAUGGGCGACAUCGGAAUGCUCAAAGGGGGGUGUCGGUGUCAAAACUGGCAGAUCUCGGGUAGGGGGUCCCGAACUGUGCGUCUAGGCUGGAUGGUAACAGGAGGCAAGGAACACGAAGUUUUACCCAGGUUCGGGCCCUCUCGAUGGAGGUAAAACCCUACGUACUGCUUGAUUAAUAUUGAUGAUAUGGGUAGUACAAGAGUACAUCUACCACGAGAUCGGAGAGGCCAAACCCUAGAAGCUAGCCUAUGGUAUGAUUGUUGUUUUGUAUCUUGUCCUACGGACUAAAACCCUCCGGUUUAUAUAGACACCGGAGAGGGUUAGGGUUACACAAAGUCGGUUACAAUGGUAGGAGAUCUACAUAUCCGUAUCGCCAAGCUUGCCUUCCACGCCAAGGAAAGUCCCUUCCAGACACGGGACAGAGUCUUCAAUCUUGUAUCUUCAUAGUCCAUGAGUCUGGCUGAAGGUAUAGUUCGGCCAUCCGGACACCCCCUAAUCCAGGACUCCCUCAGUAGCCCCCGAACCAGGCUUCAAUGACGAUGAGUCCGGCGCGCAGAUUGUCGUUGGCAUUGCAAGGCGGGUUCUCCUCCAAAUUUUGUGUACCUGUUGAAUAAAGUCUGGUUUCUUGUAGAUGUUGCGCUCUUUGGCUUCUACGCCCAAUAAUGGUCGCUUCCCACGUGUCAAACGAAUAUGAAAAGUCUGAGUGUUUUUACAUUCACACCCCUAGCCACGUAAAUGAGCUGACCUAUUUAAGGGGACGAGGAUUUAGAUCCAAACUACAUCUUCCCCCCUUCGCGAGUGUUCAUCAGAGCGCAUCCGACAAAGGUCCAUUCCACCAUGGCCAGCCGUCGCGACUCCUCCUCUCGCCCUUCCAGCCCUCAGCAUGGAUAUUGGGAGAGAUGCUCUAUCCCACAUAGCGAGCUAGUGAUGCUUCAGACCAAGGGAUUUCUCCCCCCGGCCUAGUUCGAGCCGGCCUUGCCAUCUAUAAUGGCGGAGAACAAGCGGAGAGUGCCCCUAAUCCCUCCAAAGGAGAGUGGGUGUGCCUCGUCCCUUAUUUAAUAAGGGGUCUCGGAUUUCUAAUCCAUCCAUUUCUCCGGGGGCUCCUGGAGUUCUAUGGCCUCCGGCUACACAAUCUCACGCCUGCCUCCGUAUUGCAUAUCGCGGUCUUCGUAGCCCUCUGCGAGCUGUUUUUGGGUAUCGAGGCUCAUUUUGGGCUAUGGAAAAGGUUAUUCUGCCUCGUGCCCCGCUCUAAGGAGGGGUCAAUGUAUCAAGUGGGUGGAGCCGAAGUGUGGCACAUCGCCAGGACCGGAUAUCUGUCCGGAACCCCAAAGAAGGCGUCCGAAGACUGGCCCUCGGAAUGGUUUUAUAUAGAAGACGUCCCGCUGUCGGAUCCUGUCCGGAUUGGCCUCCCUGAAUUCGAUAGUGCUCCCUUAGAGAAGCACCUAAGCUGGCGUCCCCGGAGCCCUCAGAGGGAAAGUGACAGGGACAUCAUUUACCUGAUGGGACGAAUAAGAUUGCUAGCCCAUUCCGGACUAACCAUGAUCGGGGUUAUGGCCGAAUGCAUUAUGCGGGGGGUGCAACCGCUUCAGUAUAGAAGCCACCCCAUGUGGGACUUCAACGGGGAGGACGACGCUACCCGCUACGGCCGUAAGGGGCCGGAUUCAGCCGCCGCUCUGCUAAAGAUCUUGUCCACUUUGUAUAAGGGAGAAGAGGAGGAAUUUCUCUGCGUCAACCCACAGGGUGGAUUCUCUAUGCACAAUCCCCAAGCUGGGUAAGCGGUCGUAUUUACUUGCCCAUCCGUUUUGUAUUCCCAUUGUUAAAUAUUCAAUCUGACGAGUUCAACGCAGGAACUGCGCCGGGCUGUUAAGGAAAUAAGCAGCCCUCCUCCACAACCCGAGGACCCAAGACGGUCCCUCGACCCAUCCUCUCGAGAGGAUCCGGACAUAUCUGUUCAAUUGAGCAAGGACAACGCCUUGGUGGCCAUUACGGUCGAUUACCCAGGGCUAAUCCCGGCCUCCCAGGUAACUGAGAUCGAAGUCCCAGUACCCCGAAUAGUUGUCCGCCCUCUCAUGUUUUCAGUUUCCUGAUUACAACCGAACUUUGUAGGGGAGGUUUUUAAGGCAGAAGGCCGAACCUGCGGCGACAAGCCAACGAGGGGCCGCAGGGCCCCAUGGGCAGAAAAGAAGUGCAGUCCGAACCGAGGUGUCAGCGCAAAGGUAUGGCGCGCCCCCUUAUCCCAGGUGUUAUACCUUCGAGGCACAUUGACACUCGUGCUCUCUUCAGGACAAAGAGACCUCGCCGGACUAUAUCCGGAGAGGCUGCCAAUCGCGCCUCCACCAGCCAGGCUCCAAAGCCUGGUCCGGAGGUGGAGGCGAAUGCAAGGCGCGUGCCAGGCGCUCCUCCGACGGAGGAUGUGGAUGGGUUGUCUGCCACCAACUCUGAGGUGGAGAGUGCCAUGAACCACAGGCGUCGCCGGACAAUUCUUUGCGAUGCUUGUUUCUCCCAAGGGGCGUUAGAUGCCUUCAACUCGGGAGAUGCGUACCUCCAUGCCGCUCAAAAUGGUCUAGCCAGAGCCACGGAGCAAUAUGUAAAAGACAUACGGGUAAGAAAAUUUUGGUAAUUAUAUAUAUAUAUAUAUAUACCAGUAGCCCCCGAACUUGAAACAAUUAGAAUAAUUGAUUUAAGGAUCAUUUGUUAUGCAGGUUCUUACAGAAAAGAAUUCCCUACUGUCCAAGGAGCUGGAAGAGUGCAAAGCCCAACUUGAGGCUGCACUAGCCGCGGCAGGGGAGCCCAAGGAGACCCCCUCUGGUAAUAUACACUUCGAAAGAUAAGUAUUUUGCGAAGCACGGCAUGGGUGCGAAUCUGACAAAUGAAAUUGCGGAUGGCGCCGGAUUGAAUCCGGAAAGGCAACACCUCCUACGCCAGCUAAAGGCUGGUGAGAAGGUGCUGACAAAGGUGAGGCGGGAGAAGAACAAUCUCCAAGAUGCCAACACCAAGCUGGGCGUUGAGCUAAAAGAUGUUCGUGCCCAGCUGUCAGACUCCAUGAAGGAGAAUCAGCGGCUUCGGCGCGGCAUAUUUAGUAAGUGCUUGAACGAACCUUUGAAAGAAAGUUCGGCAGGGAAGUCGACUAAUAGAGCAAUGUCUGUAGGUGUGCUAACAGGUCGUCCUGUAGAGGAGAUGCCCGGUUCUACGGGUGACCUUCUUCCCGAGCUCUCGCAACUGCUCGAUCGAGUUCGGCAGGUGAUGCAAGGCGUCGCCCAGGCCCUGUGGCCAUCCGUCUCCAUGCCCGAAGGUCUUGGAGAGCUUGCGAAGAAGCUAAAGGGAGCACGGCGGCGCUUCCGAUUAUGGAAGAUAUCGGCCUGCCGUCAAGGCGCUAGGGAGGCAUGGGCCAUGGUGAAGACGCGGUACGCAAAUGCUGACCCCAACCACAUGGCCGAGGUCGGUCUUAUAGGGCCCGAUGGGAAGGAGACCCCUGUAAGCUUAGUAUACGGCCAAGUAGAGUUGGCCGCAAAGUAUUCCCAGCAGGACUGUAAAUUAGACAGCCUGUUAGAUGGUAUUGAAGAGGAAUACAAUCAGUCAAAAUGACUACGUAAUUUAAUUGACAUUUAUAAUGCCUUCUAGCCGGAUUGUAGAUCAUUUGUCAUGGCCGACCUUUUCGCUUCAGCCUCGGGACCUGACGGUCCGGAGUGUGUCUGAAUUCCCAUGUGGUUAUAUAGGAACCGGGGAAUGCAUGGAGACCAGGCGUAGGGGUCAUUAGUGCGUGAAGAGACAAGUGCCCGACUAGUUAUGUUAUAUUACAUGGUUACUAAGAAACAUCUUCCAGGGAGAAUAGUUCCGUUAGGGGUUCCUUUCCCUGGGAGGCAUGCCCUAAGGUGCAUGUCCAUGUUGCGAAAAGAAACGCAGGAAAAACAUCUCGGGGCGUAUAGAUAAAAAUAAAAAAAAGAUCAUCUUUAGUUCACCGACCGAAUAUUCCCUUAAGAAUGCUAGCUUUCAGCUUCACCCAGUCUGAGGUACACGUCUGGCUGACCCGACAGUAACAAUCGCAGAGGUGCUCCCUUUACCACCUAGCCAAACAAUCGGGAACGUAGGGGUAAGCACAGGAGCCAGGCAACCCAGCUUGGCCAAAACUUAAGACAUAUCGAUGCAUAUAAUGGUGAAUAAAAGGUACAUGCGGAAGUGUGACACAUGUGUUGGGCAUGAAGCCCGUAUGAAUAAGCUUCUGUUUAAAGAAGCCCCCAGGUUUAAUGAGCGCGGAUAGCGCGUCACUUUAUGAGCCUUUAAAGGCUAUAAGAGAGAGAGAGAGAGUGAGAAGAAGAGAAAUGUAAGACAGAAAAUAUAUAAAAAAUGGACAGAGGAUGGAGACGAACACAGAGUCCGGCGCUAGGCAUAGAAUCUUCGGAGACGGGAUGCGUUCCAUGGGUUUGGCUCGAGUCGGUUAAACGAUGCAUCCCGCGGGCGGUACGCUCCUCCAGUCAGGACUUGGUCAAUUAUGAAGGGACCUUCCCACUUGGGCUUGAGUUUGUCCUUUUUAUUGUCCGGUAGUUGUAGAACUAAUUCGCCAACGUUGUAAUUUUUGGCCCAUACUUCUCUGCUUUGGUAUCUUUGAGCCUGCUGUUGAUAGAAUGCGGAACGGGCUUUUGCCACGUCACGCUCCUCCUCCAAUGCGUCCAAACUGUCCUGCCGAUCGAGUUCGGCUUCUCUUUCUUCGUACAUGCGCACUCGAGGUGAGUCAUGAAUUAUGUCGCAAGGCAAAACUGCCUCUGCGCCGUACACCAUAAAGAAUGGUGUGUAUCCGAUGGUGCGAUUCGGCGUGGUCCGCAGCCCCCAGAGUACAAAGUCGAGCUCCUCUACCCAGUGCGUGUUAGAUUCCUUGAGGGACCGCACUAAUCUGGGUUUGAUGCCGCUCAUGAUAAGACCAUUUGCACGUUUGACCUGGUCAUUAGUUUGUGGGUGAUAGACGGAGGCAUAAUCGAGCUUGAUGCCCAUGUUUUUGCACUAGAGUUUUACCUCGUCGACCAUGAAGUUCAUGCCGUUAUCAGUGAUGAUGUUGUGGGGGACGUCGUAACGGUGUACAACCCCGGAUAUAAAGUCUAUCACUGGUCCGGAUUCGGCCGUCUUAACAGGCUUGGCUUCUAUCCAUUUGGUGAACUUAUCCACCAUGACCAGUAAGUAUUUUUGCUUGUGGGUUCCGCCUUUAAGGGGUCCAACCAUGUCAAGCCCCCAGACCGCGAAGGGCCAAGUAAUGGGGAUAGUUUGGAGGGCGGUGGGUGGCAUAUGGCUUUGGUUUGCAAAGAGCUGGCAACCGGUGCAUCGUUGGACUAAGUCCUGAGCGUCUGCCCGGGCCGUCGGCCAAUAAAAGCCUGUACGGAAGGCCUUGCUUACAAGGGACCGAGAUGCAGCGUGAUGACCGUCGAGUCCGGCAUGAAUUUCAGCCAGGAGGUUCCGCCCCCCCUCUUCGGAGAUGCACCUUUGAAGGACUCCGGUAGUGCUUUUCUUAUAAAGCUCUCCCUCGUGGAUUCUGUAGGCUUUGGAUCGCCGCACUAUGCAGCUUGCCUCAUUUUGGUCCUCGGGGAGUUCCUACCUAGUAAGGUAGGCGAGGAAUGGUUCUGUCCACGGGGCGAUGAUAGCCAUUAUUACGUGGGCUGAAGGUGUUAUUUCAUUGGCAGAGCCUCCCAUUGUGUCAGAAUGUUCGGUGUCGGGCAGUGCGGUUGGGUCCGGGCUGUUAUUGUCCGGCUCCCCUUCCCAUACUACGGAUGGCUUGAACAACCUUUCCAAGAAGAUGUUGGGGGACUACAUCGCGUUUUGCGCCGAUGCGUGCCAAGACAUCUGCCGCCUGAUUAUUUUCCCAUGCUAUAUGGUGAAAUUCAAGCCCCUCGAACCAAGCUGACAUUUUUAGGACGGCGUUGCGGUAAUCUGCCAUUUUUGGAUCCUUGGCAUCAAAGUCUCCAUUUAUUUGGGAUAUUGCGAGGUUCGAGUCCCCGCGCACCUCUAGGCGUUGAAUGCCCAUGGAUACUGCCAUCCGGAGACCAUGUAAAAGGGCAUCAUAUUUGUUGGAGUCCGUGUACAUAAUCUGGAGUACGUAUUGAACUGUGUCUCCUGUGGGGGACGUCAAAAUGACGCCAACCCCCAGUCCGGCCAACAUCUUGGAGCCGUCGAAAUGCAUGAUCCAAUUUGAAUAUGUGUCAUACUCUUUAGGGAGUUCGGCCUCCGUCCAUUCUGCGACGAAGUCGGCCAAGACUUGCGACUUGAUGGCUCGCCGUGGCUUAUAAGUUAUGUCGAAUGGGAGGAGCUCAAUGGCCCAUUUUGCAAUCCGGCCCGUUGCGUCACGGUUGUUUAUAAUAUCGUUAAGUGGUACUUCUGAGGCUACUGUUAUUGAACACUCUUGAAAGUAGUGUCGUAGCUUCCGGGAUGCCAUGAAUACCGCGUACGCGAUCUUUUGAUAAUGCGGGUACCGUGAUUUGCAGGGAGUGAGGACAGUGGACACAUAAUAGACCGGCUUUUGAAGGGGGAAUUUGUGUCCGUCCGCUUCUUGUUCGACGACGAGCACUGCGCUUACAACCUGAUGUGUUGCUGCAAUGUAUAAUAGCAUUGGUUCGCCAAUGUUUGGUGCGGCCAGGACUGGGUUUGUUGCCAGUAUGGCUUUUAUUUCGUCGAGUCCGGCCGUGGCUGCAUCCGUCCAUUCGAAGUGUUCGGUGCGCUGAAGGAGGUGGUAAAGGGGUAGGGCCUUUUCUCCCAAGCGGGAGAUAAAGCGGCUUAGAGCCGCCAUGCAUCCGAUUAACUUUUGUAUUUGUUUGAGGUCCUUUGGGAUAUCCAGUUGCGACAAAGCUCGGAUCUUGGCUGGAUUUGCUUUGAUUCCUCUACCGGAUACAAUGAAGCCCAAGAGCUUUCCGGCUAGAACACAUUUUUCCGGGUUGAGCUUGAUGUCGUAUGUUCGGAGGUUAUCAAAUGUGAGCCUCAAGUCAUCUACUAGAGAUUCGACAUGUCUUGUUUUGACAACCACAUCAUCUACAUAUGCCUCCACUGUUUUGCUGAUCUGGCUUGCCAGACAUGUCUGAAUCAUGCGCUGAUAUGUUGCGCCAGCAUUUUUUAGCCCGAAGGGCAUCGUGUUGAAGCAGAAUGGGCCGUAUGGUGUGAUAAAUGCCGUUGCGGCUUGGUCUGGUUCUGCCAUCUUGAUUUGAUGGUAGCCGGAAUAUGCAUCGAGGAAACACAACGAAUCGUGUCCUGCGGUAGCGUCGAUAAUUUGAUCGAUGCGGGGGAGGGGGAAGGGAUCCUUUGGGCAAGCCUUGUUAAGGUCUUUAAAAUCAACACACAGGCGCCAGGAUUUGUCCUUCUUUGGUACAAUCAUCAGGUUUGCUAGCCAGUCCAGAUGUUUUAUAUCUCUGAUGAAUCCGGCCUCCAAUAGCUAUGCUAGCUCCUCUCCCAUGGCCUGUCUCUUAGGUUCGGAAAACGCCGAAGAGCCUGUUUGACAGGUUUGAAUCCUAUUUGGAUAUUUAAGCUGUGCUCGGCCAGUCUGCGUGGGAUUCCUGGCAUGUCUGAAGGGUGCCAGGCGAAAAUGUCCCAGUUCUCUCGUAGGAACUCUCGCAGUGCGGCAUCUACAUCAGGGUUUAACUGUGCCCCGAUGGAAGCUGUUUUAUUGGGGUCCGUUGGAUGGACUUGGAAUUUGACUAUUUCGUCCGCCGGCUUAAAGGAGGUGUACUUGGAUCUUUUCUCGAGUACCACAUUGUCCCUAUUCACCAUAGAGCGCAGCGCAGUCAGUUCCUCAGCCGCUAGGGCUUCGGAAUGCCUCGAGGGCCAGUGCGAAUGUCUUGUUUUCGGCGCGGAGUGCUGUGUCUGGAUCACUCCAUGGGUUUAUUGUUGCUACUUGGUAGACUUCGGCAAGGCUGCGGAGUGUCCUUUUUCGCAUAUUAUUUGAUGCGAAAGUCUCGAAGACUGUUAAUACCGUAUUGGUGUCUCUGGGGUGGCUUUCUGUGGCCUCUGGAAUUAGGAGAUUUUCGCCAAUUUUGGCCACCUGUCGGAGUAUCCAACAUGCUCUAAGGCUGUGAGUUGGUGUGGUGUCCUCUGUACUGUGAAUUUUACAGGGUCCAUUAAGCCAUCCUUCCAGUACGGUUCCAUGCCCUGUAGAGGGUUUUUGCUUUUUGGUGUUUGACCCGGGUGUCUGGCGAUGAUGCACCCUUUUAUUUCGGAUUGGGUUUGUAUUCAGGGCCGGAUCGUCCCAAAAUUUUAUUUCGGUUUUCCAGACGCUUUCCAUCGCAUAGUACUUUCGUACGAUGGACGCCAAGUCAGCGAAGCGUGUAAUAUCACGGCGACUUAUGGCGUUGAGGAUUCCCUUGUCCGUGCAAUUAUUGCAAAAGAUUGAGAUUGCGUCUUCCUCGUGGCAGUCCUUUAUCCUGUUCUUAACCAGGAGGAAUCUGGCCCAGUAAUGAUGUACUGUUUCAUCGGGCUCUUGCCUAAUUUGGGAUAGAUCGCUUAUGUUCGGGUGGGUGGGAGGAACUAAAUCCGAAGCCUCACCCCAUCUGAGGCUCAGAGGCCGAGGAAUUUCCUAACUCGAAAAUUUGGAUUCCUGGAUGCUGUCCAAUGAAUCCAGCCCGUCGCCUGACUCUAAGUUCAGGUCUUGAGUGAUAUCCUCCCCUCCGCGGGUAUCCGGCUUGGAGGGAUCGGGAAUCCGGACGUAGCUAGUCCUUAAGAUAGAUGAAGGGUCGCCGCACUGUCCCUCUACCACGGCAACAUGAUGGGUGACUUGGGGAGAGUUAAUCUCUCUCAGAUCGGGUUUAGGCCCAAUCUGGUCGUGAUCCGUAGCGACUCCCAGGGCGGCGAUGCGAUCCAAGAGCUCGUUUAUUGAGCAGAGCUCCAUUGGAUCUAACUGCUCGACGAGUUUUGAGCUGACAUGAAGAUUGUUUUCGAUGGCUCGAGAGGUCAUUGUCGAUGCAGAAGCCGAACAGGCGGUCAUAAGAAAACCACCUAGCCGGAGGGUUUGGCCGACAGCCAAAGCUCCCUUAGCAACGGUGCCGUCUUUAAAGACGGGGUGAGGCAUCCUUCCUGAUGGCGACGACACAGAGGAACUCUCAAUGAAAGCACCAAUGUCGGUGUCAAAACCGGCGAAUCUCGGGUAGGGGGUCCCGAAUUGUGCGUCUAGGCCAGAUGGUAACAGGAGGCAAGGAACACGAAGUUUUACCCAGGUUCGGGCCCUCUCGAUGGAGGUAAAACCCUACGUCCUGCUUGAUUAAUAUUGAUGAUAUGGGUACUACAAGAGUAGAUCUACCAUGAGAUCGGAGAGGCUAAACCCUAGAAGCUAGCCUAUGGUAUGAUUGUUGUUUUGUAUCUUGUCCUACGGACUAAAACCCUCCGGUUUAUAUAGACACCGGAGAGGGUUAGGGUUACACAAAGUCGGUUACAAUGGUAGGAGAUCUACAUAUCCGUAUCGCCAAGCUUGCCUUCCACGCCAAGGAAAGUCCCUUCCGGACAUGGGACGGAGUCUUCAAUCUUGUAUCUUCAUAGUCCAGGAGUCCGGCUGAAGAUAUAGUCCGGCCAUCCGGACACCCCCUAAUCCAGGACUCCCUCAGGGGGUUUGCUUGCCUGGAAGCUCUGCUCAAAAGGAAGAGGUGUCGUCGACAUAGUCGAUCACAGGGGCGGCAUCGGUCUCGGGGUCUACCGGAGAGAAGAGGGGGAAGAAACAAUAAAUAUAAAGCAAACAAAGCAUCACAAAGCAUAACAUGGCAAUAUGUUGUGCCGGGUGUGACCUAACAUAUGGCUACGCGAUAAAGGUGAAGGGGGAAAACAACCGGGAAUGUUUUCCCGGUUCCAGACCUAUGUCAGACACAUGACUGAAGGGGGAAUGUUCCAUGUUCAGAUAGUUAGAGGCAUCUGACAGGUAAACGGACUGCGUAUCCGGAUUCGUCUCGUCGUUCUGAGCAACUUUCAUGUAUAAAACUUUUUCAUCCGAGUUACGGAUUAUUUUCUAUGAUUUUCAAAGAUUUAACAAUAUUCUGUAAUUAUUAUUAACUAAAAAGAUAAUACUGCAUCAGCAUGACACCAUCCUGACGUCAGCAGGGUCAACAUUCAACUCUGACCGCGUUGACUGGUCAAAAGGAGUAGUGGGGCCCAUCUGUCAUAGACUCAACUAAUUGAGCAGGUUUAAUUAGACUAAUCUAGUUCAUUAGGCUAAUUAAGCAAGAUUAAUUAAGUUAAUUAAUUAUCCAACGAAUUAAUUAAUUAACUAUUUAUUUAUUUUUAUUUUUCUAAAAACCUUUUUUAAUAAAAGCCAGGGCGCGUGGGGCCCGCUGGCAGUGGCAUAAGGCCAUCCUAGUGGAGCGGGUUAAUGGGCGGAGGGGCAUGGGCGUGGGCGCCCGUCGAAUGGGGCACGGCGAGGCCGUGGCCGGCGAUGGUCAUCGGGGCGCGGUGGGGCGCCAACCAGGGGAAGCGAGGUCGUGGGGCGAGCGGGCUGCGGCGUCGCAGCAGCGCUGGCGAGGCGGCGCGCGNNNNNNNNNNNNNNNNNNNNNNNNNNNNNNNNNNNNNNNNNNNNNNNNNNNNNNNNNNNNNNNNNNNNNNNNNNNNNNNNNNNNNNNNNNNNNNNNNNNNNNNNNNNNNNNNNNNNNNNNNNNNNNNNNNNNNNNNNNNNNNNNNNNNNNNNNNNNNNNNNNNNNNNNNNNNNNNNNNNNNNNNNNNNNNNNNNNNNNNNNNNNNNNNNNNNNNNNNNNNNNNNNNNNNNNNNNNNNNNNNNNNNNNNNNNNNNNNNNNNNNNNNNNNNNNNNNNNNNNNNNNNNNNNNNNNNNNNNNNNNNNNNNNNNNNNNNNNNNNNNNNNNNNNNNNNNNNNNNNNNNNNNNNNNNNNNNNNNNNNNNNNNNNNNNNNNNNNNNNNNNNNNNNNNNNNNNNNNNNNNNNNNNNNNNNNNNNCGACUGCUACGAGCUAGCGCGCUGCGGCGGGCGGGCGGACGGCGCAGGAGGCAAGGCGCGGGCGUGCAACGGCGGAGCCGGGCAAGACCAGGCGCAGGGCGCGGGCCGUGGUGGCGAACAACGCGGCUAGGGGCGGCGCGAGUGGCGUGAGGACGGCGGGCGAGGCCGCCGCGGCGACAGCGGGUAACCGGACGACGCAGUGGCCAGCGGCGGGAGGCGGGUCACGACGACAAUAUGCGGCAGCCAAAGUCGAGCGUCGAACAAAACGAGCAUAGCGGCUCGGUCCCGACGGGCUAUCCGGCUGGAGGACUCCUACGAGAUGCCACGAGCGCGGUGGCGUGCUCAGUCGAACUGGAGAAGCACGAGAGGAGCGGCACAACGAGCAGUGGUGGCGCGAGCUUCGGCAAUGGCGGCAACGGCACGGGGAGCAGACUACGGAUCGACGACGUAUAAACGAAGGAAAGGAGAGGGGCGGGAGCUCACGUUGCGGCACACGAAGGCCGUCGGGGGCUUAGUAGCGUAGGGCGGUGGCCAGAGUCGAAGGUGACGACGGCGACCCGAGGAAGACGACGAAGGGGAUCCGGCGCUGUAGAGGUCCGCGGCUUUGACUCGUGGUCGGGGACGGCGUAGCGUGCACGGGCAAAGCUUCAAGACAACUCGGCGAGGUGAGGUUGGACAGUGGCAUGCGAUGGACGGCGGUGGCCGCGCUCGGGCGCUCGAGGGCAGAGGCAAGUCCAUAGGGGGAGGAGGAGGUGGAUCUGGGAGAGGGCGGAGAGGGGGGAAGUGGAGCGGGGAGGCGAGGGGAUUCUGGGAGUGGGUGGAGGUAGGUGGGGGGGGACUCGAGGAGCCGGAGGGGCGCUCUUAUCCUCUCGCGGGUGCGUUGCUGGCGAGGUGGCUGGGCGGCGACGGGCGCGUGCUGCCCCGCCCGGUCGGAGGAUCAGGAAGCGACCGGGGGAGGGGGAGUGGGCCGGCCUACUGGGAUGGGCCGAAGCCUAAGGGGAGGCCAUGGGCUUUCUCUCUCUUCUCUGAGUUUCCUUUUUCUUUUUUUGUUUCUCUUUUUCCAGCAGCUUUUGCAUUUUAUUUUGCCACAAAUGACUUUGCAAAAAUAUGUCACUGGCCAAAAUAAAUUCAAAGAAGUACUGUGCACUGUCACAAAAAUGUUGGGAAUGUUUUGAAUCCCUUUAGAUUUAUUCAAAAAGAAUAUGGCAUUUUAAAAGGCUGUUUUGGCUCUGUUAAAAAAUAUUAGGCCCAUUUAGAGUUGAUGGUGAUGUUGUGUUCCUUAACAGCAAAUAGUUUUGGAUUUUUUGCUAAAAGGUGAACAUUUUUCCAACAAGUUUUGAUCAACUUCAUUUUGCACUUUGAAGUUGAAUGGAAUUCCAAAGAAGGAAUUUGAAAUGAGAUAUUAUCCCAACAUGAUUAUCAUUGCAAAUCUCAGUAGCUUAGCAUCAUCAUGAUGGAUUACUGUAGCUCCAUUACAUAGGGGUGUUACAAAAGGUCCCCAUUGAGCUUCGCCUCAACAAAGACGAGGCAGAUGCUUUGGAGAUGUCCUUCCCUAACGAGGCUUGCACAUCACAAGCAAGGGUGUUGAUGUACCUAACUAUGAACUCUUGGGCGGGGAGCAUGCUUCAGUGCAAACAAUUCAGGCGAAGACUUCUUACCUAGCGAGCUACACUUAUUAAUGUUGAAUAUACUACGGCUGGAGGGUUGUGCCCCACAUACGGCGAUUGGUCCAUUGGGCCCGAUGUACCGUAUCACAGAAGCGGUCAAGUUUGGCACUGAAGGAUGAGUCAAGAUCCACCACAUCGAUGUGUAGAAGCUCCGUGCCAUGUCUAUGCAUGCUCCCCAAGGUCAUAAGGAGUCCAACCCUGCUGUGGGGUUAGAUCGACUUCAUACGAAGCCAAUGAGUGAUGUAGUGUACUACAUAGUAGACUUAAGUAGACAAUUGAGCACGACGUUAGAGCCGAGACAACUCCCUGUGGCAUAGCAUUGGUCGUGUUCUAAGGCUGGUUGUAGUAAGUAUCAUAUACUAGUAUCAUGCAUAUGAUACUAGUCUUUGAUACUACAUCCGUAAUGCAUAGUAUCAUAUGUUGGUAUGAUAUGUUGGUAUCAUAGGGUACUACAGUUAUUGUCAUGCAUGACACAAAAAAAGCACACCAUUUAAUAUGAUACGGUAUCAUGAUAUGAUACCCAAACCUCUCUUUCUUCAUUUAAUUCUAUGUCACCUCCAGUUCUUUUCGGCGAUUCUCCAGAAUCGCCCCCCUCCCCGGCUUCUCCCAGAAUCGCCACUUCAUAUAUUUUUUACAAUCCUAGCUAAUUAGACCUUAACUAGACAAGAUUGUCAAAAAAAUAUGAAGUGACGAUUCUGGGAGAAGCUGGGGAGGGGGCCGAUUCUGGGAGAAUCACUCAAAAGAACUAGCCCCUAAAUUGCUUAGUUGGCAUGGGUCCCCUGCGAGAAGCAUUUCUGGAACACGGGUGUCCUGAACACUUUAUUUUGAAUAAUUUGAAAAUCACAUUUGAAUUAAAAAAAUAUCCAAAACAAACCCUACGCUAAUAUGAAUGUAUACCACACAAGUGUAAAGUUUGAUGAUGAAACAAGUUGACAUGUGAGCUACAUAAAGAUGACAAAUUGUUAAUUUUGAGAAGUUAAACCAUGCACACAUUGUUCACCGCUAAAAAAAAUCCACGCUCUUGUCUUCUUUGUGUAGCACAUAUUAAUUUACUUCGUCAUCAAACUUUGCCCGUGUACAGUAUAUCUCCAUACUACUGCAUAAAAUUCGUGUUCGUAUUUUAAAGACUUUCAAACAUGAUUUUCAAACUAUUUGAAAUGAAGUGCUCAUGCGACCCUUGCUCUGGAGCAACGUUUUGGCCUCCCAUGUUCCAAACCGUCCUCACCGAUACACUUCUCUAUUCUUAUAAAAAACUGAGUUGGUGAUGAUGGUGUGCCCGCCAUCUUAUAAUAUAGACCGUUCGAUCUAUAUCUGACAGAUAGAAAGCAAACUAUGACAAUUUUGCAAAAGGAUAUCCGCACCUCUCGUUCAUCCUUAUCUCCCACAACUUCAUUGUUGAGUAAUUAAAAAAGAAGCCUCCGGAACAAUCUGGCAUGGUGGCCGCUGCCGGCGUCGUCCAUCUCCAUGCCUCUGCUAAGUCCGACCACCAAUCACCACCGCGCCCCACUCCUCACCUUAUCUCUCAUCUUUCUCGAGAUAUCAUUUUUUCGAUGAAAUUCUCGAGAUAUCAUUAGUUUUUACACAUGUGAUUACUCCUGCAUGAGUCAAUCACAAUAGAUGUUUUGUAAAAAAAUGCAUUUUGAUGUCCUGUGCAAUGCACGGGCAUCUUGCUAGUCAUAAAAAAAAAAGCAGACACUUUCCAAUCCACCGCGCUCCUCUGGUCUCCGCGGUCUCCAAUUUCAAAUCCAUCCCCGUAUCCGCCGCCACGUCAUCGAUCCGCGCCACCAGCCUCGCACCCGCACCUCCAUCCCACCCUUCAUUUCAAUCCAACGUCCCACCCCCGCCGUCCCACGGAUCGAUCCCAGCGAGCGCCUCCCGCGGUCCCGCCCCAAAGCCACGAAAAUCCCGCGCUUUCCCCCCAAAUCCUCCCGAUAUAAACCCGCCACCACCCCCCAAUCCCAGCACAAGCUUCUUCCCAAGCACUUCCUCUUCUUUCUAAGCGCACACAUCCCUCGGAGCUAGGUGGAUCGGCGAUGUCGGGGCGCGGCAAGGGCGGCAAGGGGCUGGGGAAGGGCGGCGCCAAGCGCCACCGGAAGGUGCUCCGCGACAACAUCCAGGGCAUCACCAAGCCGGCGAUCCGGAGGCUGGCCAGGAGGGGCGGCGUGAAGCGCAUCUCGGGGCUCAUCUACGAGGAGACCCGCGGCGUGCUCAAGAUCUUCCUCGAGAACGUCAUCCGCGACGCCGUCACCUACACUGAGCACGCUCGCCGCAAGACCGUCACCGCCAUGGACGUCGUCUACGCGCUCAAGCGCCAGGGCCGCACCCUCUACGGCUUCGGCGGCUAGAUUCGUGUCGUGUGUCCGUGUGUUCUGUGGAAGACGGGUUUUACUACUGCUUUGGCGUGCGUCGUUGUGUUCCGUCUUGUGUUCAUUAGGCUGUAAUUCCUUGUUGCGGUCAAUGAAACUAGUUCUGUUCUGAAUCCUGACCUGAAGUGCAAUUGGUUUGACUUAGAUGAAAUGCAAUUGGAUGAACGAUUUAUCACUCGUUGCAAUCUGUACAGAUGCAGAAGUAUUGUUGGAGUGGUAAAAUGUGAAUCAAGACGCCAGAUGCAUAUUCCUGAAAUACUGACCAAGUGCUUCGCUGUGUUGAAUUCGGUUUUGGUUUUCUAAGGUUGGUUGGUUUGAUAUUAGAUUUCUCAUUUUAGAUCGUGUAUAGCUGAAGUGCAGUUGAUUUGUCUUAGCUGAACUGCAGUUGAUUGAAC
This 90219-nucleotide long non-coding RNA is filed under the name Triticum aestivum (bread wheat). Its description in RNAcentral is "long non-coding RNA (TAES_LNC021182)". The record is from RNAcentral. Lineage: Eukaryota; Viridiplantae; Streptophyta; Magnoliopsida; Poales; Poaceae.